AUCUUCCCUAUGGAUUUCGAGCUAAUACAUGGCUUGUACCUCCAUCUGUUGCUGAGUCUCCAUCAAAUUUCCCAUGCCUACCGGCAGAAGAUGAGAAUUGGGGUGGCAAUGGCGGAGGCCAGGGAAGAGAUGGAGAACAUGAUUUACGACCAUGGGCGAUGGAAUUUGCUAUACUGGCUAGGCUUCCUUGCAAAACUGAAGAGGAGAGGGUGGUUAGAGAUCGGAAGGCCUUUUUGCUUCAUAACCAAUUUGUUGAUGUCUCAAUUUUUAAAGCUGUUGGAGCAAUACGCCGUCUCAUUGAUUCAAAUUUACACACUCAAGAUACAAUCAAUGUCCAAAAGGGGGCAAUCUUGCAUGAAGAUCGUGUGGGAGACUUGUCCAUUACAGUAAAACGUGAUACAGUAGAUGCAAGCUUGAAGUCUGAGGUUACUAUUAAAGGAAAUCAGUUAUAUGGUAUGUCUACUGCAGAAGUUGCUCAAAGGAAUUUACUAAAAGGUGUUACUGCAGAUGAGAGUGUAGUUGUUCACGUAAGUCAAUUUCUCCUUUACUUCUUAUUCUUACGUUCACAGACCACACGCAUAAAAGACAUUCAUCAAAGCUGAAAUUACUUACGUGGGCGGAAUAAUAUAGCUCUACCUUUGUCAGGGAGUGAUUUUUCUGUCGGAUUAAGAUGUUUCACUCUUUAUCUGAUAUCUAGCAUUUGAUGAUGGCCUAAAAUACCCAUCCUCUUCAUUCUCUCUUUCUACACAUUUAUGAAUGCACAAGAAAGUCCAUUUUAGGUUCUUUCCUAAGAAUCACUACUCGUUGCUAACCUUAUAUAUCUGGUUUAGCUUCAUGAAUCUUAUGUUGCCAUUCUGUUUGGUGACUCCCUAUUCUGUUGAAAUCACUUGAUAGCAGGUCUUUCUACCCAUUUUAUCCAUAUCCCUCUGAUUUUCUACUUGUAGUUUGCUCCAGCUUAAUGUCAUCAACCCUUUUUGGGGAAGCCUAUUAACCUUGGUUGGGCAUGCUUGUAUUAUAUCAACUAGUGAUACAAUUGCUAAAGUUUUCAGCAUGGUAGAUCUUGAAAUAAAAUUUUCUUGAAAUAUCUAGAUUUAUCUUCCUUUUCCUUUUCUCUUUCUUUUAUUUUAGUUUCAAAGAUUUUGUUAUAAAGAGAACUGAAACAAUAUAGUUUUUGGCAGGAUACCUCCUCAUUGGGUACCGUCAUUGUAAGACACUGUGGAUACACCGCCGUAGUAAAGGUUGUUGGUGAUGUGACGGAGAAGUUUGGCACACAAGAUAUUGAAAUUGAAGAUCAACCUGAUGGAGGAGCUAAUUCUCUUAAUAUUAACAGGUUUGAAAUUGUAACACAAUGCUUCCUCUGUUGAUUCCUCUUAGCACACAAAGACUAGGAAAUCUACAGAUGGAGAAUGGCUGUAAGAUAUGAAAAAUUAUCUUUCAACCACUAACCGUUUUAAGCUAUUCUGCAAGAUAUCUUAGAAAUGCUAACUGGUAUGAGCUUCUUUGCUUAGUGUCUAUCACAGUUGAAUUCAUGAUGCAGAGCAUUGUUAUUCUCCUUAUUUUUACCAGAUAGAACAUGAUUGAAAUGCUGUUGUUGGGGAUUCUUAAGAAAGGAUAGCACCUGCUCCUUUUUCUUCCUGUUUAGAUGGGAUCUAAUCAGUAGAUGUCUGAACUCUUAAGGGGAGUUGAUGUCAUAUUUCUAAACCAGGUUUUCUUCAAGUGUUAAGUUUAUGAAUAGGCCAAAGAAAAGAAACCUGAUAUCUAGUUAGGGAUAUGUACUCCUCUUUCAGCAUCCUAUGGACCAGAAAAUGGCUUUUCCUCCACUAAAAUAUGUGUGAGAUUCUUCACUGUAUGGGGAUGCUUCACCUCUACAUAGUUGUAGACCACCUAAAAAAUAACGAGUGGUUGCAGGAAACAUUAAGUCAUGGCUUUCACAAUAAUGUUAUAUUAACAAAAUAACCAACAGACAUCGUUGAUGAUGUUCAAAUAAAGGAUAAAGGGAAGUAUAAUUACAGUGGAUGCUCAGUUGCUGAAAUAGGUCAUCAGCUUUUUGGAUUGUGCUAUUUCAGAAAGUAUUUAGACCUUCUUUGGUGGAUUCUGCCUUUGUUUCAUAUACUCUUAUAUAUUUCUCCAUUUAAGUUGUUCUGACAGGGUAAACUAUUUAUUGCAGCUUAAGGCUUGUACUUCAGAAGUCUUUCAGUGCUGAAUCAGCUAGAGGAGACCAGUCACCUCUGUGCAAUUUGAAUAAUUCAGAAGCUCUUAGAAGUCUUGUACGAAGAGUUAUUAAACAGAGUUUAGCAAAGCUAGAGCUGGAGCCAACUGCGUCAGAAAGAUCUAUUAGAUGGGAACUUGGUUCUUGUUGGGUGCAACAUCUACAAAAGCAGGAAACCCCAACAGAUACCAAGUCAACGAGGUCUGGGGAUGAUAUUGAGACUGAACAUGCUGUCAAAGGUCUUGGGAAGCAAUUUAAAUUUUUGAAGAAGAGGGAGAGCAGACCUAACCUUGUUGGUAGCAAUAAUAAGGCUAACGAAGAUGACAAUGGACCGUGCAGCAUGAAUGUGGGAACUAAUGGCAGACAGCAAAGCAAUGGCGAGCUCAAUUGUGAGAUGGAAUUGAAAAAACUAAUUUCUGAAGAAUCCUUCUUGCGAUUGAAAGAAACUGGCACUGGCCUUCAUUCAAAGGUUUCAAAAUCUCAAAUUUGUUUUCAACUGUAAAGUUUGCUACUUUUUGUGUUUUCAUUAUGCUAAAUUUGGUUUGUUUUAUUUUCAUAUGGAAUGACUGGUAAAAUUAAUUUCUUGUGCAGGCAGUGCAUGAGCUUAUGAAAAUGGCAUACAAAUAUUAUGAUGACAUUGCUUUACCAAAGCUGGUACUAUUUAAUUUAUUUAGGGCCUUUGUUGCAGCCAAUUUAGACGUGUGAGGAUGGUUUAUGGACUAAUUUGCAUUCUUUAUUAGGUAACAGACUUUGGAUCACUUGAACUUUCUCCGGUUGAUGGCCGCACACUGACAGACUAUAUGCAUUUAAGGGGACUACAAAUGCGCUCUUUAGGUCACGUGGUGAGGAAUUUCUCCCUCUCUUUCUCUCUCAGACAUGUAACCUAUUCACCCGUGGAAAUCGGAAUAAACAAAUUUUGUCUUUCUUUAUGUAAACAAAGCCCCUAAGUUAUCUUUCUAUAUGUAAACAAUCUCCCCAAGUCUUCCUGGAUUGAAUUAUCAAUGUUCCUUUUUGAAAACUGUACUACAUGAUAGAAUUUUUGACCAGGUGACCUUUUCCAAGAUAUUGAAUUAUUGUCGUCUUUAGAUAUUACUGUAUGUUGUAUGACAUACAAUAUUUUGAGAAAUUGACAUGCUAAUACUUGAAAGCCUGGUAUUCUUCUUCUGUUGGUUCUAAUCCCAUUUACAAAUUCAGGUUGAACUUGCAGAGAAGCUUCCUCACAUACAAUCACUUUGUAUUCAUGAGAUGGUUACUCGAGCGUUCAAGCAUGUACUUAAAGGAGUCAUCGCAUCUGUUGACUAUUUAUCAGACCUAUCUGCAGCUAUAGCUUCUUCCCUAAAUUUCUUAUUUGGCUGUUGUGAGAUGGAAGAUGACCAAAGCUUGAAUGAAGAUCAUAUCCUUAGAUUGCAGUGGCUACGAACAUUUCUUGGCAGAAGAUUUGGUUGGUCCCUGAAAGACGAGUUUCAGCAUUUGAGAAAGAUUUCAAUUCUACGUGGGCUUUGCCAUAAGGUAAGGUACUGUCUUUCGGUUCCUUUGGCAGCGGAUUAUUUUCAAAACUUGAAUUUUGCUUGUAAACUUUACCCAGGUUGGGUUGGAGUUGGUUCCAAGAGAUUAUGAUAUGGAAUGCCCAAACCCAUUCAUGAGAGAUGAUAUUGUCAGCAUGGUUCCUGUGUGCAAGGUGAGACUAUUUUCUCUCUUAAUUGUGUUUUGAUUUAGUUUUUACAUUCUCAAUGAGUCACUCAUUUGUAAAUUGAAUGUAAUUGUGCUAUUUUUAUGGCAUUCUACAGCAUGUAGGUUGCACUUCAGCUGAUGGACGGACUUUAUUAGAGUCAUCCAAAAUUGCCCUUGAUAAAGGAAAACUAGAAGAUGCUGUAAAUUAUGGGACAAAGGUAAUAACCCACUCGAUCUAUACGUAAGAAUUACAUUAUUCUUUUCAUAAUAAGGCAUCUCUUGAUCUCAUAUGAUGUAUUACUUGCAUUGUAAGGCACUGGCAAGGAUGAUAGCUGUUUGUGGUCCCUACCAUCGGACUACUGCAAGUGCUUACAGUCUUCUAGCUGUAGUUCUCUACCAUACUGGAGACUUUAAUCAGGUACGACAAUCUUCAGUUGUAUUUCAGUGUUAACUUGGUGAUUCUAAGUCGAGUAUAAUUAUAAUGUCCUUCUGUACGGAGGUUCUCAUUCAGUGGGACAUUUGAUUUGAAACUGUGUUAUGGCUAGUUUUUAUGGUCUUGUAUAAAGAUAUGCAUUAGGAAUUAUAAUUUUCUGGACUUAGGAAUUACAUGAACAGGCAUUAGCAUAAUUUUGAUAUCAGAUUAUAUAUUUUAACUAAAUCAAACACGUUCAUGGUUCUUAUGUUCUGGCAUUUGGUCUAAUGGCAUCUGCGUCUGAGUGUUAGCGUUCGUAUGUACUCAAGAUAUCUUCUUCUUCAUUUUAGGCAACUAUAUAUCAGCAGAAGGCAUUGGAUAUUAAUGAGAGGGAACUUGGUCUUGACCAUCCAGAUACAAUGAAAAGCUAUGGGGAUCUUUCAGUUUUCUAUUAUCGCCUUCAACACAUUGAAUUGGCUCUUAAGUAAGUAGCACUGCUUGAUUUACCGGAGCAACUUUGUGAUUUUCAUUCUUUAACUGAUUAAGGUUUAUUUAUUCAUAAAUUAAAUUGGAAGUUUCGAAAAAUGUGACCUUUGUAUUGAAUCUGCUUCGAACGAAUGCAGUUUUUAUGUACCUACUUUAGCUUUUAUUUGUCUUUUAUUGGCUAUAGCUCCUGAUCAUACCGUACCAUUGGCAGAUAUGUAAAUCGUGCCUUAUUCCGUUUGCAUUUUACUUGUGGACUUUCACAUCCAAACACGGCUGCAACAUACAUAAAUGUGGCUAUGAUGGAAGAGGGCAUGGGAAAUGUUCAUCUUUCUCUUAGAUAUUUGCUUGAAGCCCUUAAAUGCAACCAAAGACUAUUAGGAGGUGACCAUAUACAGGUUUUUCUCUCUCUAUUUACGCAUGUAUACACAUUCUUUAGAAUUAUAAAUCUUUCUGUAAACUCAGAAUUUUGUUUGAUUUCUUCACGUGACAGACAGCUGCAAGUUAUCAUGCCAUAGCCAUAGCUCUUUCUUUGAUGGAGGCAUAUUCACUAAGUGUGCAACAUGAGCAAACUACACUUCAGAUUCUCCAAGCAAAGCUUGGACUAGAAGAUCUGCGUACUCAGGUGACUACAUGUAGUCAUAUUUUAAUUGGUUCUGUUGUGCAAUUUGGCUAGUUGGCUUCUCUCUUGUCAAUCUUUUACAGGUGAUAUUAUGAUAUAAAACAAAUUGUAUUGGAGGCAUAUUUUUGGUGUCAAAUAUGGAUAUGACUUAUUCAUUAAUCGUAUCCAAAUAUCAAAAUACGGAUAUGACCCGUUUAUUAAUCGUGUUGACUUGUUUAAUAUUAAAUACAAACAAAUUAAAAAUUAAUUUUAAAAUAACAAAUGUGUCAAAAAAAUGAGUUAUAAAUAAGUUAAAAUGACAUAAGUAUGACAUGAAUAAGUUUAUAACAUAAUGUGAGUAUGACAUGAGUCAUUAAUUUAGUGUUUAGUAUAUAUUUUAGUUUUUUUUUCCAAUAAUAUUAACACAUAAUAAUUGAUAUUUGUGUUAUAAACGUAUAAUCAUAUUGAGAUGGUCCAAAACAGAUACGACAUGGUUAUUUAUCGUGUUGUGUCAACUCAUUUAUUAAUCGUGUCAAUAUUUGUCAACACGAAUAUGGGUCAUAUGUCAUAUUAUGUUGUGUAAUCGUGUCGUAAUCCAUUUUCCCACCUCUAAUCUUAACUGUCAUAAGAGAAUUUCUCAAGUUCCAUAUUAUUGAUGGGAAGAGAAUUUUGUUAUUUUGUUGUAUUUUUUUUCGUUUUACAGGAUGCUGCUGCAUGGCUGGAGUAUUUUGAAUCAAAAGCUCUAGAGCAGCAAGAAGCGGCACGGAAUGGAACUCCAAAGCCAGAUGCGUCCAUUGCGAGUAAAGGUCACCUUAGGUAUUAACAGGGUAUUCCCACAUUACUUGUUUCUAAAUUGUUGAUUAUUUCUUGUGGCACCAAGACCUAUAAUGAUUGCUUUUUGCAGUGUAUCAGAUCUCCUGGAUUACAUUAGUCCUGGUCAAGAUUCUAAAAGAAGCGAAGCACAUAGGAAACAACGACGUGCAAAGGUAGUAUAUACUUAGUACCUGUUUAGUAUGAUUUAUCUAAUAGUCAUAAAUUUUUAUUUAAUCCCAUAAGCUGUUAUCAAUUUUUUUUUUGUUGUUUAAUUGUUUUUUUCGUAGAGCUCUUGAAAAUUAAAUAAGUUAUUUUACCUCUACUACCAAAAGCUCAAAUUUUGUGCUUUUGAGAGUAGAGGUUAAAAAGUUUUUUUUAAAUGUUAAAAUAUCUAAAAUAUUUUCUACUUAUUUGACAAUCUUAUUUUAUUCUUUUCAAAACAUAACUUUAAAAAAUUUGCUUAUUAAAGUAAUUUUAUAAUUUUUAAUAAAAGCUUUUAUUGACAACCAAACAACACAAAUUUUUUGGGUAAAAACUUUACUUAUAAAAUCUUUACUAACAAAAGCUCUACUCAGAUAAGAUUUAUUUGAAAAGCUAUGUCAAAUGAAGCAUUAAGCCUGCUGCUGUUCUCUGUUCCUUUUUUCUUGUGAUGUCAUCUGAAUGGAUUCUUAAACUAAUUGUAGUUAGGAUUUGGUGUUUUAGAGUACACUCUGCUGGCUGCAUAUAGUUUUGGAUUUGCUGAUUACACGAGUAAACUUGUUGUCAAAUGCAACUAUAUAUCAGCAGGAUAAUAGUUCUACUUUUCUGAGUGAACUCUGAAGGCGCCAAUUAUAACAUCCAUUUCUAGUAUAGAAUCCCCCGCCCAACAAAAAGAAAUCUAACAUGCUUAUACAGAUCGCAGACAUGAUUGAAACUUUAGAAGUUUCUGAUCUAUUGAUGGUCAUAGAUUGGGCCAGCUGAUAGUUAGUAGGCAAUGAUGGAGGGUUGCUUGGUCAAGCUGCUAGUACUUUGGAAAUUCAGAGAUGAUGUGCAGAACGAGUGAUAGUUUUUGUUUUCCUCCGUAAUCUUGAACAGAGUGGGAAGAAACCAUUAAUUUGAAGUGCAAUGGAUGGAUAUGACAGAUCUAUCAUUUUGGCUAGUAGAUGGAGUUCUUCCAUUCUACUGUUAUUUACUGGUUGUUUUUAUUGAUUCUAGAAAAACAUUUUUCGAUUUGGCAGUUGGAGUUUUUCCCUUUUUUUUUUCUCCCCAUUUUGUAGGCCUUAGAGAACCAAAUAAUACUACAUAUUAGAUAGACAGGAUUAUUAUGUGCUAAUUUGAAGUAUUACCUGGUUGACAAUUUAAGACACUAGUAAAGUAUUUCGCUAUGAUUAUUUUUUUUUGAGAAUUCCAUGAUUCAAAAGGCCGAAGAAUUUCAUUAGUUUAACAUAGUAUAUAUUAACAUAAUUUCUCACUGAGUGUUUUUUUCAACAUUUCAGGCAUGUACAUAUCAAAUUCCCAUUUAUGUUCCGCUGAAUUCUGCCUCAUGUUAUGUCCGGAUUUGUUGUAAUAAAUUUUGCUACUGUAAAAUUACAAGAUGAUUGUAACUUAAAAUGAACCAUUUCUAUUUGCUCAAUUUUUUUUUUUUUUUUUUUAUUUUUUCAGGUAAUGCAGAUUAGGGAAAAGAUUCAUGGAGCACAUCAUGAUAUGAUGGUGGAAGAUGCACUGCCCCAUGAUGGAUUGAAAAAGAGUAUGACUAUAGUGGAAAGCAAGACCGAGGAAGUAAUAGAAGACAGUGUUCAACCUGAAGAGCCAGAAGAGAAUGAUGAUAUUACUAGAUAUGGACCGGCAAUUUCAGGUGAGUUUGUGGAAGAAACAAAUUCAGAUGAGGGGUGGCAAGAAGCCAAUCCAAAAGGUAGGUCAGGAAAUGCUGCUGUUCGGAAGCUCAGCCGGAGGCGACCUGUUCUUACAAAGCUAAAUGUCAAUGGUUGUGAACAUUCAAAUCUUAGAGAAAAAGGCAAUAGACGGGAAAUUGUAUCUCCAGCACGGGAAAAAGCUUCAAGGACCACCACCACUGAGUUAACAGGCACGAAGGAUUCAAUUAAAUUGCAGGCAAAAGCUUCUGUCUCCAAAGUUUAUGCAAGUCCACCAAACCUUACUGCCAUGGCUUCCAAGUCGCUGUCUUACAAAGAAGUAGCUGUGGCACCACCAGGUACGGUUCUAAAGCCAUUACCAGAGAAACCUGAUGAAGAAAUUGAAGAAAAAACUGAAACACAGAUGUGCAGUAAUGCUCCUGAGACAUCAAAGGCGGAGUUGAAUAACCAUUUCUCUCCCGUUGAAGAUGCGCCAGUUGAUGGUCAGUCUCAAGAAACUCAUGGAAGUGUAACUCAAUCUGAAACUACGGCUGCAGAUACCGAGGAAGUUCCUUCUUCUUCUAAUGAGGAAAAGCCCAUGGAAACAAAUGGGAGUAAGCUUUCUGCCACAGCUGAACCAUUCAACCCAGGAGCUUUCUCCAUGACUCAUCUGCUAAACUCUGUAGCAGCCACGAGUAUUUAUGAUUCGAGAACUAGUCAAGGUAUGCUUGCAGAACCUGCUGUACCUUCGGCUGCUGCUAGAGUUCCUUGUGGGCCAAGGUCGCCUCUCUAUUAUAGAAAUAAUUAUUCUUGCAUGAUGAAACAUGGAUUUCCAAAAUACCACUCUUCCAUUAUAGAAAGAAACCUGUUGGGGCCUUCAAGAAUCAUGAACCCACAUGCACCUGAGUUUGUGAAUAAAUCCUGGAUAUGCAGAUUCAAAUGUUUCAAAUGAGUCGAACUCUUCAAAUGACACAAGUGAGGCAGACGAUGAGAAACUUGACAAAAUGUCCAGUAUUCAAGGCGAGGAUAAUACCUCAAGAAAGAGCAGUACAGAGGCGGAGAAAUCAGAGCUGGGAAGACAGAUACUACUUAUCUUCAUUGUAAAGUCAGUCCAGCAUAAUAUGGAUGCUCCAAGUCAAUCUUCAGGCUACGAAAAGAAGAGUGGGUAUUCAGAAAAUUCUUCAGAUGCAAUUGCAAAUGAUAGUGCUAUCAUAAAGAUCCUUUAUGGAAAUGAAAAGGGCAAAACAAACUUGGCAUCUCAGUCCAAUGAUCAAGAACAGCAAAAACCCAAAGAUAAUAACCAAAAAAGUGGGGAUGGUGAAGGAUUUAUAGUUGUCAGAAAACGGAGAAGAAACCGACAGCAGAUCACAAAUGGGGUAACUGAGAUGUACAAUCAUCAAUCCAUCUGUGCUUCUGUUCGUUAAAAGAGAGAGCAAAGCAAUAAAAUGCAAAGGUGCCGUCCUGUUUCUCCCAAUUUUAUUCGAAAAAUUUGUUAGUGAAUGUUACCGUUGUAGAAAUGGUUAAAGUUUGGAGCAAGUUUUAAUCAAUACUUGAUUGUAUCAUUUUAGAUAUCCUCUCUGGAUGUUCUAAUAUAAUAUUUGUACAAAUCGGUUUCUUGUUUUGUUAAGAGAUUUUGUUUUGAUCAAUAAAUGAUGAUAAAUUAAUUGGGCGAUUUUCCUUCUCAAGAGAUCUGUGAUGUUGUUCUAUAAUGGAUUUUAAUGUUUUAGACUGAGAUUUGUAGUUAAUUAUGCCUCAAAUUAUUUGGUAUUUGGUUGGUGCGUGUGAACAAUACGUUCGGAAUGGAGUUGAAUUGACCCACUGAUAGAUAGCUUACAUUUGCAGCUGAAGUUGCUGCACUGAUGAUAUUACAACUAACAUAGUAGUUGGCAAAAUUCCUUAUUCAAUUUAAAUUUGCAAUCAACAGAAAUUGAAGAAGAAGCCGUAAGUCUAAUCCUAAUGGAUGCAUAGCUGUUUGGAGAAAAGCCAACGGAGACAUAACACAGCACGAUAAGUUAUACACGGCAGAACCGUAUGUGCUAGUAAGCACAGUCACCGAUGGAAAACAUAUUUGAAAAGCCAAUAGUAGCAUGUGUCAAUACAUCUAUCAAUGAAAUAGAACCACAGUCUGCACCAGUACGAGUUUAUCCAAAGUGCUGCAAAUAAACCCAAAGUUACUGACACAUAGGAUGCUCCAAAACUCCAUCUUAAUGCCACCAUAUCAAUCACAGAAUCGCCUUCAUCUCCUCCUCCUCCUCCUCCUGUAGGGGUCGCUGGUGGUGCCAACGCACUGCUGCAUUUCCUCUUUAUCAUUGAGCCACAAAGAGCCGAAUUACCUUUAUAACUGCUGUCAUCAAAGGUGGCAAACUGCUCUUUGUCUGGGAUUGGGCCGGACAAAUUGUUGUAUGACACGUUAAAAUUUGACAAAAAAUUGAGCUCAGUUAGUUGAGGAGGAAUUCGGCCACUUAAUUUGUUGCGGGAAAGGUCCAGGCUCUCUAUCAUUUUCAGAUUGGAGAAGGUCUCUGGUAUAGCACCUGAUAGUAAAUUAUUCGACAGAUUAAGUGCACGAAUAUGUUGAAGAUGCCCAAUUUCCCAUGGAAUUUCUCCACUGAAUUCAUUGCUCGACAAAUCCAGUCCAGCCAUGUCGACGAGAUUGCUACCGAUGAAAAAUUCAUAUCUAUACUUUGUCACAAAUUCUACACCUACUUGUUGAUCUUGUCCACCAUGUAGUUCAUCUGGCAACUGCAGAUCAAGAGUGGAAUUGUAGUAAGUAUAAGUGAAAUCACGAUUUGACCCAGCAAAUCCGUAUCCAUAUGGAUAAUCAUCAAUCGCUUCUCUCCAGAAUGACACGUUACCCAGGCAUGAAGGUAUCGGCCCAUUAAGUCUGUUAUGUGAAAGAUCCAUGAUACGUAAUUUUCUUGAUUGGCACAACUGAUUAGGAAUACGUCCUUGUAGAUAAUUCCCUCUCAAAAGAAGAACAUGCAAAUUCGAAAGCUCAUUGAUCUGAUGAGGAAUCCUACCACAAAAUUUAUUGUCCCUCAAAUCGAGAGUCAAUAAUGUAGAGCUUCUAAGCAAUGCAAUUGGAAUUAACCCAUUAAUUGCAUUGUUAUGCAGAAAAAUGUGCUGCACUGAUGAAAGAUUGGAGAGAGAUACCAUGGACCCAGACAAACUAUUUUCGGAUAUGUCUAUAAACUCAAGACUUUCAAGAUUGCCGAGCUGGACCGGAAUACUACCUUGAAAAUAAUUUUCUGACAUUAAAAGAAGCCAAAGGCUUGAGAAGUUGCCAAUCCAGUGGGGAAUAUCGCCGGAUAACUUGUUGUUGGAUACAUUUAAUACCUCUAGCCAAGUGGAGCUCAACAAACCAUCUGUCAUCUUCCCACUGAAAUGAUUGUUGUCCAAAAGUAAGGAACGCAAAUGAGUCAAGUUCAUAUAAUUGGGAAAAAGUUGGCCAUAGAAAUUGUUAUUUGAUAGGUCCAACAUUUCUAAGGAGAGGCAACUAGAGAAUAUAGAUCGAGGUAAUUCUCCUGAAAAAUUAUUUUCAGACAAAUCCAAAGUAAUUAGCUCUUUCAUCUCACUGAUUGAAUGCGGAAUAUUACCUUCAAAACUAUUUUUUGACAUAUCCAAAUAUAUCAAUUUCUGAAAGACAAUACCCAAAUUCUCUGGUAGCUUACCAGAGAAAUUGUUAGUGGAAAUAUCUAGAUGACGAAGCUUGUCGUAUUUGGCAUUGGGAAGUCGCGGAAGAAUUCCCGAGAAUGAGUUAUUCCACAAAAUCAAAAUUUCUAAUCCUGUGUUGUUUUGCAACAACCAAGUUGGGAAAUUGCCAACCAACUCAUUGUGAGAGAGAUCAAGGAAUUUUAAGUGGUGUUGGUGUAAAAGAAAACUACUAUUGACAUUUAAGUGGCAGUGAGAUAAUUGGAGAACCUUGAGAGGAUAUGUGGGGAGCCAAUUUUCGGUUUUCACUUGCAACAUAUCGUUUCCUGACGAGAGUCGCAAGACCUCAAGCUUUGAAUGAUUAGCCAAUGAAUUUAUUGAGAAUGUUCCUUGGAAAUCGAUGAAAGAGAGAUCCAAAUAUUCAAGUGAUGUGAGGUUGGUCAAGGCAGAAGGAAAGUUUCCACUUAACUGAUUGUAAGAAAUAUCAAGAACUUUGAGAUGGGUCAAGUUGUUGAGGCACUGAGGAAGGUGAACCACAAAAUUAUUUGACUUUAAAUCCAACUCAAGAAGAUUCUUCAAAUUACAUAUUCCUGAAAGUGAAAAUAAAAAGCUCAGAUUUCAUAAAACGAAAACUAAUUAUAGUGCAUUCAAUCAUAAACCCAAUAUAAGACUUAUAAAACGGACAUGAAAUCAAAUUGUCUAAGUAUUUUGGUCAACAUAAAUAAUAAUAGAAUGAUAUGAAUUUAUUUCUCAUAUAAUAUGAUGUUGAUUGCAAAAGCAUUUCAAUUAAUCUAACAAUAAAAUAAUAAUAAUAAUAAUAUAAAAGCAGUCAGCAAUUCUUGCUCAUCAUAAUCCAUUCAAAAAGUGUUUCAGCAAUUCUCGUUGUUUAAAAUAAUGAUUUUCUGUGGAAGAGUUUGUUGACUUCGUCUUUUUCGUUGGAUAUUGGUUUUCUAAUCUCUAAAUUUGUUGGAUAAUGUAAAGAGAAACUCAUAAUAUAUUAGUUGUUUUCAUAAACUUUAUUUAUUCUUCUCAUAGCAUUAAACAAAAGUAUUUGCCCAAGCGGGGAAAAAAAAAACUGGUCUUCAUAUUUAAUUUCGUCGAAGUACUUCGACCAACAAGUCACUGGGAAGUAGGAAUUGUGUAUCAGUAAUGCAAAUAUUGGGUACGUUGGCAUUGUUUUUAAAUGCUGUUUUUUAUUUUUUGAAUUUAGAAAAUAUUAGAUACCUGUUCGGUAGAUUGUUUCUGAAAUUUUAAAAAAAAUAUAAAAUUCAUUCUACACAUUUUAACAAAAGAAAUGAGAAACAACUUUUUCUUAUUUUCCUUAUUUCCUAAUACAAGAUUAAGUUCCAAAAUGAAGAAUUCUCUUUACCUCCUCUUGAAAUAAUAAUAAUAAUAUCAACAUUAUUAUUAUUAUUAUCAUUAGGUCUAAUUAUCCUUGGGUGACACAUGUUUUAAUAAAUUUCAAAAAGAUGACACAUGUUUUGAAAAUACUCGAGUGGGUGACAUUGCAUUAACUUUUACUGUUAAUUUUAACCAGUUGAGAGUAGAAUUGGAAAAAAUAGACUUUUUUUUUUUUCAUAAAGCCAAAGAGACGAAAAUUUUGAAUUUAUACAAUACUUUAUAAUUCAUAAGAUUUUUGCUUCUUUAUAUGCACAAAUCAGUUUGAUUCAACAAGAUUUUUUUUUUAAAAAAUUUGAUUUAACAAAAAAAACCUGUUAAUUAGACUUAGGUUUAAUUUUUCUAUUUAAAAAAUUAAAAAUGAGUGAGUAUGGGCAGAAACAUCAUUUUGUGGGGUAGAAAUGUCAUUUAAUUUAUUAUUCUCAUUAAAAUUAAUGGCAAAAGUUAAUAGAAUGUCACUCGCUCCAAUAUUUUUAAAAAAUGUGUCAUCUUCUUAAAAUUUGUUAAAACAUAUGUCACCUAGAGAUUAUCAUUGUUGUUGUUGUUGUUGUUGUUGUUGUUGUUGUUGUUGUACCCAAAGAAUCAUUUUCCUUCACAAAAAUCUUUUCUUUUUAUAUACAUUAUAAUAUUUAUGUUUUUAUAUAUUAACUAAAUCAAAUAUGUAGGGUUUAUCAUUUUUCUUUGAACAAAAAAAUAGAAAGAUCACCUAAUUUAUUCUUAAAAUUAAAAUAAUCAAUAUACAUUGCUUAAUCUUAAGUUUAUGGAAAUUAUUCCAAUAAUAAUUCUUUGAGAUAUUCUUACCAAACAUAUUUUUUUUUCUCAUUUUUUAGAUUAUUUUUUAAAAUGAUACUGAACACAUUUUUAAAUUUUAAAAAUAAAUUUAAAAAUAGCAUUUGCAUUUUUACUUUGUCAAAACAACAAUUAGAAAACAAUAUUGGGCUCUUAUUUAUCAUGUUUCAACAUAAAAACACAGUGUAAAAUGUUUAAUAUGGGUUUCUAGAGAAUUUUUUAUGUUACUAUUACACAAAUUCAAUGCUUCCAAGUUUUUGAAUUUAGCUAAUCUUGCAUCAAGAAUUAAUGGACAUAAGAAAAAAAAAAUUUCAUUCAGAACUAUAAAUAUUGAAAUAAAGAUAAAUAUCAUUGUUGAUUUUUUUAUAAAAAAGAUUUAGAAUUAAGAGAGAGUGAAAGAAAUGAGUGGUUUAUGUCGGAAAUUGGUGAUAGAGUAUGUCAAGUACUAAACUUUGUAUAGAAAACAGUGCUUCUAAUUUAAAUUUGAUCUAGUUUAAAGCAAUUAAAAAAUGCAAAUAUAUCAUCAUCUUGAUUAACAUCUAAAACAAUUUUUGUCAUCGGAGGAAGUGAAUUGUUAUAUACCUUGAAUUGUAGUUAUCCCACAAUAACCAAGAUCCAAUAUUUUCAAGUUUGGCAAAUCUGCAAAUCCUACAUGCGCAGAUAAAAAUGUAAACAUUACAUUUAAAGGAAUUGUAUGUGAUCCGUGCGUUUGAUGAACAUUAAUUCUACAUUUAAUUUGCUUCUUAUCUUAGAUUCAGUGGCCUACCUAGCGUUGUCAGAUUUUGAUUACCGCUUAAAUCCAACACUUGCAGGUUUGUCAAAUUUGCUAAUCCUGUUAAAAAAAAAACACAUAAAUUUUGUCAAUAACAGUUAUGUCACUCUCGUCUAAAUUGUUUAAUUAAAAUAAUAUGGUAAAUAUUGAAUGAAAAUUAAUUGUGCACAUAGUUUUUUUUUUGUUUCUAUUGAUAUUUUAAUAUAUACCGUCACUUUUAGCAUUACCAAGAUUAAGAGUGUUUGAAUCAUAAUUUGUAAAUUAGUUUGCACAUUGACUAAACUUGAAAAUGUGAAAAAAACAAUUAAAAAAAUGGAAAUAUAUUAUCAUCUUGAUUAACAUCUAAAACAAAUUUUGUCAUUGGAGGAAGUGAGUUGUUAUAUACCUUGAAUUGUAGUUAUCCCACAAGAAUGAAGAUCCAAUGUUUUCAAGUUUGGCAAAUCUGCGAAUCCUACAUGCGCCGAUAAAAAAUGAAAAUAUUACAUUUAAAGGAAUUGUAUGUGAUCCGUGCGUUUGAUGAACAUUAAUUCUACAUUUAAUUUGCUUCUUAUCUUAGAUUCAGUGGCCUACCUAGCGUUGUCAGAUUUUGAUUACCGCUUAAAUCCAACACUUGCAAGUUUGUCAAAUUUGAUAAUCCUGUUAAAAAAAACACAUAAAUUUUUUCAACAACAGUUAUGGCACUCUCGUCUAAAUUGUUUAAUUAAAAUAAUAUGGUAAAUAUGAAAAUUAACUGUGCACAUUGUUAUUUUUUUGUUUCUAUUGAUAUUUUAAUAUAUACCGUCACUUUUAGCAUUACCAAGAUUUGGAGUGUUUGAAUCAUAAUUUGUAAAUUAGUUUGCACUUUGAGUAAACUUGAAAAUGUGAAAAAAGCAAUUAAAAAAAUGGAAAUAUAUUAUCAUCUUGAUUAACAUCUAAAACAAAUUUUGUCAUUGGAGGAAGUGAGUUAUUAUAUACCUUGAAUUGUAGUUAUCCCACAAGAAUGAAGAUCCAAUGUUUUCAAGUUUGGCAAAUCUGCGAAUCCUACAUGUGCCGAUAAAAAAUGAAAAUAUUACAUUUAAAGGAAUUGUAUGUGAUCUGUGGGUUUGAUGACCAUUAAUUCUACAUUUAAUUUGCUUCUUAUCUCAGAUUCAGUGGCUUACCUAGCGUUGUCAAAUUUUGAUUAUAGCUUAAAUCCAACACUUGCAGGUUUGUCAAAUUUGCCAAUCCUGCUAAAAAAAAAACAUAAAUUUUGUCAAUAACAGUUAUGUCACUCUCGUCUAAAUUGUUUAAUAAAAAUAAUAUGGUAAAUAUUGAAUGAAAAUUAACUGUGCACAUUGUUUUUUUUUUUGUUUCUAUUGAUAUUUUAAUAUAUACCGUCACUUUUAGCAUUACCAAGAUUUGGAGUGUUUGAAUCAUAAUUUGUAAAUUAGUUUGCACUUUGAGUAAACUUGAAAAUGUGAAAAAAGCAAUUAAAAAAAUGGAAAUAUAUUAUCAUCUUGAUUAACAUCUAAAACAAAUUUUGUCAUUGGAGGAAGUGAGUUGUUAUAUACCUUGAAUUGUAGUUAUCCCACAAGAAUGAAGAUCCAAUGUUUUCAAGUUUGGCAAAUCUGCGAAUCCUACUUGCGCCGAUAAAAAAUGAAAAUAUUACAUUUAAAGGAAUUGUAUGUGAUCCGUGCGUUUGAUGAACAUUAAUUCUACAUUUAAUUUGCUUCUUAUCUUAGAUUCAGUGGCCUACCUAACGUUGUCAGAUUUUGAUUACCGCUUAAAUCCAACACUUGCAGGUUUGUCAAAUUUGCUAAUCCUGUUAAAAAAAAACACAUAAAUUUUGUCAAUAAUAGUUAUGUCACUCUCGUCUAAAUUGUUUAAUUAAAAUAAUAUGGUAAAUAUUGAAUUAACUGUGCACAUUGUUAUUUUUUUGUUUCUAUUGAUAUUUUAAUAUAUACCGUCACUUUUAGCAUUACCAAGAUUUGGAGUGUUUGAAUCAUAAUUUGUAAAUUAGUUUGCACUUUGAGUAAACUUGAAAAUAUGAAAAAAACAAUAAAAAAAUGGAAAUAUAUUAUCAUCUUAAUUAACAUCUAAAACAAUUUUUGUCAUUGGAGGAAGUGAAUUGUUAUAUACCUUGAAUUGUAGUUAUCCCACAAUAACCAAGAUCCAAUAUUUUCAAGUUUGGCAAAUCUGCAAAUCCUACAUGCGCAGAUAAAAAUGUAAACAUUACAUUUAAAGGAAUUGUAUGUGAUCCGUGCGUUUGAUGAACAUUAAUUCUACAUUUAAUUUGCUUCUUAUCUUAGAUUCAGUGGCCUACCUAACGUUGUUAGAUUUUGAUUACCGUUUAAAUCCAACACUUGCAGGUUUGUCAAAUUUGCUAAUCCUGUUAAAAAAAGGUAAAUUUUGUCAAUAACAGUUAUGUCACUCUCGUCUAAAUUGUUUAAUAAAAAUAAUAUAGUAAAUAUUGAAUGAAAAUUAACUGUGCACAUUGUUAUUUUUUAUUUUUCUAUUGAUAUUUUAAUAUAUACCAUCACUUUUAGCAUUACCAAGAUUUGGAGUGUUUGAAUCAUAAUUUGUAAAUUAGUUUGAACUUUGAGUAAACUUGAAAAUGUGAAAAAAACAAUAAAAAAAUGGAAAUAUAUUAUCAUCUUAAUUAACAUCUAAAACAAUUUUUAUCAUUGGAGGAAGUGAAUUGUUAUAUACCUUGAAUUGUAGUUAUCCCACAAUAACGAAGAUCCAAUACUUUCAAGUUUGGCAAAUUUGCGAAUCCUACAUGCGCCGAUAAAAAAUGAAAAUAUUACAUUUAAAGGAAUUGUAUGUGAUCCGUGCAUUUGAUGAACAUUAAUUCUACAUUUAAUUUGCUUCUUAUCUUAGAUUUAGUGGCCUACCUAACGUUGUCAGAUUUUGAUUACCGCUUAAAUCCAACACUUGCAGGUUUGUCAAAUUUGCUAAUCCUGUUAAAAAAAAAACACAUAAAUUUUGUCAAUAACAGUUAUGUCACUCUCGUCUAAAUUGUUUAAUUAAAAUAAUAUGGUAAAUAUUGAAUGAAAAUUAACUGUGCACAUUGUUAUUUUUUGGUUUCUAUUGAUAUUUUAAUAUAUACCGUCACUUUUAGCAUUACCAAGAUUUGGAGUGUUUGAAUCAUAAUUUGUAAAUUAGUUUGCACUUUGAGUAAACUUGAAAAUGUGGAAAAAGCAAUUAAAAAAAUGGAAAUAUAUUAUCAUCUUGAUUAACAUCUAAAACAAUUUUUGUCAUUGGAGGAAGUGAAUUGUUAUAUACCUUGAAUUGUAGUUAUCCCACAAGAACCAAGAUCCAAUGUUUUUAAGUUUGGCAAAUCUGCGAAUCCUACAUGCGCCGAUAAAAAAUGAAAAUAUUACAUUUAAUGGCAUUGUAUGUGAUCCGCGCGUUUGAUGAACGUUAAUUUUACAUUUAAUUUGCUUCUUAUCUCAGAUUUAGUGGCCUACUUAGCGUUGUCAGAUUUUGAUUAUCGCUUAAAUCCAACACUUGCAGGUUUGUCAAAUUUGCUAAUCCUAUUAAAAAAAGGUAAAUUUUGUCAAUAACAGUUAUGUCACUCUCGUCUAAAUUGUUUAAUUAAAAUAAUAUAGUAAAUAUUGAAUGAAAAUUAACUGUGGACAUUGUUUAAUUAAAAAAUUAUCUUCUAAAGAACCGUGUAUAUAAUAAUUAGAACUGAAAUCCAACGCUUCCAAGUUUUUUAAUUUAGCUAAUAUUGCGCCAAGAAAGAAGAAAAAUCUUAGUAAUCAUCUUUGGGAAAAAAAAUAAAGAAUUAAGAAAUAAAUUUCAAAGUUAGAUUAAAUAAUUGUAGUAAUAAAGCUUAUGAUUUAGAUCUAAUUAAAUUGAUCAUAUACUCAAAAAUGGUUUUAUUUUUUUCUUUUGUUAAAAAAAUUUUACUAAGAAAUUAGAAAGCAAAUUUUUGUCGUGUACCAAUUGUAGUCAAGUUUGUCAAGUUUUCCAGUCAAAAAUUGGUUUUAAUUUGACAUUAUACAUGUGUAAAAAUUAAGGGCAUAAUAAUAUCACAAGGAAUUUGGGUAGUGACUUGUUGCCGUGUACCUUGAAUUGUAGUUAUUCCACAACCAGUAAGAUCCAAUUUUUUCAGGUUUGUCAAAUUUGCCAAUCCUACACCAACAAAAAGCAAACUAUUAUUUUUAAAAUUAUUGUUGAAAUUUGUGAUUAGUGUGCUAACUUGGUAAUUAUCUUAGUAGCCUACCUAGCCUUGUUAAAGAGCCACUAGUUAAAUUGUUGUUCCAGCUUAGAUCCAACACUUGCAAGUAUCUCAAAUUUGCUAAUCCUGCUCAGAAAACAUUAAUUUUGAUCAAGACAAUAUACAUAUAUAUUUUAAUUAAGAAAUUAAUUAAGUUGCCUGACAAGUAUAUCUGCUGGCCUGAAACGUAUAUGUAUAUACCUUGCCUGGUUCUGGAACCUUCAAUCUUAUUGUAAUGAAGAUUCAGAGUGGUAAGUGAAGUAAGUGUAUUCAAAUAUGGUAAUAUUCUGUCGUUGAAGAAAUUAUUUUCAAGAUUUAAGGUCUUCAGCUGCUUCAAACUCCCAAAGCUAUCGUAAGCUGCAAAUGAAUAUGAAGUGUUAUUAUUAAUUAGUCACUGACAAAAUAUUUAUGGACGAGAAAUAACUGUAUACAUAUAUACGGACCUCUCUUCUCAUAGAUGCCUGUAAACCAAUUCCGAAAUAAGUUGAGUCUUUGCAAUUCUUCAAAAGGAUGAAACAAUGACAUAUUCAGAAGCAAAGUCGGAGGUCCUUCAUAAACAAAAAAGGAGUUAAAAGGGUAGUUGAAUUUUGUCGUCUCAUUGAGUGAGAGUUGCAUCACGCGUCGUGUGGUGGCGUUGCACAUAACUCCCUCCCAAUCAUCACAACAAUCAGACGGCAUUCCAUCAUCCUCACCAACCCAUGAAGGAAGGAUUUUGUCAUCAUAUCCAAUAUCACUGACUGACAGGAAGAAGCUCUUGAUUUCCAACAGAGCAGUCCUCUCUGUUUCCAAGCAUGCUUUGUAUCCAUGAAUUUCAUUUAUCAAUACAAUAAUCCAAAUUAGUGACAUUAAUGAGAACUUAUUACAGGAAGUACUUUCCAUUGCAGAGCAACUUUUCAUUUGGUUAAAAUUCAAUGUGCAAUGAGCAACUUUCCGUUGCAGAGCAAUUUAUACUAAAAGUUUAUCGCAGGUCUUGCAAUUUGAUUGGAUGAAGACUUUUUUAAGACUUUCCAAUACAUCGCCAUCUUUGAAGACUUCUAAGCAUUCCAUGUUUUGCAACAUUCGACCAACGGGAAAAAGCACUUCAUUAAUACCCCGUGGAAAAUAUAGAUAAAGUGAUUGUAAACUAUAAAUUUUUCCAAUAGUUUGAUGGAGAUAAUCAUAACUAAUAAAAUAAAAGUUGACUGAGAGAAUUUAAAUAAUUUAACCGUUUGUUUGGAUUUCCAUUGCAUUAUCAGUCAAUCUAUUAAAUAAUGUGUUUUGAGAAGAAUUUGAUUGGAUGUUUGAUAAGUUUAAAUUAAUUUAUUAGAAAAUCAAUAAUUAAUCAAAGUAAAUCUUCAUCUAUGUUUAGUUACUGUGGCGUAGUCUGAAAUGAAAAAACACAUAAAUGUUAUUUGAAGCUCUUGUGACACUUUUAUUGGAUAAAAUGUUAAAUAGUUAAGUCAGAUGGACUAAAUCAUAAAACACAUACAGUACUUUGAAUCAAAGCUACUAAAAUCAAAGAUAUUGGGAAUCCUUAAUAAGGAAAGUUUCCAUUGCUCUCAGUCUGCACUCUUCAUUACUAUUGCAAUCACUUGAAAUGACUAAAACAGAAAUUUCGUAUGAACUUGGGACAGCGGUACGGGUCCAAUUUAAAUGACAACUACGUGGAAAAUAAAAAUUUUGCAUCUUUUAUUACAACUACGUGGAAAAUUAAAGUUGACUGACUUUCAAAUUAAGCCAACAAACAAGUGGCAAUCAAUUCUUUUUCCACUAACAAUUAGUGGCGACGGUCAAUACUAUAAAAUAAAAGUUGACUAAGAAUUUAUGUAAUUUAAGAUCCAGAGGUCUAUAAGGUGUCGAUUGUAUGAUUGGGUUUGCACUGAAUUAUCAAAAAAUCUAUUCAAGGAUUUAUAUUCUAAAAUAUUUAGUGAGUUUAGAAAAUUAUUUUAUUAGAUUUUUGUUAAUUUUUUAUUAUUAGAUGGCCAACAAUUAAUCAAGUAAUUUUCCAUAUAUAUUUGAUAAUUUACUCAUAAAAGCGUGGACUACAUUCAAAUGACAUUUUAUAUGAUGUAUGAUAUAUGUAGAGGUGAAAUUUAAAUAGGCUUAAUUUUAUAAAUAAAUACAUAUGUAUUGCAGCAUUCAAUCAUUGUGUUAAAGCGCCAAUCACGGUGACCCCCAAAGCCUGUGAAUGAUUAGUCCAUCAAAACCCAAUGUAUGCUCAAUUAAUAUUUCCUAUCAAGAUCAAAAUUUUUGCUCUAUGGCUUCACCAAUCAUGAGAAUAAAAGCUCGAUUUAUACAAAAAUUACGAAUUUAUGAAACAAAAAGUCACAAUUAUUAUAAUUGGAAGUUUGAUUGAUUUUUAAAGAUUGAUUCAAUCAAUCUUAAUGUUACUGGACAAUCGAUCUUAAUAUUAAUUCAAAAUCAAUCUUUAUAGCGAUUGGCACAGAUAAAGAUAAUUAGUUUUGGUCUCUAUAAUGACUGACGAAGACUUGUAGGACCUGGACCAAUGAGGAAAAACACUUCAUUAAUACUCCAUGGAAAAUAAAUGCUGACUGACUUUCAAAUUAAGCCAACAUACAAAUGAUCGUCAAUUCUAUUUUUUACAAAAAUUGAUGGAGAUAGUCAACUAAUAAAAUAAAAGUUGAUUGAUAUAAUUUAAAGAAUUUAGGCGUAAGUUUGGGUUUUAAAUUAUCAAAUAAUUUAUUCCACUAUUGAUACAUAAAAAAGUGCUUUGGAAUUAAUAAUUCAAUAGGAUGUUUGAUAUAUUGGAAUUUGUAAAAAUCAAUAAUCAACUAUUUUUUAUACAUGUUUAGAAAUUUAUCCGGUGUGUAUAAGGGCUUGUAUAUUUCACAAUAAACUGAGAUUCUUUUUUGGAAAGCCAAUAGAAACAUGAAUUAGUACAUCCAUCGAUUGACGUAUAAUUAUAGGACAAAACUACGUUACAGAAUCUGUAAGGUACAGACUGCAGCAUCAGCCGUUGGAUGUGGUUGGAUGUGGAGUGAGAAACUAAACAAAAGAAAAUCGGAUGGUGGGAUGACGGGAGAUGUUUGUUACAGAAUCUGUAACAUAGACAGGUCCAUAAUUAUAAUCAUAUAAUCAAACAUGAAUUAACCCGUGGGAUACGGAGGAUGUGUGUUAACGUUAACCAAUGGUCAAGCUUAUAAACACAAUCAAGCAAUCAUAUCAUCAAUCAAAGCCACAUUCAGCGCACGACUAGUAAAUAUCAUAAUUGAGUUUGAGGACCACAGCCGCACAGUGAAAGAAUUUGAAUGAAGGAAAAGUAAAAGAAAAUGAAAAGGAAAAGUAAACGAAAAUGAAAAGAAAAUGUUAAGCUGAUUCAUCAGUAACUCCAUAUGACAAUUGCACACAACUUUUGGAUGUUUUUAGCUUCCGUGUGAAUCAAAAUGAUUAACAGAGACUGUCCUGCGUGUCACGUGUAACUAAUGUUGGCGCCAUCUUGAGCUAAUUCUGUUAAGGCCUUCACUCCAUAGUCUUAAGAUCUCAGUGAACAAUAAAUUCUUCAGAUUCAUAUGGCAAAUGAAUUGCACAACAAGGCAUAAACCCCGCUUGAAAGCAACCGACUAUAAUUAAUACAUUUCAAUUGCUCAUAAAAGAAAGAUACAGUAAGCUAGUGGUAUUGUAGUAUAAACAAUACUCGUUUUUCUAUCUUGGUGGUUUCUUGAUAGUGUUCAAAUAUCAGAGCUCGAAGAAAGAUAGAGGAAAGCCAAAGAAAAAUAAGCUAAUUCAUUAUUGACAUCAUAUGAAGGAGGUUCAUCAUCAUCAAACCAUGAACUAAGAGUUUCAACUACUGUUUCAAAAAUUCCUUUCUAAAAUUACGAUAAAUUUAAUAGCUAAUAGAAAUAUUUCAUUAUAUAAAUCAAAUUUCAAACUUGUAAGAAAAAAUGUAAAAAUAUUGGUUUUCAAAUAUUUUUCUAUAUUUUUUUAAAAUUCAAAAUUAGAUAGAGUCAGUCAACCAAUAAAUCAUCAAGAAUUAUCCAUUGCGUCCCCAAUUUGAUCACCAUUCUUGAAAGCAUGGAAAAUUUCCAGUUUUUACAAGUCAAGCGUGGAGUGUACGUUUUUAUGUUAAAGAUGGUUGAGUGGUGAUCACGUUUUACUUUGCAGCCUGCCUAACCAAUUUCAAAGCGUGUUUCACGGAUGACUUAUUUUUAUGAAUUGGAAACUAGCACCAAUAGACUUUUCUCUGUAAAUAUAAAAAGUUCAAAUGAAUACUUUCAAUUAUUGUUUCAAAACUGUCUUUCUAAAAUUACGAUAAUUAUUUUCUAUUGAAUUGUAUGCUUGGAUUUGCAUGGAAUUAUCAAAUAAUUAAUCUAUGCAAGCAUUGAAUUGUAAAGACUAACGAAGACUUAUAAGGCUUGGACCAACGAGGAAAAGUGCUUCAUUAAUACUCCGUGGAAAACAAGCCAACUUGGAGCCGGUUGAUCGAGAUAGUCAACAGUUAUUUGAGAUAGUCAACUAAUAAAAUGAAAGUUAAUUGAGAUAAUUUAGCGUAAGUUUGGGUUUGAAAUAAUCAAAUAAUUUAUUCCUGUAUUGAGAAGAAUUGAAUUCCGUUAUUUUAUUGAGAAGAGAUCCGUCGCUCCCUCCCAAUCAUCACAGCAAUCAGACGACAUUCCUUCAUCAUCGUGAAAUCAUGAACUAAGAGCUUGGUCAUCUCAGCUUCCAAGCAAGCCUUGCAUCCAUGGAUUUCAUCCAAAACAACAAUCCAAAGUAGUGAGGUUAAUGAGAGCUUAAUGAAGGAAGUAUUUCCAUUGCAAAACAACUUUUUAUUUGGUUAAAGUCAAAUGUGAAUUACAUAUCUUUGACUGGUGAUAUAUAUACAUAUAUAUAUUCAGAGAUAUGAAGUACUCAAACCAAAAUAAAAAAAAAUAUAUAAUUAUUAUAAAAAAAUUGAUGAAUAAUAUAGUUCCAGGCAGUGCUAAAACCAUAAUGUACGCCAGUAUGACUUUAUCCAAAGUCACCGGCUACACCAAUAUCAUUGUGACAUAGGAAGCCAUGAGGAAAUUUAAGAAAGAUUUAUUAAACCAUAGUCUACGCCGGUAAGAGGAAAUUAGCAUUCAAUGAUCAGACACUUUCUGCAAUUUCAUUGACUUGUGACCAGGGAGUCCUCAUUCUACGACCCGGGGACAGGGGUCAUAAUUGAUAGAAAUUAACCAGUAGUCAAGCUUAUGAACACAAUCAAGGACCUUGAGUAUGUAACGUAGCAAAUGCGGAGCAUCCACGCGUUGCAGGGGAGAGGAAAAGUUGUUGGAACUUAGCUGAUACAAGACCAAUUUGCACUGAGCUGUUACAUACAGAGCCUGUAACUUAGUUUUGUCCCACAAUCAAGCAAUCAUAUCAUCAAUCAAGGCCACAGUCAAGGCACGACUAAUAAAUAUCAUAAUUUGGUUUGAGGACGACAGCCUUACAGCAAAAGAAUUUGAAUGAAGGAAAAGUAAAGGUAAAUGAAAAGGAAAACCGACUAAAGUUGUUAGAGUGCAAUUUAUGCACUAGUUUUGUAUUGUUUACUUCCCUUAAUAUUGAUGUUUUGCACUUAAUAAUAGUGAUUUACUUGUGUUUUAUUUUUAUAGGUGCAAUUCUAUUGAUUGGUGCUAAAAUUGAGCUACAAGAUGAUGUUUAAGGAUGAUUGUUCUCUUGGAGAAAUUAUGAGUGUCAAAAGAACUUUUUUGAUAAGGCGUGGGCGCGUGCUGUCAACUACGGACCUGCAGUUUUUAGUUUAACAUGUUUUGUAUUUUUAGUUAUUUUUGUAAUUACGAAUUUAAUAUUUCAGAUAUUAGUAUUUUAUUUUAAAAAGAACUCUAGGGGGGAUUGGAAAAAAGAAAGAAACCCUAGAUCUAAAUUUUUCUUUCUCUCUAUGAAGAACUAAACCUAUUUUUCUGGUUGAAGGUUAAUGAAGCUUUGAUUCAUCAUUACUAUGAGAUAUUUCUUAUGCUUUAAUUGUUUUAUUACUUUUUGGGUAUUUGUUUAUUCUCUGAAUUAUUUUCAUGAUUAUGUUUGUUAAUUAGAUAACUGACCACUAUUUAAUUAUCAACUUAAUCUAUUGUUAAUUAAAGGAUUCAUCGUAUGAAGAUUUUAAUGUUUGUGACAAAUAACAUAGCAGUGAGUUGUGUUAUGAGAAUGAACAAUCUAAUUUAAAUGAAGCAUCGUAUGCGUUUAUUGAUUAGGAUUUGGGUCUCUCUGGUUUUUCAGGUUGUCAAUUGAUUAAAUCCUAUGAUCGUAUCUAGGGUUGUCUAUUGAUUAGGGAAAUAACCAACGGUCGUACAUUGGUUAUCGACUAGUUAAGGAGAGAUUGGCUAUUAGAGGGUCUCAGUAGCUAUAACCAGUCUAUUCAUUAGUAGUAAUAAUUUAUAUUUGAAUCAAUGAUCAGUAGCCGAAUCAAGCUGAGUUAAUUCCUUCAACCAAAGCUUUCUCCAAUUUGAAUUACAACUUUAAUUUGCAUUCUUGUUAUUUUUAUUUGAUUUUUAUUAUUGUCAACAAAACCCCUAUUUUAUGUUUUACGUUUUAAAAGGAUUUAAAUAAUUACCGAUCUCUGUGGACACGACCCUGCUCAAUCACUAUACACAAUUUAUUUAGAAUAGGUAUUUAUUUUUGUUGGCUUUGACAACCAUCAAAAGCCAAAGAAAAAUAGGCUGAUUCAUCACUAACUCAAUAUGACAAUUGCAGAAAACUUUUGGAUGUUUUUAGCCUCCGAAAUUUCAACAUCAAUUAUAAAUUACAGAUAUGUGAAGGAAAACUUAGAAACCAAUUUUUAUUAACAAAGAAAAUGUUAAAAAAAUAAAAUAAAAGAUUGUGUGAAAAUGUUGAAAACUAAUUUCAACAUCAAGGCAUGUCACAUGCAACCAAUUCAUGUCACGCAUGUCACGCGUUUCUUUAUUUUGCCAUGUGAAUCAAAAUCAUUAACAGGGACGCCGCGCAUGUCACAUGCAACUAACUCAUAUUUGUAAGCACAUAUAUAUAAUAUAUUGCAGCAUUCAAUCAAGGAGUUAAAAGCGUCAAUCACGGUGACCACCAAAACCUGUGAAUGAGCAGUCCAUCAAAUGUUGAGGGUGGUGAAUUAAUAUUUCUUACUAGAAGAGCGAGUAUAAUAGUACAUGGACCUAGCUCAUUUAUAAAAAUUAGUUCAAGAGUUCGAAGGUUAUUUAAGUAUUAUAUACUUGAAUCAAUAUCAAUUUUUCACUCUAUUAAUUCAUCAAUCAUGAGCAUAAAAGCUCAAUAUAUGCAAAAAUUAAUUUUGUGAAAAAAAUGUUUCAAUCAUGAGUCAUUAUAAUUAGGAAUUUGAAUGAUUUUUAAAGUUUGAUUCAAUCAAUCUUUAUGUUAUUGGACAAUCGAUCUUGAUAUUGAUCGACAAUCAACCAUUAUAGUGAUUAGCACAUAUUAAGACAAUCAGUUCUAAUCUCUAUAAUGAUUAAAGAAGACUUGUAAGACUUAGAUCAAUGAGGAAAAAUGCUUUAUUAGUACUUUGUGUCUAUUAAGUAUAGUUUAUUUAAUAGUCAUAAGUGCUUAUUUAAUCUCAUAAUCUCUUAUCAAAAUUUUUGUUGUUUAAUUGUCUUUUUAGUAGAACUUUUGAAAAUUAAAUAAGAUAUUUUGUCUCUACUAACAAAAGAUAAAAAAUUUUAGGAGUAGAGAUUUAUUUUUUAAAAAAAUAUUAAAAUAUCUAAAAUAUCCUUUACUUUUGACAAUCUUAUUUCAUUAUUUUCAUGACAUAAUUUAAGAACUUGUUUAUUAAACUAAUUUUAUAGUUUUUAAUAAAAACUCUUCUUGACAAUCAAACAAAUAAAAUUUUUUGCGUAUAAGUUCUACUUAUAAAAGCUCUACUAACAAAACCUCUAUUUAAAUAAACUUUAUUUAAAAAGUUAUACCAAACCGAACCUUCGUGAAAAAAAAAUGUUAAUUGACUUUGAAAUUAAGCCAACAUACAAGUGGUCGCACGUCAAUUCUAUUUUUUUCCAAUAGAUGAUGGAGAUAGUCAACUAGUGAAAUAAAAGUUGAGAUAAUUUAAAGAAUUUAAGUGUAAUUUUGGGUUUGAAAUUAUCAAAUAAUUCCCAGUCUAAAGCUAGGUGGAAGUAAUAAACGUCUUGGAAAUCAAUAAUGUUAAGGAUCCUGAUAUUUGAGUCCCAACUUGAGUCCUAAUACUAUUUGUCCCUCAUUUAUUAGAUGAUGGAUUUCCUAAUUACUAAAAUUACUUAACUACAAUGUAAUAGAUGAAUGCCACAUUAAUUGGGACUUAAAUGUUGAGAUACCUAUCAUUGCUCCUUGAAAAUAUUAAACAAAAUAUUAGAAUUCUUUUUGGUCGUUUUAGGUGGUGUUUGCUUUUUUGUCUGCAAUCUGAAUAGAUCUGAAUCAGUUUGAAUUCUGAAUAGAGCUAAAUGUCUUAAUCUGAAUGAUAUGUUUGUUUUUUUAUCUGAAUCACUAAAAAUAAAUAUUAUGUUGUUUUUUAACUAAAAAAUGAAAAUUAAUAUUUUUUACAUUUAUGUCCUUACAAAUUGUAAAUGUUAGAUAAAUAAUAAACAUUUCAAAGAAUAUAAAUAAGAUAAUAAAUUAUCAUAACAUAAAUCAUAUUCAAUUGAAUACAACUCUUUAAUAUUCUAUAUUAUAUAUGUUAAUUAAUUUUAUUAUAGUUUAUGAAAUUAGUUAUAGUUUAUGAUGUUUUUGUAUAAAAAUAUUAAUAAAAAAUUAUGAAGAUAAAUAAUGCUAAUUUGAAGAAAAUAAAAAGAUAAAAAUAAUAAUAGUUUACCACCAUAUAUUAUCACAAGUUAUAUAGAGAUGAGUAAUAAUGCUAAUUAUUAAAUUUUAUUUAGGUAAAAAAUUAAUUAGUUAGAUAGGGAUAUUUUAGAGAACAUUUUUUAAUGAUAUCAUUCAGACUUUUUGUAUUAAGCAAAAGACUAAAAAAAUUAGCUUAAUAACUUAAUGAUUUAAUGGCUGAAAAUUUUCAUUAAAUUGAAAAAAAAACAAAUAGACUAAAUAACUUAACUAAUUAAAAUUAAGUCAAUUAAAUCAUUAAGUAAAAAAAAAAGGGGGUCCUUAGUCUACGUUUACACAAAUAUAGCAAAAUAAUGAAGAUUAUCUAUGUGCGGAUAUAUACGUGUGGUUAUCAUGAAAUGACCCGCCCUGAGUCUAAUCUCAUCAAAACUAGAUAGAUAAUAAUUUAAUUAGUGAGAAUUCUGCCGAAUUUAAGAGUUUCUUUUAUAAAUAUAAUACUUUCAAAAUAAUUUAAUAUACAACCAACUCUAAUGAUCAUCAUUCUCAACCAGAAUACUGAAAUUUUUACCCAAGAUAUCUCCAAGGUAUCAAAAGAUUAUAUUAUAACUAAUAUUAACAUACAUUGAUUUAUUCUUAAUUCCAAAAGAAUAAUAUAACAAAAUUAUACAAUCUCAAAACAAUAAGAUGAUUAGGAUGUUCUAACAAAAAUCAUCUAUAUCUUCUAACACAAUCACUUGGAUAAGACUCAAAAUAUAUUUACAGUUGUCGGGUCUAUCUCGUGUACCUGCAACUUUCUGUUGGGGGGAAGGGGAAGAAUACAAUAAAAAUGAAAUGAGAAUAAAACUCGAUGAGUUCAGUGUGUGGAUCGUAAUUUUUUGAAAAUAAACUUACUUUAAAAGAAAUAAUCAUAUCAUUUCCAAACACGAUUUCAUCAAACUAUAUGCAAGAAACCAUUAAUAAAUCAUUUAACAUUUAAAUUAGAUUACUAACCUUGAAGAGCAUAUAUAUAAAAUCGUAUGUAGUAACCGUCGAAAUCAUAUCACAAUAUCAUAUAAAAUACAUAAAUCUGAAAUCAUUACUAAACAAUUACCCAUGAGAAUAAUCUCGUUGUAUCCGAACCUCAACAGACAAGUAAUGACGUACUAUCUAGGUACUGUCACGCCUCGGAGCUACACAGAUAGACAAGGAAGUGUCAUCUCAUAUCUAGUCAUAUAGCUCAUCUUUUUAUGCAUAAUCUAGCCCCUAAAGGACAAAAGCAUCCAAGCACAAGGCCCAAAACCUCUGUGUGUACUCAGACAGGGCCCAAAAGUCUGUAUCUCAUCUAUAUAUGUAUCACUGUUAUCAUCAUAUCACAUGCAUAUUCUCCUAAAAGGCAAAAACACCCAAACACAUGGCCCAAAGUCUCUAUCUGUGUUCAGACAGGCCCCAAAGGCCUCAUCAUCUUUGUAUCACUGUAACCGGAGAAGGGUCAUAUCCAAUACUUUUACAAACAAUAGUUUACACACAUAUACAUAAACACAUAAUCACGUAUGAAAUCUCAUUUCCUUUUCAUUUAACAUACUUUGAAUCUAAUUCCUUUUCUUAAAAAUAUUACCAUGCAUAUAUUCAAAAUCAGCAAUAAAAUCAUCAAUCAUACACAUCUUUAAUAAUAAACACUAAUACGCAGAUAAAAUCCAUUUUUUUAAAAAAAAAAUAUCAGAGCCUUUAAAACUUAUUUCGUAAACAUACUUUACCAUAUUUUAAAAUCAUAAUAAACUAUAAAGAAAAUAGAUUUUGUAUAUUUCACUCACAGUAAUGAUAUUCAAACUCGGAUAUUGUCCUUACCUACGGACUGAUUCUCACUAUAAGAUCCACAUAUACAUAAACACAUAAUCACAUAUGAAAUCUCAUUUUCUUUUCAUUUAACAUACUUUGAAUCUAAUUCCUUUUCUUAAAAAUAUUACCAUGCAUAUAUUCAAAAUCAGCAAUAAAAUCAUCAAUCAUACACAUCUUUAAUAAUAAACACUAAUACGCAAAUAAAAUCCAUUUUUUUUAAAAAAAUCUCAGAGCCUUUAAAACUUAUUUCGUAAACAUAUUUUACCAUAUUUUAAAAUCAUAAUAAACUAUAAAGAAAAUAGAUUUUGUAUAUUUUACUCACAGUAAUGAUAUUCAAACUCGGAUAUUGUCCUUACCUACGGACUGAUUCUCGCUAUAAGAUCCACCUAAAUCAAGGAAAUGACAUAAUUCCAUAAAUCAAAAUUAGGACUAAAUUUAAGCAAUAAAUUCAAAACAAACAUUUAUCUAUAAUUUACAACUCCUUUGUCGGUAAAAUUACUAACACACUUUCGAGUCCGUGAAUCAUUAAAAUACUACAAAAUCAUAAAUCACCGAAUCACCCUCGUAAUUACAAUCAAUACUCAAUUUCAGAAAUUACAAAAUCACUCUCAAAAUGUGAAAUUACCGAAUUACCCUCGCCGGUUAACGGAGACCGGAAUUCAGUAAACGGCAGCCGGUAAGCUCGGGUCUGAUAUUUCCAAUCACGCUGAGUCUAAUAGUGCCGGCGGUGAGCUCCCACGCGCGACAACAGCGGCGGGUCGAGCUUCCCAAGCCGCAAACUUUCCGGCAGUCGUUCGCGGCCAAAACGGCUGUUUCCGGUAGCAGGGAUGGUCGAAAAAUGAUGAGCGUGAGCUGAGGAUCAAGAUUCAAGCGGUGGCGUCACCCAAAACCGGCGGAACCGACGGCGAGAAAGGGUGGGUUUUACAGCGGCUUAUCGAGCUUGAUUGCCAGCGUUUUGACUGUUACGCGGCAACGGUGAUGGCGGGGAUACAACGACCAGUCUUCAAGCUUCAGAUUGGUACCUUGAUCGGCCGGUGAGGUGGCCGGAAAGUGGAGAUAUGGCCGGAUCGGGUUCGUGGGUGUGGGUCGGGUUUCGGGUCGGUUUACAGCUCCACUCACUUUCUCACACGUGUGUAUGUGUUCCCCUGUUUCCAGCUUCUUCUUUUAUUUUUAUUUACUUUUUAACCGCCUCAUUUUUUUUUUUCCCGCACAUAUGUUACAUAUCAUGUGCGAAUAUAUGAGUCUUUCAAAAAGGGAACUCGCACUUUAUAAAAAGAGUAAUACUAUAAAUAAAAAAUUUGUUGAAAGAACUGAAUUUUUAUUUAUGAUUUGAAGAUUUUUAUUUAUUUGUUUUUUUUUUUUUUUUUUUUUGCCACAAGUCAGUGUGUCGAAAAGCAAAUUUUUUUUUUUUAAAUUAGUGAUAUAAAAAAAGGAUCAAACAUCAUACUUGAGAGAUUUUUUUUCCCAUAUUUGCCAUAUAAAUAUGCGGGUUAUAUUUGAGAAAUUCUAAAGAAAAAUAUACUGAAAAUAGUAAUAAUUGGUACUGAUACACUUCAACCUAAAAGGUUCAAUUUAUACAUGUGUUAGAAUUAAAAAAAAAAAUGAAAUGACAUGUUUAUAAUAAUUUGGGAACGAUUGAUUGACAAAGAUUGAUCAAUCAGUUUUUUUUCUUCCCUUUAAUCUACAAACAUUAAGACAAUUAAUCAUGUGUUGACUAUCAGCACGAUCAAUCAUAUGUUGAUUUUUAUUUAUAUCAAUUUUGUUUUGUUUCUUUGCUGCUUCUCUCAAAUUGGCGAGGAAAUAUUUUUUGAACUCCGAGUUUGUAUUAAGAUGUACACUCUUGAUUUUUUUUUCUUUUUUCUUACUCAAUUAAACCAGGAAGUCAUUCAUUUAAACCUAAUCACGGAAGGGAAAUCUUUUUUAUUUUUUCCACAUACUCUUUUUUUUUGGGGGGGGGGGGGGGGGGGGGGGCGCAUGAAAAACCAUUAACUCAUUCUUUUGAUCAAGGAACUUUUUUCAAUUAGAAAGUUGUUCCUUUGAUCUUUGAAAGUAAAGGAAAAUAAGCUGAUUCAUCACUAACUCACUAUGACAAUUGCACACAACUUUUGGAUGUUUUUAGCCUCUGAAAUUUCGCAUGAAUGAUAAAUUACAAAUAUGUUAAGGAAAACUUAGAAACCAAUUUUUGUUCUCAGAGAAAAUAAAAAUGGAGGAUUAACAUGGAUCAUAUUUGAUAACUGAUAUUCCUAGUGCAAGGCUGAACAUAAUUCUUUGGCGUGUGAAUUAAAACUCUGAAUUAAAAUGUUAACAGAGACAUCACGCGUCACAUGUAUCUAACUUUGGCGCCAACUUGGGUAGAAAAAAUUCUCUAGAUUCAUAUGAGAUACGACAGGUGUUAAGCAAAUAAAAGCAUCAAGUCGGCCAUGCUACUAUUUCCACCCCGGUAUGAAUCACCUCAGCCAAAUGGUACGAGCAGAACAGGGGGAACAUGAGCCGAUCAGAGACGAAUACUGACCAGAGGUAUAUACCGAGCCGAUACCCGUCCCCCAAAAAAGCGGAAACAAGAUCUCACAGGAUCACGGUAGUUGCGCUUUCCCAGAACCGUUGCGGGAGACGCGAGAUCCCACGUUUGCCCAUGAGGGGCUGCCACUACCCGAAAAAGGUGGGAUGGAGGGCAAACGGGAACGUGGGACAGCGGCUAUAAAAGAAGAAGAAAUCGAUGAAGAAAGGGAUAGAAAAAUUAAGAGAGGGAAAACGCUGCCAAAUUGCAAUCAGGCCUUUUUCUUACAAACUUCGAAACAAGUUAGAAACCUUUCUUGAAUCCAAAUUACACUGUUUUCCCGUAAACACCUUGUGCCAACUUAGGCAUCGGAGGGUUUACGCCGGCAAAACCACCGGCGUCUCUGAUCCGUUUUUGGUGAACGCAGGUCUAGUAAGAGAAAGGAGGGCGAUUCCAACCCCAGUGGUCCGAGCAACAGUUGUCAACACAAACGUUGGUGAAAGAAUCUGGUCGGUCAAAAGGCGAGCAGAUUUAAGCAUCAACAUUUUGGCGCCGUCUGUGGGGAGCUGAAUAAAAAGCUACCACCAAAUUAGUAAUUAUCGGAGAAGCAGCGAACGAUUGGAUAUGGAUGUGUCAAGAAAGGAUACUUUAAGGGAGGACAAUGAAACGGUGGAGACAAUCACUCUCCGGGAAAUUGCAAAUGAAGCCCAAGAGAGGAUGAUGCAAGAUAGACUGGAGCGGAUGGAGAAACAAAUGGAGACUCUCGCGGCCAUAUUGUUUGAGCUGAGGGAUAAGCGGAGAAGGGAUUGUUAAACCCCCGUGGGAAGAGAUGAAGUUGGAGCAGAACCCAGCCUCCGGAGGCGUAGAGUCGAGGAAAUCCCUCCGCCCGCAGACGAACCUAAUGGGGUGCAUCCCCACAGAAGUACUGGUUGGGUCCCAGGGGAACACGUGGAUGAAGGGAGAGACCAACCUCGCCCCGAACGGAUACUGGAAAUUAAUGGCCGAGGGGCCAGUGUUGAUGAAGGAGAGCUUAGACAGCGGUUGUAGAACGCCGAGCAGGAGCGAGACCAGAUAGCUGCACGUGAUCCUGAUCGUGCUAUAGAAUUGGAGGGGGAGGUGCGCAGAUUGGCGCAGGUGAUAGAGGAGAUACAAGGCAAGAGAAAGCCCCCGAGUUGGAGGAUAAUGCUAGAUGAAGAAUCUCCGUUAUCAACUGAGAUCAUGAGUACCAUAAUCCCAAGAGAUUUCCGCUUCCCCGACCUCAAAUACUCCGGGCGAAGUGACUCGCUGGUGCACAUUGAGUGUUUCAACGAAAUGACGGUGCAGGGUGUUCCUGUUGACACUAGAAGGACGAGCCCGAGAAUGGUACCGCAAGCUGCCCCGAGGAAGUAUAAAGGGGUAUGAGCAGAUGUGCCAGGAGUUGGCCGAGCAGUUCCGAGGGGCAGUGGCCUCAGAGGACGACAUGAUGGAACUGAUGGGGAUGAAACAGGAGGAGCAUGAAUCCCUUCGAGAUUUUGUAAAACGAUAUCACCGAGCCGUGCUGGAUCUGGGAGCUUUUAAUCACCCGCAGGCGUUGAGGGGAUUAAAAGAAGGUGUAAGAAUCGGCCGAUUGUGGUAUAACUUAAGAAGCCCUCUCGUACAGAAUUACUCGUCGGGGUAUGAGCAGGCGAGGCGAGAUAUAGAAAUCGAAGAGGAGAAAUCGGCAAGAAUUAAAAGUGAACAGCUGGAAGAGCUGAGGCGAAAGGAACGGAGAGCCCCGAAAGGGAGCGGGUCGGGAAAGCGAACUGGAGAAUCUUCAGUGAUGGGCGGAAUAUCAGCUCGGUCUCGCCCUUACCCUAUAGCUCCAAGAGCACAACAGUUCCAACACAGCCGGGCUCAACCUCCGCGCCCUCCGAUCGAAGAGCGGCAGCGAGAAUUCAGGCAGAUGGCUGCCCACCCUUAUCACAGCGCUCCCAAAGCGUUAAGUGCAACUAAUUACAGGUCUGGACGACCAGAGCAGCUACCGGCUAUACCAGCCCGAGGUGACAUCCAUGAUAGCCGAGCAGUUCAGUUGGUUGACCAGAGCGUGGCAUAUAGACAGUACACUCCAUUAAAAAUCGCCAUGGAGGAACUAUAUGAAAGGAUCGAGGGACGAGGUCUGCUGUAUACUCCGGCCCCUAUAACAAAAUCCGCUCACCGGCGUGAUAAGAGCAGGUUCUGCAAAUUCCACAACACUCACGGUCACACUAUCAGCCAAUGCCGUGACCUAAAGAUUCAGGUGGAGGAUUUGGUGAGGAACCAGUACUUGGAUGAGUAUGUAGAUGGAGUGUCCCCCGUCAUUGAAUCGCAAUAUGCACGGGAUGAAGGAGUUGAAAGGGGUUUGGAACGAGAACAACCGACCAUCCGGGUGAUAGCAGGAGGGCCAACAUUGGCCGGGGAUUCGAACAGAGCACGAAAGAACUAUGGGAGAUAUGCCAUGACUGGCAAAGAGGUGCUUCUCAAUUUGCCAGCAGCCAAGAGGGCAAAAGUGCGGCAAGUUCCCAUUAUGUGGACAGAGGACGACGAAGAGGGCAUUUUAUAUCCUCAUGAGGAUGCACUGGUGAUUAAAGCAUUGGUGGCUAGUACAGAAUUGCGGCGAAUACUGGUGGACACGGGCAGCUCAGUAGACAUUCUGUUUAAGUCGGCCCUAGAUGAUAUGGGGAUUUCAGACUUGAAGCUGGAGCGGACGAAUACAUCCUUGAAGGGAUUUGGAGGAGGACGGCUAACUCCCAUGGGGAUCAUCGAACUCCCAAUUACCGUGGGAUCAAAACCGUUUGAAAGAACGAUGAUGAUGGAUUUUAUCGUGGUAGAAGAAAGAAGUCCUUAUCAGAUGAUAUUGGGGAGACCGUUCAUGAGGAUAAGUCAAUGUGUAAUGUCCACGCAUUAUCUGGCGCUGAAGUACAGAAUAAAUGGAGUUGUUGGUGUAGUAAAAGGCGACCAGAGAAUGGCCAGGAGCUGAUAUGCUACAGUAGCCAAGGAAACGCUGCAGGUUACCUCUCUAGAUAACCGAGGGGAUUCAAAAAAUGGUCGCCAGGAACCUGUUGAGAAGCUGGAUGGGGGUUGUUGUAAGCAGGAGUGACCCGACCAGAGUGGUUAAAGUCGGAUCAGAAUUGGGCGAAGCAAUAAAAGGCGAGCUGGUGAAGUGUCUACAGUCCUAUGCAGACAUAUUUGCCUGGUCUCAUGAGGAUAUGCCAGGUAUUGAUCGCGCGGUAGCUUGUCACAAGCUGGCAGUCAAGAAAGGGGCAAGGCCGGUGAGGCAGAAAAUGAGGUGCUUCAACCAGGAAAGGUACGAGGCCAUAAAUGCCGAGGUGGAAAAGCUGCUGAAAGCAGGAUUUAUAAAGGAAGCCAAGUACCCAGAGUGGAUUUCCAAUGUAGUACUGGUAAAGAAGGCCAAUGGGAAGUAGAGAAUGUGUGUAAACUUCACGGACCUCAAUAAGGCAUGCCCGAAGGACAGCUUUCCCGUACAAAAAAUAUAUCAGUUGGUGGACUCAACCGCGGGUCAUAGUCUGCUCAGUUUCAUGGAUGCCUUUUCCGGAUACAACCAGAUACCCAUGGACGAGCAGGAUGAGGAAAGCACUACCUUUAUAACUAACAUGGGUUUGUUUUGUUACAGGGUGAUGCCCUUUGGCCUGAAAAAUGCAGGAGCUACCUAUCAAAUGCUAGUGAACAAGGUCUUCAAACCAUUGAUCGGUCACACUAUGGAAGUAUACGUGGACGAUAUGAUCACCAAGUCAAGAGAACCGAGAGAUCAUGUGAAACACUUGGAAGAGACCUUCGAUUUGCUGAUGAGGUAUGAAAUGAAGCUAAACCCGGAGAAAUGUGCAUUUGGGGUCAGCUCGGGCAAAUUUUUGGGAUACCUGGUGAGCCAUCGAGGAAUUGAGGCCAACCCGGAAAAGAUACGGGCGGUGAUAGAAAUGAGGUCCCCACGAACAGUUAAGGAGGUGCAGAGCCUUACGGGGAAAUUGGCAGCAUUGAACUGAUUCAUUUCGCGAGCCACUGAUAAGUGCCACCCUUUCUUCCAAAUCAUAAAGAAAGGGAAGAAGAUGGAAUGGACACUGGAAUGCGAGGAGGCAUUUGGACAGCUGAAUGAAUAUCUGGCCCGCGCCCCGUUACUAUCAACCUCGAGAGAGGGUGACCAGCUGCUUUUGUACUUGGCAAUCUCCAAGCGGGCUACCAGCUCGGUCUUAGUCAGGGAAGAAGAAGGGAAGCAACACCCGGUAUACUACACAAGCAAGGCCCUGGUAGACGUAGAAACCAGGUAUCCACUAAUGGAGAAGUGGGCGCUGGCUCUGAUAACGACAGCACGCAAACUCCGACCAUAUUUCCAAGCCCACCAGAUUAUUGUGAUGACUGACCAACCUCUUCGGCAAGUGCUUCAAAAACCAGAUGCGUCUGGUCGGUUAGUAAAAUGGUUCGUGGAGCUGAUCGAAUUUGACCUGUCUUACAGGCCCCGAGGAGCAAUCAAGGCCCAAGCCCUGGUAGAUUUUAUGGUUGACUGUGUUGAACCAGGGGAAGAGGUCCAAGGGGAACAACCAGCAUAACAGGAGGAUUCAAAGGGGAUAUGGCUGGUAAUGGUUGAUGGGUCACGUAGUGAACAGAGAUCCGGGGCAGGAGUUAUAAUACGAAGCCCAGAAGGUGUUGAGGUAUCAUAUGCUGUAAAGUUUGAAUUCCAGCUUACGAACAACCAAGCUGAAUAUGAGGCCUUCAUUACUGGGCUCGGUCUUGCACAUGCACUACGAGCAGAAAUGAUAGAAAUCCGAGCCGAUUCCCAGCUAGUAUGUAACCAGCUCAGCAAUCAAUUCCAAGUAAGGGAAGAGAAAUUGAGACUUUAUUUGAAAAAGGCGAAGCAGAUGGUUGAACUCUUCAAUGAGGUAGAAGUGAAGCAGAUAUCCCGGAAUGAAAAUUACCGAGCUGACAUGUUGGCUAGGAUGGCCACAACUGUAGAUCCUAAAUUACCUAAAUCAGUUCCACUAGAGGUGAGAACCUCGCCGAGUAUAGGAGAGGAAGUAGAGGUAAUGAGAGUAAGCACUGAAGAAUCCUGGAUGGACCCGAUUCUUGCAUACAUCCGCGAUGGCGUUUUACCAGAGGACAAAAGCCAAGCAAGAAAGCUAAAAUGCCGAGCAGCGAGGUACACACUACUCGAUGGGGUACUUUACCGCCGAGGAUUCGCUUUGCCCCUUUUGCGAUGUGUGGAUGAUGAGGAGGCAGAUUAUGUACUAAGGGAGAUUCAUGAAGGAAUUUGCGGCAAUCACUCGGGAGCAAGAACUUUAGCCUUCAAGGCACUCCGGCAAGGAUACUUCUGGGCAACCAUGCACCAGGAUGCAAAAAAGAUGGCAAAAAACUGUAAAACAUGCCAAAGCUUCUCUGAGGUUCUUGCACAACCCCCAGAAAAGUUGACCACAAUGACAUCCCCAUGGCCUUUUGCCCAAUGGGGAAUCGACCUAAUCGGUCCAUUACCUAAGGGUCGGGGAGCGGCAACACAUGCAAUUGUGGCAGUAGACUACUUCACCAAGUGGGUAGAGGUGGGAGUCCUCAGCCAAAUUACGGAGAGAAAGAUGACGGAUUUUAUUUAGAAGAAUAUCAUCUACAGAUACGGGAUCCCCUAUGCCAUCAUUACAGACAAUGGGAGACAGUUUGACAACAGCAACUUCAGGGAAUUUUGCCGAAAUUUGGGGGUGGACCUGAAGUUCUGCACCCCCGCACACCCCCAGGCAAACGGACAAGUGGAAGCAGCCAACAAAGUGAUAAAGAAGCUCUUGAAAACUAGAUUGGGAGAUAAGAAGGGAGUUUGGGUUGACGAGCUACCAGGGGUAUUGUGGGCUUACCGGACAACUCACAAAACUGCUACAGGGGAAACCCCGUUCGCUUUGGCUUUUGGUCAUGAGGUAGUAGUCCCAGCAGAAAUUGGAGUGGGGACACAUCGAACGGAAUAUUUCGCUGAGGAACAAAACGACGAACAGAUCUGCCUAAGCCUGGACCUACUUGAGGAGAAAAGGGAAGGGGCCUCACAGAAAGUGGCCCAGUGUCAACAAAGGGUCAUGCGUUAUUACAACAAGAAUGUACGCGUGAGGCAGUUCCGAGCAGGAGAUUGGGUACUUAGGAAGGUGAAUCAAAACACUAGGGAUCCCAACCAUGGUGCUCUUGGCCCAAAAUAGGAAGGCUCGUAUAGGGUAAUACGAGCGACGGGACCAGGAGCUUAUAAGUUAGCAUACCCAGAUGGACGAGACGUGAAGAGGCCGUGGAACGCCGAGCACUUAAAGAAGUAUUUCCAGUAAGCAAAGUACUCUACUAAAUCUUCAAUUUGAUAAGUUAUAUUUGUCAAAUGCAUGGUGGCUUGGUGCACAAGCAUAUAUUUUGUAUUUCUGUAACGCAUUCAAAUUUCAAUAAAGAUGAAUUCAGCAUGAAAUCCCUCGGCUAAUAAGCCCAUUAGAAAGUUCUGCUAAGGCAAGUCAAUGCCUUAUUCUGCUCGGUCAAUGAGAGACCAGCAGCUAAUUCUGCAAAAAAUCCGCUAAGGCAAGUAAGUGUCUGCUUCUGCUCGGUCAACGAGAGACCAGCAGCUAAUUCUGUAAAAAAUCCACUAAGGCAAGUAAGUGCCUGCUUCUGCUCGGUCAACGAGGGACCAGCAGCUAAUUCUGCAAAAAAUCCGCUAAGGCAAGUAAGUGCCUGCUUCUGCUCGGUCAACGAGAGACCAGCAGCUAAUUCUACAAAAAAUCUGCUAAGGCAAGUAAGUGCCUGCUUCUGCUCGGUCAACGAGAGACCAGUAGCUAAUUCUACAAAAAAUCUGCUAAGGCAAGUAAGCGUCUGCUUCUGCUCGGUCAACGAAAGACCAGCAGAUAAUUCUGUAAAAAAUCUGCUAAGGCAAGUAAGUGCCUGCUUCUGCUCGGUCAACAAGAGACCAGCAGUUAAAUCCACAAAAAAUCUGCUAAGGCAAGUAAGUGUCUGCUUCUGCUCGGUCAGAAAAAGACCAGCAGCUAAUCCUACGAAAAUUCUACUAAGGCAAGAAAAUGCCAGUUUCUGCUCGGUCAACGAAAGACCAGUAGGCAAUUUUACGAAAUUUCACCAAAGCAAGUAAGUGCCUGUUCCUGCUCGGUCAUCGAAAGACCAACAGAUGAUUCCAUGAAAUUCGACUAAGGCAAAUAAGUGCCUGCUCCUGCUCGGUCACCGAAGACCAGCAGGUAAUUUUGCGAAAAUUUUACUAAGGCAAACGGAUGCCUAUUCCUGCUCGAUGCACUAAAGAACCAACAGGCAAAAUCAGAUAAAUUGUCAAGUUAUUUUGCAGAAGCAACCCGUGAGCAAAACCAGACAAGAAAGCCAAUAGAGAGCAUUUAAAAAUUUAUAAACGUUCAAAUGUUUACAAAGCAACUGAAAAUCUAGAGUCUUUACAAAAAUAGACCUAAGGAUUAGGAGGGUCAACGGCCUCAAUAGGUGAAGGGUCAGCUAUCUCGGGAGGUGGAAGAUCAGCAAUACCGGGAGGAGGAGGCACGGACCCCUGUCCCACUUCAAAAACACGCUGCCCAGCUUCUCCCUCCUGCACUCCAUCCAAAGGAACCUCCACCUGCUCCUGCUCACCCUGCACCUUAUCUCCCUGGCCGGCCCCAGACAUAUAUCUCUCCACCCCAGCCUCCAGCUUGCUCAUGUCGAGCUCGGGGUAUUCUUCCUUGAGCACAAACAUGAUGCACUUAUAGCUUAAAGCAACCCCGGAGUCAUACUUGGCAUCCAGCCGAUCAUCCACAUCAGCGGAUUUGCCUUUCUCUUCAGCCAGCUGGUCACUCAGGGAUUUAAUCUCUCCCUCAAGGGCGGUCCUCAGAGUAUCUCUUUCACUUUGAGUAGCCUGAAGAUCGGACUUCAGAUCACCCAACUCGCCCUCAAGCUUGGAGGAAGUGGACUCAGCAACCGCAACUUUCUCCUCAAGCUCCAUAAGCUGCUUGUUCAGCUCGGCCAGUUUCUCCUUGGACCGAUCAGCAGAUUCGGCUUUCUUUUUCAACUCCUGGUUAUCAGCUUGAAGCUUCCUCUCAUGACGCGCGGACCCGGUCUUGUAGCACGAGACCAUUGUGGCCAGCCUGAAGGAGACUCUUUGAACAGAAGCAGCUAACUCGGAGAGGUUCAUGCUCUCAAUGUCCUUCACCAUCUUGGGCCCAACCGAUUUUUUAUAAUCCUUCUGAUAUGGGCUCAGGUAGUCACCUUGAUCCCGAGAUGGAAGAGGAGAAGAUCGGUCCCCAGACUGCAAGCUGACCUCAGGACUCUUGUCGGAGGUUUUCUCCCCACCACUCUUACGAGGUGGAGGAGGGGGCAGAGCAGGAACAGGCGCCUUGGAAGGACCGACGCUGGGUUUCUUUGGAGGAGGAGGAGGGUUGCUGGAGCUACUCGGAGCCCGACCACGCUUCCUGCUCAUCGCGCUGAGGAUCUUGUUAUCCAUUCCAGCGGCUAUGUCCACUAGGCCCGAACCGACCAGGUUUGUUGACGACAGGAGGUCUUGGCAGGUAGACGCGUUCACCAGAGCAGUUUCCACCUGAAGCAAAGGUCGAUCUUCAAGCCCCCCGAUCAAACCCCACGACUUUGAAAUAGCAAAAGAGGUUAAAGAACUCGAUAAGUGACAAUUUGAGAAAGAAUAUAGGCAAAAAAUGAACGACCUGGGGUGACAAACUCUGUUGGAAGGUAAAUAUCACCACCCAACGAACGGAGUGCUGAACACCACUUUCCCCCAGCAAAGAAGAAUUUGUUCUUCCAAUUUUUGCACGAGGAGGGGAAACCGGUGAUUGGCUUUCUCUUCGCAGAACUGGACAUGAAGUAGUACCAGCACGCCUCCCUUGGGCUGCUCCGCAGCUGAUACAGAUGUUUCACUUCAAUAAGGGAAGGCUCCUCCAACCCGCACCUCUCCCACAACACAAACAUUGCCGAGAGAACCCUCCACCCGUUCGGGUGUAGCUGACUUGGGGCCAGGUGCAUACCUCCCAAUAUCUUGGCAAAAUAAUGCUGAAGGGGCAGCCGAACUCCUAGUUUGAAACUCUCUAAGUGCAUCGUCACAUACCCCUGCGGAGGCCGACUAGGAACGUCACCCUUCCCAGGAACUACAAGGAGAACCUCCUCAGGAAUGUCGUAGAGGUUCCUAAGCUUGAAUAGGUCAGUUUGGGUGGUGGCACAGGCUAUGUAAUCAAUAGGGUAGGAAUCAGCCUCCACCCUAUGGCCAAGAUUCCUUUUCUUAGCAGGUCCACUCGGUCCGGAACUGCUCCCUUCACCAUCACCAACUCCUUCAGGGAUCCCAACCCCACCAAAGCUGUGGUUCUCACCAGAGCCCGACGCAGGUCCACCUCUAUUCCCUACAAGCUCUAGUUCGGGGGAGGGAGAGACAACCAAGGGGCGUGGGUACUCAAGGGUAUCCCUGCCAUGGGAAGGACCUACACUACUGGAGGGACCUAAGAAAUCGGUAGGUAUUGACACGUUGAGGCCUGAAUCCCCUAAUUCUUCAUCACCCUCAUCAACAAUUAACUUUCUUUUCCGGUUUGACAUAUCGAAUCCCAAAAGAAAACAAAGAAAACUCGAAUAUACGGAUACAAAAGGGGGCAACACGGAACCCAAUCAACAACAACCAGAGAAGAGAUUAAAAGCAGUACCUGAAAUGAACUGACCCUGAUAGCGCUGCCGUGACAGAGAAAAAACCAGCAAGUAGAAACUCUGGACGCAGGAAGUGUGAGUAAAGUUCAGAAAGGGGGUAGGUUAAUGACGGAGAGACGAGUAACAAAACGAUGACGAUGUAAGUCUAGGGAUUUGAAACGAAAAGGGGGAAAUGAAAGCAUUUAAGUGAUGGAGACGCUAGCUCACUCACCGUACAUCAAGGACAGAUAGCCCGUCGUUUCAAAUUUCAAAUACGAAGAGUCUGGAGAUGCCACGUCACCAACCGUUACAAGAGGCCAGGCUAGAUGCAAGCUCAUAUACGCAAUGGACAUGCUCAUUUAGGCCCAUGCUCAGGUCAAAAUCUCCCCUGAAGAAAAAUGAUACCUCAGGUCCGUCCCGGUAGACAGAAGACCAGAGGAGAAGCCCCCGGAUUGGUAAGAUUUGACUAUCAGUUUCUACUCUUGACUUAUUUCACUCACAAGACCAGAAACUGGGGGACUGGUGUUAAGCAAAUAAAAGCACCAGGUCGACCAUGCUACUAUUUUCACCCCGGCAUGAAUCACCUCAGCCAAAUGGUACGAGCAGAACAGGGGGAACAUGAGCCGAUCAGAGACGAAUACUGACCAGAGGUAUAUACCGAGCCGAUACCCGUCCCCCAAAAAAGCAGAAACACGAUCUCACAGGAUCACGGUAGUUGCGCUUUCCCAGAACCGUUGCGGGAGACGCGAGAUCCCACGUUUGCCCAUGAGGGGCUGCCACUACCCGAAAAAGGUGGGAUGGAGGGCAAACGGGAACGUGGGACAACGGCUAUAAAAGAAGAAGAAAUCGAUGAAGAAAUGGAUAGAAAAAUUAAGAGAGGGAAAACGCUGCCAAAUUGCAAUCAGGCCUUUUUCUUACAAACUUCGAAACAAGUUAGAAACCCUUCUUGAAUCCAAAUUACACUGUUUUCCUGUAAACACCUUGUGCUAACUUAGGCAUCGGAGGGUUUACGCCGGCAAAACCACCGGCGUCUCUGAUCCGUUUUUGGUGAACGCAAGUCUAGUAAGAGAAAGGAGGGCGAUUCCAACCCCAGUGGUCCGAGCAACAGUUGUCAACACAAACGUUGGUGAAAGAAUCUGGUCGGUCAAAAGGCGAGCAGAUUUAAGCAUCAACAACAGGGAUACAGUAAACUAUGGCCUAGCACGAUCACAGAUGAAUUUGGUUUAAAGUACACUCUGCUGGCUGCAUCUAGUUUCGUAUUGAACCGACCCGCUCCAAACUUAAAGCACAAGUCUGAUAAGUUUAAUCUAACGUGACUAGAUAAAAUUAUUAAUACGAAUCUUGUUGAAAUUUCGGCAGAAUCUCUCUAUAUUUGUGACAUUUCCAACCUACAAAAUUUCCCUAUAUUAAACUAAUUUCAUUAAUUAAUCUCCCCAAACAUAAUACCACACAGCAUAGUAAAUAAUAUGGUUAAAUGAUCUCAUUCAAAUGUCACCCAAUUUUUCUAAUAGUAUAAAAAAGGUUAUAUUGUAGCUAAUGCCGGUACACAUUAAACAUUCAUAAUCAUCAAAUGAUAAUAUAAUAAUACAAUCCAAUAUUAGAUAAUCAAAUGUCCUCAUAAUUUAUCUAUGUCUUCUAACACUAUCACUUGGCCAAAAUCAAAAUAACUACAAUAACUGAGUCCAUUGGUGUACUUACAAUCUCCUAUGGGGGAAAAAUUUAGUAAAACAGAGUAAAUAUAAAACUCAAUGAGUGGAUAUUGAGUUUUAAAAAUAAGAUUACUUUAAAAUAAUUAUAUCAUUACAGCAUGCAAUUCCAUUAAACUAUAUGUAAAAAUAUAAGUACAAUUUUUAAACUUUAAGUCAAGUAAUUAGCUAGUAUUAAAAAGGAAUACAUGAUGUUCAUAAUAAUCAUAAAAAUCAUAUUAAGAAAGAACAUAUAUACAUGAUUUUAAAAUUAUCACUAAACAAGUACCCAGGGGAAUAAUCUUGUCAUACCCUCAUACAGGCGGUGUAAUGAUGCACUGGAUAAGGACGACAAAAUUCGGGUUCGGGCCUGGGUUUGUCUGUUCCAGUUCCGGAUCUAGAUAUAAAACUAGAUAGUUUAUCUCUAGAUUCGGUAUGGGUUUAUCCGAGUUCCGGGAUUGUGGAUUUCAAAACUUAGAUACCUUUAUGAAUUUUUUCUUUUUUAAGUUCUCCAAUAGGGCAUGGAUACAAUGGGGAAAAAACAAACACCUACAUAGCAAUUUCACCUAGAAAAGUAGAAGAAAUACUAGAAUGUGAACUGCAACUUAAAUCCAACCACACAACAAAUAAGCAAUGAAAAAAACACAAGCUAAAAACAUUACAAACACAGAUUAUCUCCCUCAUCACCAUCUUCAACCUCACUAGACUCAGUACCAGCCUCCCCAUAAUCCUUCUCCAAAGUCGCAAGAUCCUCACGGGCUUCAAAGAACUCACCUUCCUUUAUGCCUUCUUAGCAUACAUCAAAUCAAAUUUGUGGUCAAUGCGAGAAAACACCUUAGCAACACUAGUUAAGUUCGAUAUCAUGCACAUAGCCCUCUACACCUUCGCAAGAUCACCACCUAGAACAACAGUUGGAGGCUGGUAAUUGAUACCACAUUUGAAUCCAAUUUAUCAUCAGUCAAUAAAUUGAAUGGUAGCUGAUGAUGAUAAUGAUCAACACAGGCGUGAAGGCUAAGCGAUGAUGAUGAAAUAGGUAAUUGUUGGCGCUCUGUGUUAGAUUGAUAACGAGAAGAGGAAAAUGAUUGGCGGCUAUGUUGAGGAGAAGUUAUAAAGUGUAAAACUAGGGUUUCCUGUCAUUACCCAACCCAGACCUGGCAAGAUAUUGUUCGCUUUAGGCUUUAACAAGGCCCGCACAAAUUUGUUCUUGGGGUGUCCAUACACCCCAAAACGCGUCUUGCCAAUUAAGGUGUAGAUCACCUCUUAUAUACCCAACAUCUCUCUCGUGCUUUGCCGAUGUGGGAUUCGCCUAGGGUGUUACAUACACCCCCCUUGGGGACUCAGCGUCCUCAUUGAGGUUUGCCCCACCACCGCUCAAGAGGACAUGCGGAGAUGCUUUGAUACCAUAAUGUCAUGAACCAACCCAGACCUGGCAAGAUAUUGUCCGCUUUGGGCCUUAACAAGGCCCGUACAGAUUUGCUCUUGGGGUGUCCAUACACCCCAAAAUGCGUCUUGCCAAUUAAGGUGUAGAUCACCUUUUAUAUACCCAGCAUCUCUUCCGUACUUUGCCGAUGUGGGAUUCGUCGAGGGUGUUACAUACACUCCCCUUGGAGACUCAGCGUCCUCGUUGAGGUUUGUCCCACCAUCGCUCAAGAGGACAUGCAGAGAUGCUUUGAUACCAUAAUGUCAUGAACCAAACCCAGACCUGGCAAGAUAUUGUCUGCUUUGGACCUUAACAAGGCAUGCACGGAUUUGUUCUUGGGGGGCCCAAACACCCCAAAAUGCAUAUUGCCAAUUAAGGUGUAGAUCACCCCUUAUAUACCCAGUAUCUCUCCCGUGCUUUGCCGAUGUGAGAUUUGCCUAGGGUGUUACAUAUACCCCCUUGGGGACUCAGCGUCCUCGCUGAGGUUUGCUCCACCAUCACUCAAGAGGACACACGGAGCCGCUCUGAUACCAUAAUGUCAUGACCCAACCCAGACCUAACAAGAUAUUGCCUGCUUUGGGCCUUAACAAGACCCGCACGGAUUUGUUCUUUAAUGCGUCUUGUCAAUUAAGGUGUAGAUCAUCCCUUAUAUACCCAGUAUUUCUCUCGUGCUUUUCCGAUGUGAGAUUCGCCUAGGGUGUUACAUUUCCUCGUUCAUUUUUUAUUCUUUUAAUUUUUUGCUUUUCUAUUUAUGUUAAAAAUUUUUUAAAAUGUAAUAUUAAGAAUAAGGAUAUCCAGGUUUGGGUUUCAGAUAUGCAAGUUGACUCAAUACUAGACCUGGACCUGGAUACAUCAAGGUUCAUGAUAUUGUUGUUGGAUUCCGGAUGUUAUUUGUAUUCGGUACGGGUUGAACCUAGUCCAGAUUAUUUGGGUUCAUUCGGGUCCUGUCUGGGUAUGAGUUAUUUUGCCGUCCCUAGUAUUGGAAGUGUACUAUCGUGCUCAGAGUUACAACAGCAGACCUCGCUAUCUCAUGUAUCUCAGUGUAUCUCACUAUAUCGCAUGCGUAAAAUAGCCUCCAAAAGGCAAAAGCAGCCAAGCACACAACCCAAAGCCUUGUGUGUGCUCAAAUAGGCCCCAAAGACUUAUAUCUCAACUGUAUCUUUGUAAUUGAAUAUUUAUAACUAAAAUUAUAUCUCUAUGCUUAUCUGUGUAUUUGAAGAAAAGGGUAUUGUCUAAUGAUUUUGAAGACAAACUUUUAUAUACAUAUGCAUAAACAUAAAUUUUAAGCAUACUUUGAAUAUAUAUUCCUUUUCAUUAAAAUACUCUCAUAUGUUUAUAAUCAAAAUAAAGAAAGAAAAUCACUUAUCAUAUCGUUUACAAGACACAUCAAUAUGUAAAUAUAAUCCAUCUCUAGAAAACUUAAUCAAAGUAUCAAACAUUACUUAUAAAUAUACUUUAAUUUACUAAAAUUAGAAUCCUAAGAAAAAUGUUAAAUAAAAGUUUGUACUUUCGACUAACAACGAUGAUGGUCAAACUCAGCUAUUAUCAAUAUCUGGGAGUUGACUCAUGUUCUCACAACUAAUUUUAUGCGAUAGACUUGCAAUGAACAUUUACCCCAUAGCUUUUAACUCUGGAUUCCAUUACUUGUAAGUUAAAAAUUACUUUAAUACCUUCAAAACCAUCAAUUACACAUUUUCAACAUUCUUUUCUCUCUUAAUCUGGUCAAUUAUUUUAAUUCACUCGUUUCUUGUUAAAGCGGAUGUAACAUUCUCGCGUACUUUGUUCAAAACUAGCAAGACAUACUAUAGUAACUCAUUUGAAUAAUGAGCUAGAAAUCAAAGUGAAACUUGAAGGAGAUAAUCCAACAUGCGGGCUCUAAAAAUAAUUUGUGGUGUGUUGGAAGUUUGAAUUUAUAGAUUUAAAGCUCAGUCCAAAGAGUUAUCAAUAUUAAGUAUAAUCUGAAAAUCGAUAAUAUAUCUAUUUUGACUAGUAAUUGAAUUAAUGAAUGUAUCCUUAUCUAUAUUUCAAAAGUGGAUUAUAAAGAGGCUAGAUGAGCAUUGUUGAGAACUGCAGGCCGCAGGCCACGAUAAGAGACUGAUCGCUCAAUGCUUCUUUAUAAAAACUUUUUCUAUUCAUGAAAAACGUUUCUGAAAACGUCUAGCCGAAAGUUAAAAGGAUUUCCAUUUUGCUAUUUUUCGUUUUCAGAAACAGAAAACACUUAUAAAGCCAAAUUUCAUGGUAACUUAAGAUGUCACAUAAUUUGCAUAUGAUGUCAGCUUGAUUAAAAAUUAAUCUUAUUUUUUCCCCUAAUAAAGGUAAAGGGAUGAGUAAAGCGGAAGUUUAUUUUUUAACCCCUUUUCUCAAAUAAAACCUCGGACGACCAACCAAAAAAAAAAAAGACUGUUUGAAAAUCACUUGACGAUGCCCUUGGGGGCAAAAAGAAUAAAUUGAGAAUUCACACUUGAUUGCGGAGGAAUUACUUCUGCCAUCUCAGCUGAAAACUUGUUUAUUUCCAUUGCAUCUGGGUGUUGCUUAAAUUUUUAUUGAAGGAGUCAAAUAUAUUUAUGGGGGUUUUGAUGUUUUCAUCACUUGACGUUCAAUGGCAACUGUUAUCUUACCUUAACAAGCAUUUGAUGAUUUUUCAGUAGCUUUCUUUACGCCAAUAUUUUACUCAGUUUUAACUUUAAGCCUUUAUUUUAUCAAAUUAAUUCACCAGUAGAUAACAUGUAUUUUUUGGCAAGAUUUUACAUUGCGAAAGAAAGAUAAGCCUCAAUUCACUUGUAACUUGUUAAAGCAGAUGCAUUAUAUUAGACAAAAAAGCACUUAGUGGUCUAACCUAUUGUAAAAUCUUGUAUUUAUUUACAUAAUUAUGGUCAUCAGUAUCUUUUGCUUCAUUCACUUCUCUUUUUCUUUAAUUAUCAAGGAAACGCGGUUUAAGUAGUUAUCAAAAUUAUGUUAAAUAUUUGUGAGUCUAGAGUGAGUCCCCACUAACAAAUGGGACUGAUGAUACGAAAUAGCGACCCUCAAAAUCCAACUGAGAUGCCGCAAUUUCCUUAUGCUACAAUGUUGACACUUGAUUCAGUUAAUAAUGAAAAUCUAUCACAAUGAUCACCGUCUUCUACAAUAAUUUUAAAGUAACACUUUGCUAUUUACUGAAGUAGGAUUGGCAUAUUUCACGAAAUUGAAAGCAAUUGGUCUUCGUGGUUGUGGAAUAACUACACUUCAAGGAAUUCCGCAACAAUCACCCCUUCCUACUUAAUUUCCUAGUCUUUUUGGCAAUAUUAUGGCCUUUUAUUUUUCGAUAUUUUUUUUAGUAAAUCAGCUUAAUUGAAUCUUAACUAAUCACUUUAUUAUAAUUUUUAAGUCUAAUUUUGAAUUCUCAUUCUUCAUUCUUUUGAUUCUCGAUGCAUAAUUGACUAAUUCUAACUUGAUCAAAUUUGAAUUAGAACCACUGCUUUCUUUAAUAAACUUUAGUCCUUGACAUACUCUAUCACUAUUUUCUAACAUAACCUGCUCAUUUCUUUCACUCUUUCUUUUUUUUUCUGAAUUUAAUUUUUUUAAAUCAGCAAUGAUAUCUAUCUUCAUUUCAUUACUUAUAGCUUUGAAUGAAAAACGAUUUUUUAAUAGCUCUUACAUUUCAACGCUUUUGAAGUUUUAUUUAUGUUCAUUAAUUCUUGAUACAGGAUUAGCUAAUUAAAUUCAAAUACUUGGAAGCAUUGAAUUUGAGUAGUAAUAAUAAUAUAAACAGUUCUCUAGAAACCUGAAGAUUGUUGUCCAAAUAUAACCAAUGCAAACCGUGUUACUUGGUUGUUUCGCUCUAGAUUUGCUAGAUCUAUCAAAUAACAAUUUAUAUGGCCAAAUUUUUCCCAAAUAUAUAAACUUGACUCAUUUGCAUUGGUUAUAUUUGGACAACAAUCAUUUUAGUGGGAAGAUGGAUGAUGGUUUGAGGAGCUCCACUUCAUUAGAGGGGUUAGAUAUAUCCGACAACAUGUUAUCUGGUAAUAUUCCUAAUUGGAUUGGUAACAUCUCAACUCUUAGGGUUCUUUUAAUGUCAAAAAAUUAUUUGGAAGCUAAUAUUCCAGUCCAACUCAGCCACCUUAGAGCAUCUCCAAAAGACAUAAGAUUUUACUCUUCAAAUUUCAAUUUGCUUACUGAUGUGGCAAAUAAGUGUAUAGAAAAAUACAAUCUCCUCCAAAAGACUCAUCAAAUAAGAAUAAGUUAAUAUUAUUUUAAUUAAAUCUUUCCCACUAUCAAAUUGAAUUGUUGUUAUGUUUUUGAAAGGAAACAUAAAUAAUAAUUAUUGCAGUCUUAUCUUUUCAAUAAAUAAUAAUAAAAUAUUAAUAGAAGAGGGAGAAACUCACUCAGCAAUAUUGAAGAGUGAGAAACAAAUCUUAUUUGAAGAAUCUAAAUUAACGUGUCUUUUGGAGUGUUUAAUAUUGAUAUGACUCUUCAAAUAAGAAGUAGAAUUUUAUUUGAAGAGUCUUUUGGAGAUGCUCUUAGAGGUCUUGAUCUUAUAGACAUCUCUAAAAAUAGUUUGUGUGGGUCCAUGGUAUCUUCCUCCAAUCUUUCAUCAGUGAAACACCUUUAUCUGCAGAAGAAUGCUAUUAAUGGGUUAAUUCCAAAUGAACUGUUUAGAAGCUCUAAAUUAAUCAUUCUAGAGUGAGGGAUAAUAAAUUUUCUGGUAGGAUUCCUUGUAAGAUCAAUGAGCUUUCGAAUCUGCAUGUUCUUGUUUUGAGAGGGAAUUCUCUACAAGGGCAUAUUCCUAAUGAAUUGUGCCAAUUAGGAACAUUGCGUAUUAUGAAUCUUUCACAUAAGAUACUUGAUGGGUCAAUUGCUGAGGAAAAAUCAGGUUUUUAAAUUUUUAUAAAACAUUUUAAAGACCGCUCUCAUAUAAUAUAUAGGAAUUUGUAAUCUAGAAAUCGUACCUUGAAAAUCCAAUUUGGCUUUUUCUGCUGAAAUGAUUUAGGCUCCCAGAUCAUGAUCCGUCACCACCACUCCUGUUAGAUCACGAUCCGUCACCACCACGCUUGCCAGAACAUGAACUGGCACCAAUGAUCUUCCAGGUUAUGAUUCAGGUUUGAUCUGCACUUGAUGUGUGGGCGCCUUUAUCACUACCAAAGCAACUGGCACGAGAAAAUUUUUCUCUCAACAAUAGAGAGAAAUCUUUCUCUGAUCUGUAUAAAGUGGCUGCUCUCUUUUUCUUUAGAGAAAAUAAGCUUUUUUAUAUCACCCUUCAGUGAAAACCCUAGGCUCCAAAUAAUAAAAAUCAAAACUCACGUUACUUGCUUUUUCUAUAGGGGACCCACCUUGUAAAAUAACAUAAGGCCCCUUACACACAAGCUAAUUAAAUGGAGCCUCCCACUAAAUAAUAUAUUUAGGCUUUUGACCCAAAUAGCUAGUUAUCUUGCUUAUUAGUCCAGUAGUGGUGCAAUCAAUUAAAUGAGCUAACUCGGGGAUCAUUUGGCAACAUACAAUAGUGGCUGUAACAAUUAGGCCUGUGAUUAAACUAGCCUAAUUAUUUAAUUUCAAAUCUACUCUACUAAAAGAUUGGAAUUGACCUCCAUAAUUGUAUGCUCGAAUAAUAAUUCGUCCCAAGCCACAUUGAUUUCUUUACUGCAAAAUCCUUUGUACCACAUCAUUAAUUAAAUCGAUAUCUCAACUGUCCAAUCGAUUUAAUUACAUCUUAUUCCUUGAUACUUACUGGUUUUCUCUAAUAAUCAUUUUCAACAUACUAAAUAUAUUGACACACUCUGGCCAGAGAAUUCUAUGAUUAAGUGCCGAAAACCCAUCAAGAGAUGUGUUGUACAAAUUAUAUAUUGUUAAUCUAUAACUCCAAUACUCAUAAAUGCUCCCACCAAGAUACUGGGUAAUCCAGACUACAAGUAUGUGUCAUGCCCAUUGGUAACUCAAAUUGAAUAAUAAUUACAAUCAUGAAAUCAUAAUUAACUCAAGAUUAAGAUUACAGUAAAAUCAAUGCCUAUGAGAUUUAAUAAGUCUGACAAUUAUUACAAAGUUAAUUAAAUCUCAUAUGUGAUCAUGUUCAAUGUAGUCAUACUACAUCAAUAAAUUCAUACAUGAUUAAGACAAAUCAUUCAAUGAAUUUAUUACAGUCUAUAAUUAAAUAAAGUGCCCAACUUUAUUUAUCAACUGCGAACUAAAUUUAUUUAAUCAUAAGAUAACUUGUAUUUAUGUCUUCUGUGAAUCCACAUGGUGAUCACAUAAAUACAUAUAAUAUGAUUAAUUGGACUUUAAUAAAAAUAUUAAUGCAAUUAAGAUAUUUGAAUAAAAUACCUCAUUAAUUUUAUUAAUCAGAAAAAUAUUUAUUACAAUUAAAUAAAUACACAUGCUUUUAAAGAGCAUAUUUUCCCAACAUCAAUACCUUUAUGCCUGGGUAUAUAAUGUGCCAUUUUGGAAAGAAUGAACUAACUAUUAUUUGUAUGACUAUUGUUUGCUUGGUGAAUACACAGUGUAUCACGGUUUCUACAUCGAUUCUGUUGUUAAUAAUUACUGCAAAUCUAUUCUUGAUCUACAAUCGCCUGUUAAACCACGUGUAUCAAUAUAUCAACGAGUAGAAGCAGAAUUUGAGACAAGGAAUAGAUAUGAAUUUUUCAUCGGCAGCAAUCUUGUGUACAUGGCGGGACUGGAUUUGUCAGGCAAUAGGUUGAGCAGAGAAAUUUCCUAGGAAAUUAGGAAACUUCAAAAUAUUGGUGCAUUAAAUCUGUCCAAUAAUUUAUUAUCAAGUGUUGUACCAGAGAGUUUCUCCAAUCUAAAAAUGACAGAGAGCCUGGACCUUUCCCACAACAUAUUAAGUGGUCAUAUUCCUCCUCAACUCACUGAGCUCAACCUUUUAUCCAACUUCAAUGUAUCAUACAACAGCUUGUCGGGCCCAAGCCCAGACAAAGAGCAGUUCGCCACAUUUGAUGAGAGCAGUUAUAUAGGAAACCAUGAUCUUUGUGGUUCCCCGAUAAGGAAGAAAUACAACAGCGAAUUAACACCACCAGCAACAUCAACAGAAGGAGCAGAAGAAGAAGAAGCCGAUUCGGUGAUUGAUAUGGUGGCAUUAAAAUGGAGUUUUGGUGCAUCAUUUUUUACAGUGACUUUGGGUUCGUUUGCAAUCCUUUGGAUAAACUCCUAUUGGCGUAGACUGUGGUUCUACACUUACUAGACCCAAUUAUCCAUUAGAUUAUUUACUUUCAUGCAAAGACAUGAUAAAUAAUUAUCGUUAUCUCUUUGGGCCUAAAUUUGUUAACAGAGCUUCGUUGGGAAGGUUAAUAACAAACUUUAGUUGAGUGUAUAACCAUUGUUUCAAUCUACGUAUUUUUCAUAUCAAUAGUCACCGUUGGGGUGAACAAUCGAUUGAAAAAUAUUUCAAUUUUAUCUUUGAAGAAGUUCAUCAAAUAAAAUAUCUAAUAUAUAUACCCUCCGAAGGGAGCAUCACCGUAUCAUGAAGUCGAGGUAUAUAUAUAAUUUUAUUAUUGAACUAACAAUGGAGCCCGUGGGAAAAUUAUCUUGAAUUUUCCCUCUCCCACUCAAUAUUUUAAAAUUGGUUUUUCCUUUUUAAAACAUACAUAUUGUUAAUUGCAUGCUUCCUAUAAUAUUAUCUAGAUGAUAUCAAAUAUUAUUAAGCAUAUGCAAAUUUCAAACAAUAUAAUGAAAUUCAUUAUUAAUGAAUGACAUGUAUCAUUAUGCAUAGAGUGGCACUACCUAUUCUAUAUGACAUGUUAUCAUGGCAUGUUAUCAUCCAAAACAUAACAUAUAGAAAAACAAUUAAAUAAUCUUAAUUCAUGGCUUUCCUAAUAAUGAAAAAUACAUUAACCCUAAGCCUAAUCUUCAUUGGGCUUCUUGUCAAUGUCCAUCUUUCAUAAUCUUAUUUUUGUUAAUGGACUAGGGGAAAUUGGGCUUUUAAAUUUAUAAUUGGUCCAAUUUUAAUUUUUGGAAGGAAAUAAAUAAAUAAUUAAAUUUUUUUUUAUUAAAAUAAAACUUUUGGACCAAAAAUAAAUUUAAUGUGUUCAAUUUUAUCCAUGCAUUUUAAUCCAUUAAGCCCAAAUAUCAAUUGGGCCUAAAACUAGGAUUCUUUAAGUUCAAAACUGUUUUUUAGACUUAAAUGCAAAAAAUUAAAACUUAUCAGCCCAAAGAGAAAAUCUAUGGAACUAUAGGGAUCGUAAUGAUAAAAAUCAUUAAAACCCUAAAUCCAUCUUUUUCUCUCCCCAGCCGCCAUCACCACAAAGGGCAGCCACUGUUCACAAUUUCCAGCCAUCUCCGACGCCGAGUUUGCUGCCGCCGUCACACCGGAAAUGUACCAAACACCUCCCUCGCGCUGCACGGAAAGCUCCUGCUCGCGCUACCUGCUGCGUGUGCUGGCUGUUGCACGCGAGCGUGCGCUGGCUGCUGCACGCACAGUGUGCGUUGCUGGCUGCGCGAGCAGCACACGCUGGCUGCUGGCUUGCAGCGCGCGCUGCUGGCAGCGUGUGCUGCGAGCCGCGCGCUGCUUGCUGCUGGUUGCCGCUGUCAAUUUCCGGCCUUCGUCGCUUUGAUCUUGAAAAUCCGAGAUUAAUUUACAAAUAUCCUAGGCCAAUUUUUGGCUUACAAAAAUUCUAUAACAGUAAAAUAAAUCAAGAGGGAAACAUGAUGAUAAAAAAUCACCCCUCUUGUUACAGAUCCAAAGAAAAAAUACAACGGAAAAUAUAACCAUGAAUUAAGACAAAACAAAACAUGCUUUAUUCAUAUAUUAAACAAUUAAUAUAUAUCUGAAUAAAUUGUGCCACUCUAAUACAUAAAUUUCAAGAAUGAUUUCAUACGAAAUUCUUAUAUAUUAAUAUGAGAUGGCUCUGAUACCAAUUGUUGGGGAAAAAUUAGGUUUUUAAAUUUUUAUUAAACCUUUUGAAGAUCGCUCUCAUAUAAUAUAUAAGAAUACGUAAUCCAGAAAUCGUACCUUGAAAAUCCGAUUUGGCUUUUUCCGUUGAAAUGAUUUAGGCUCCUAGAUCACGAUCCGCCACCACCACUCCUGUUAGAUCACGAUCCGUCACCACCACGCUUGCUAGAUCACGAACUGUCACCAAUGAUCUUCCAGGUUAUGACUCAGGUUCGAUCUGCACUUGACGUGUGGGCGCCUUUAUCACUACCAAAGCAACUAGCACGAGAAAAUUUUUCUCUCAACAAUGGAGAGAAAAAUCUUAUUCUCUGAUCUGUAUAAAGUGGCUUCUCUCUUCUUUAGAGAAAAAUAAGUCUUUUUUAUAUCACCCUUUAGUGAAAACCCUAGGCUCCAAAUAUCAAAAAACAAAACUCACGUAAUUUGCUUUUUCAAUAGGGGACCCACCUUGUAAAAUAACAUAAGGCCCCUUAUACAAAAACUAAUUAAAUGGAGCCUCCCACUAAAUGAUAUAUUUAGGCUUUUGAUCCAAAUAGCUAGUUAUCUUACUUAUUAGUCCAGUAGUGGUGCAGUCAAUUAAAUGAGCUAACCCGGGGAUCAUUUGGGAACAUACAAUAGUGGCUACAAUAAUUAGGCUUGUAAUUAAACUAGCCCAAUUAUUUAAUUCCAAAUCUACUCCACUAAAAGAUUGGAACUGACUUCCAUAAUUGUAUGCUCGAAUAAUAAUUCGUCCCAAGCCACAUUGAUUUCUUUACUGCACAAUCCUUUGUACCACAUCGUUAAUUAAAUUGAUAUCUCAACUGUCCAAUCAAUUUAAUAACAUCUUAUUCCUUGAUCCUUACUGGUUUUCUCUAAUGAUCAUUUUCAACAUACUAAAUAUGUUGACACACUCUGGCCAGAGAAUUCUAUGAUCAAGUGCCGAAAACCCAUCAAGAGAUGUGUUGUACAAAUUCUAUAUUGUUAAUCCAUAACUCCAAUACUCAUAAUUGCUCCCACCAAGAUACCGGGUAAUCUUGACCAUAAGAAUGUGUCGUGCCCAUUGGUAACUCAAAUGGAAUAACAAUUACAAUCAUGAAAUCAUAAUUAACUCAAGAUUAAGAUUACAGUAAAAUCAACGCCUAUGAGAUUUAAUAAGUCUGACAGUUAUUACAAAGUUAAUUAAAUCUCAUAUGUGAUCCUGUUCAAUGUAGUCGUACUACAUCAAUAAAUUCAUACAUGAUUAAGACAAAUCAUUCAAUGAAUUUAUUACAGUCUAUACCUAAAUAAAGUGCCCAACUUUAUUUAUCAACUGCGAACUAAAUUUAUUUAAUCAUAAGAUGACUUGUAUUUAUGUCUUCUGUGAAUCCACAUGGUGAUCACAUAAAUACAUAUAAUAUGAUUAAAUGGACUUUAAUACAAGUAUUAAUGCAAUUAAGAUAUUUGAAUAAAAUAUCUCAUUUAUUUUAUUAAUCAGAAAAAUAGUUUAUUACAAUUAAAUAAACACAUAUGCUUUUAAAGAGCAUAUUUUCCCAACACCUUCAAGUGGUUUCGUUAUGGUUAGACUUAUUUUUUAUUCUCCAGUUUCUGUUGGAUGUAAAUUAACAACUUCUUAUUGUAUCUCGAAUAUGCUCAUGUUGAUUAAUUGAAAGAACCUGGGACUCGAAAUCUACAAAAUCGAAUGAGGAAUUAUGCCUAAUACUAUGUUGAUUGUAAUAUCAAGAGUGCCUGGUGGUGCCAUAGCUACUUCUUUGUAAGACAGCGAUUUGGAAGCCAUGGCAGUAUGGUUUGGAACCUGGGACUCUUCUUUUAAAAAUGGAAAAACUCCGUUUGCCAAAUCCAAAAAUGUUUUUCUAGAAUCAAUAAUAACAACCGUUAAAUAAAAAAAAGAUAGAUCUAUAAUAUCCAUCCAUUGCAUAAAAUGAAUCAAUGGUUUCUCCUCACUUUGUUCAAGGCUAUGGGGGAAAACAAAAAUUAUCACUCGUUGCUACCCGUCAUCUCUGAAUUUCGAAAGAUCUAACAGCUUUACCAAGCAACCCUCCUUCAUUGCCAACUAACUAAAUCAGUUGACCUUAUCUAUGGCCAUAAAUAGUUCAGAAUCUUCUAAAGUUUGAAUCCUGUAUGUGAUCUGUAUAAGCAUGUUAGAUUUCUUGGGGGGGGGGGGGGGGGGGAGGGGAAUCUAUGCUAGAAAUGGAUGUUACAAUUGAUGCCUUCAGAGUUCACCAAAUAAACUACAACUUUGCUCAUGUAUUCAGUAAAUCUGUUUAAUACCUUGACUUAUAAAGUUAUUAAUAAUAACUUAUGAACAUAUAUAAGCUGAUCUCCUUAUCUAUAAAGCUCGUUAAAAAAGAAAGCACUUACCACUUCUUUGCAAAAGCUCACGGGCAUGAGAGGAAGACAAUGGGAAAAUUUUCAUGAGUUAGGAUUUUUCCAAAAUUCAAUUUGACCCUUCACAGCUUGAAUUGGAGAGUUAUUUUAGAGUAUUUUUAUCCUUAAAUUCAUUUGGAUUUGAGAAGGAAUUUAAAUGUAGGAAUUGUAGAGAGAGGAUUUGAGUUAGAGGGAAAUGAUUCAAGCUUUCAAGUUGAGUUUCUCACCAAAGGGAGUAAGAUUUCUAUCAUUUUAUCUUUAUUUGAAGUUGCAUUUGCAUGGGAAUAAAGUUAAUUUAAAGACUAGUAUGCUUUGUUUAUAGUUAAGGUUCCGAACAAAUGGAUAAAAUCGGUCCCAAGUUAAUUUUUGUAAUUGGUAGAUCAUUUUAGGUGCACAAGGACACUUACAAGGCAUUGUAGAGAUGAAACGCGUGGCCUUCACCGUUUCCUCAAUUCAUGUGCUUUUGUGUGUGUGUGUGUGUUUUGAUAGUUCAUGGUCAAUAAUGAGAUUGGUGAUGAUGUGGAUGAUUUAUUAGUAUUAUAAGAUAUAGAAAUCUAAUUAUUGAGGUGGAGUAUAGAAUUUGGAGCAUAAGGUGUAAACUUGAAAUGUUGACUUAAAUAUUAUUGUAAAUUGAUUUUGACUUAUAACCGACCAAAGAAAUAAUUGAAGAAGCAAAUUGGUUAGUUUCACGUGCACGGCUUUUGGCAAAGUGAAAUGUCAGCUUCGCACUUCACUUGUGAACGUACAAGAUUUGCUACAUAAGGAAAUUGCGGCGUUUCAGCCGGAUUUUGAGAGUUGUUUUCAAGUUUCGUAUAAUCAGAUCCCAUUUCUUUUCUUUGUAUUUGUUCAUUGCCACGACUUUUUUUUCUCCCACAGCUCACGUGGUCACCGUAAUUUUGAUAACUACUCAAAAUGGGUUUCCGCAAUAAUUAAAGAAAAGGAAAAGUGAAUGAAGAAGAGAUACUGAUGACCAUAAUCAUCUAAGGGUGCGUUUGUCAGACUGUAUUGUAUUAUGCUACAUUGUAUUAUUUUAAUGCUGGUGUAUUGUAUUAUGUUGUAUUGCAUUAGCACUGUAUUAUAAUAAUAUUGUACAAUAUUUGGUGCUACACUGUACUGUAUUAUUUUUUUGUGAUUAAUUGAAAUUAAAUAUUAUAUUAUAUUAAUAUAUUUAAAUUGUAUUAAUAUUUUAUAUUAUUUAUAUUAUUAUUAAUUUUAAAUUAAUAUUAUUCAAAUUUAAAUAUUUAUUAUUAGUUAAAAUAAAUUAUAAAUUUAUGAAUAAAUUAAUAUUAUUCAAAUUUAUUGAACACUAGGGUUUCAAAUAUACAAACUGAUAUUUAUAGUAUCUUCGAAAUUCUUAUUGAUAUAAACACAAGUACUAUUAAAAUUGAAUCAUUUAUUGAUUUAUUAUAUGUUAAAGUUGAUGUACAAUAGACACAAUUCACUUGACAUAUUAAAUUCUUUGUCCACAAGCAAAUUCCAAGAAAAUAAUAAACCUAAUAAGAAUCUAAAUAAAUGUGCUUCACUAUAAUUAGUUACGAAGAUAUUAACUUAGUUACAAAACUCAUAUAUCUCUAUCUUAGGAGCAUCUGCAUAGCAUUUUCCCAUGGAUUAUUCUUCUUCCCAGUAUUAAUAUUGCCCCAAUAAGUAGUCUUUGUGAUGUCGCUUCUCUUUUUAUUGGAAAAAACACCUUCAAGCAUGUCUUCUAAGAUCUGGUUCAGCAUCUCUUCACUUAUUCUUUCCCUAGCAAGCAGCAAUCUUAAGGCUUCUCUUCAUCUGUAAAAUUAAUGUUGAAUAUUAGAAUAAGAACAGUUAUGCUAUAUCCAUAAAUAAUGUCAAAUAUCAUCCCUUACCAUGCGGGCUCUCUUCAGCAGCAACAGCACCGCCAUUUACAGUGCUGCUACUAACCUCAAUAACUUCACUAUUGCAGCAACAAUAGCAACACCAGCUUCAGCAUCUUCAGCAAUCACUCCAUCUCCAUGCUCUUCAGCAACAUCGCAAUCUUCAAGAUUUUCAAGAGUCUAAGGCUCCAUCAUCAAAAUUCAAAACUACUUUCAACUUAAUUUGAAGGAUAAAGAAAAUUUAAAUAGAGUGGAAAACAAUGCAUCCAAAUGGGUGUGAUAGGAAUUUCAAAUGCACUCCACUCUCACUCUAGCUUCUCCUAAUCCAUUCAUUCAUUUCUUCCAUUUAAGGAGGCCAUCACCAUUCACCCCUCAAUGUUAUUGCAUGCAAUUCCCAAAAUGCGUUCUGAGCACCCAAUGAGAAGAUGUGAGACAUGAAUAAGUAUGCAUGAAUUCACAAGAAGGCAUAUAAAAUCUUAAGUUAAGCACCAUAUUUCAAACUUCUCAUAUCAUUCCUAGGACAAAAUCGGACCAAAAAAUACAACUUUGCAAUCAUGAGUAACACUAGCGUUAAUUGUAAUUAACCUAAUUCAAUAAAUUGUCAUAACCUAAUUCAAUAAAUUGUCAUCGUUACUUCAGGUUCCACAGUAUUCAAACUCUUAAUACAGCAACCCAGCACGAAAUAGGAACUAUACAGUUAACAAGAUAUAUUAACACAUAAGCUAUACAGAGCAUUUUAAGUUACUUCAUGUUAAAGUUAUUUAAUCAUACUUCAGAUACCCAUAUUAUCAAAACAUGCCCCUUCAAUUAAGGGUCUGUAACCUAUGCCUAGGUAAUAUAUUUUUUUUAAGGAAUAUAAGCAGAAUUUGCUCCUUUAACUUCCACAAGCCGUGCACUCUUCAUGGUUUGUUGGAGAACAAACCAUCUGUGCCAUCUUGGUUUUAUCAUCAGCCACCAACUCAGGCUUCGCCUGAAUCACCAAGAGUUGGGAAAGUGAAACAUUGGGAAAAAGAAAAAAAAAAAGUAAUUGAUUGUUCUAGCAGCAAUCAUCUUCUUCCUGCAAGAAUCAGCCAUGAUUUCUUUUUUUUUUUUGAAAAAUUCAAAUCACCAAUAUUUUUACGUUCUUCUCCAAAUUCUUAUCAUUCACCUCAUUUCCACAACAAUUGCUAGAAAACAGAACACCAACAUUCAAACCAACAAACAAGCCAACAAAUUAAAAAAAAAAAAAAAGGCCCAUCUCCUAAAUUCAUCAAUUCAACACCACAAUCUCUACUACCCUCUUAAUCACUCUCUCUCACAUCAACGCCUCUACACUUUCAGAUUUCAUGAAAAUGAUUUCAAUAGAUUAUUAUUAUUAUUAUUAUUAUUUAUUUGGCUUUAUAGAGCCAUCAACUAAAACACUUGAAUACCUAAAUGGAAAAAUGAAAUCUGCACGUAAAUCCAUUCGAAUCUCGCCGUAGCACCACCGCCGCACCAUGCUGUUGUUCGAAUUCAAAUGACACCGUCGCUCCAAUCAAAGAUUCAGGUGCUGCAGCUGCACCACUCAUUUAAUGAUUCACGCUGCACGACGGCUGGGCUGCUAUGUUUGGCUCUUGAGAAAUUGGAGAAUGGAGGAAAAUCAGUGAAUAGAUGAGUGAGUUUGAGAGAAAAGUAUUGUUUUGGGUUUUGAGAAGAGAAAUUUUGUUUCAUGGUCGUGGCUAAGGAUCGUGUUUGGAAGAAGAAAAUAUUUUAUUUCUCUUUUCGAAUGCAAUGCGGCCUAAUUACGACUCCCCACGGGUUUAUUUUUUGCGGCGUUUGGUGUAUUAUAAUGAGGUUUAAUACAAAGUUAACUUUUUGCCAAACAUGAUAUUGUAUUGAUUUAAUACAAUACAGAGCUUUAAUGUGGUGUAAUGCUGAGUGACAAACACACCCUAAAUGCAUACAAAAUUUUACAAUAGAUUAGACUACCGAUUUGUGCUUUUUCGUCUAAUAAUAAUACAUCUGCUUCAAUAAGAAACAAGUGAAUUGAGGGAUGUCUUUCUUUCGCAAUAUAAAUUCUUGCCAAAAAAUACAUGCUAUCUGCUGGUGAAUUAAUUUUAUAAAAGAAAGGCUUAAAGUUAAAGCUGAGUAAAAAUAUUGGCGUCAAGAACGCUACUGGAAAGUUCAACCGUGAGCUGCAGCCUGCGGUCCUCAACAACCUGAGAAAAUGCUGAGGUGUUGCGCGCCUGCCCACUACUUUGGCAGGUCUAAUGGGACCCACAGUCGGAUUUAUAAAUUAAAAUAAUGUACUUUUGUAUAUUUUUAAAUAAAUAAUAAAAUAUGGAUAAGGAUACAUAUAUUUAUUCAAAUAUUAGUAAAAAUAGAUAUAUUGCUGAUUUUUAAAUUAUACUUCGUGAACCUUUUGGACUAAGCUCUAAAUCUAUGAAUUCAAACUUCCAACACACCACAAAUUAUUUUUAGCCCGCAUGUCGGACUGUCUCCUUUAAGUUUCACUUUGAUUUCUACCACAUCAUUCAAAUAAGUUACUAUAGCAUGUCAGCUAGUUGGGAACUAAAAAGUGUACUUUAUUCAAUGACAGAAUCAGAGCCAUCAAAGGAUUUGUCUAAUUAUGGGCUGGUGCUAUCAGUGUUAAAGGCAAUUUCCUAACGAGAAAUCCUCACCCACAAUAGUAGGAGAUCUCGUCUUUUAUUUAAUUGGUGUGUAUUUUAGAGGUAUCGAUCUCUAAAAUAGAUCCCACAUUGUAAUAUUUGUAGAUUUUCACAAAGAAAAAAAAAUUAAUCCUACAUAAUCAUUGUUCAAUGAAAUUGCAAACUUAAAAAAAAAAAGUCCGGAUGGUUCGAUUAUUAAGAGCAACCAAUAAGCUGAAUGGCAGGGAAAAUAAGCUUAAAGAAAUCCAGCUUAGAGAAACCGAACAAGCACACAUACAUAGAGACAUAUGACUAUCUCAAAGGAACCAAAAGGAAGGUUAAAAUAGAGGCUUCGUAUUUCAUAUCAAUUAUUGAUAUGAAGAAGCUCUCGAUUUCCAACGAGCUGUCCUCCCCGUUUCGAAGCAAGCUUAAAAUUAAACGUGUAUUUGAUUCAUAACUAUCGUCAAAAUCGGUGAUAUUAAUGACAACUCACCUGGAAACUUGAGUAUAGUUUUAGAACCAAACUGAGAAUUUCACAUAAACUGAUACAUACCAGUUUGCAGAAAAGCUAACCGAACACAUAAACAGCACAACAAGUGGGAAAUAUGUAUAAUAAACUAUAGAGGAGUAAAAUAUAAGGGAAAUAUGUGGGUGCACAGCAUAAUUAAUUAUCCAAUAACAAAACUCUUAAGUCUUUUUAUUUUUCCAAACUCCAGGACACAUGCAUGUUAUAAAGUAGCCGGACCAACUUGUGACUGAGGAUGCUUCUCUGAGUUAAAUUCACGUGGAUAAUUAAUGGUACUUGUAGUAAAAAAUAUGAAAGUAAUUCUUAAUCAUAUGCGACCACUCGAAGACAUAGGCCACAUGAUCCAUAAAAAUCCUUGAGAGCUUACAUUAGGAAAUGAUUUUAAUUUGUAAUUAAAAUGUCACAAUUACCUCAGACUUGUUAAAUAGGCACUUAUUAUAGUCAAACCAUUUAUUUAUAAACAAAAAUAACGUAAUCUGCAGUAAUUUUUAUGUUUUCAUAGAACUUUAUGAUCCAAAAGCAGAAGAAUUGCAUCAAUUUAAAUUUAACAUACCACUUGAAAUCAGCCUCAAUCCUCAUUUAGUGGAGUUUUGUCCAACAAUAUUUGAGGCCAGUAAACAUCAAGUUCCCAACAAUGUUCCACUACAUUCUGCCUAAAUGAGUCAAACUCUUAAAAUGACACAAGUGAGGCAAAAGAUGAGAAGCUUGAUAAAAGAUUAGCAGUCAUGACAAGGAUAAUACCUCAAGAAAGUGCAGUACAGAGGCCGCGCGAGAAGUCAGAGCUUGCAAGGCAGAUGCUACUUAGCUUCAUCGUAAAGUCAGUCCAGCAUAAUAUAGAUGCUCCAGGCUACGAAAAUAAGUUCGAGCAUUCAGAAAAUUCUUCAGAUAUAAUUGCAAUUGAUAGUGCUAUCAUAAAAAUCCUUUAUGAAAAUGAAAGAAGGCAAAACAAACUUGGCAUCUCAGUCCAAUGAUCAAGAAUAGCAAAACCCAAAAGAUGUAAACCAAAAAAGUGGGGAUGGUGAAGGAUUUAUAGUUGUCAGAAAAAGGAAAAGAAACCGACAGCAGAUCGCAAAUGGGGUAACUGAGAUGUGCAAUCAUCAAUCCACCUGCGUUAAAAGAGAGAGCAAAGUAAAAAAAUGCAAACGCGUUGUCCUGUUUCUCCCAGUUUUAUUCGAGAGAUUUUUUACUGAAUGUUAGUAUUGUAGAAAUGGUCAAAAAAUGGAGACUUGAUUGUAUCAUUUUGGAUAUCCUCUCUGGAUGUUCUAAUAAUAUGUGUACAAAUCGGUUUUUUAUUUUGAUCAUUAAAUAAUGAGUAACUAAUUAGCCGAUUUUCCUUGUACAAGAAAUCUGAGAUGUUGCUUUUAUAGAUAGAGGUUCCUCAAAUUAAUUGGUAUUAACCCACUGAUAGCUUUAAUUUGCAGCUAAAGUUGCUGCACUGAUGAUGCUACAACCAACAUAGUAUUUGGCAAAACUCCUUAUUUGGAUUUGUAGCAUUUCGAGUCUCAGGUUCUUUCAAUCAACAAUCUCCGACAGAAUACUUAUUUGGAAAGCCAAUAGUAGCUUGUGUCAAUACAUCUAUCAAUGAAAUAGAACCAUAAUCUGCGCCAAUAUGAGUUUAUGCCAAGGGCCACAAACAAACUCAAUAUUACUGUCGCAUAGGUUGCACCAAAACUCCAGUAUAAUGCCACCAUACUAAUUGCAGAUUCAUCUUCUCCUUCUUCUUUGCCUGCUGGUGUUGCUGUCGGUGUUACUGCACUGCUGCAUUUCCUCUUUAUGAGUGAACCACAUAGAUAAAGGUUUCCUUAAUAAUUGUUUUCAUCAAACGUGCCAAACUGCCCUUUGUCUGGGGUUGGGCCGGACAAGUUAUUGUAUGACACGUUGAAAUUUGAUAAAAAGUUGAGCUCAGUGAGUUGAGGAGGAAUUCUACCACUUAAUCAAUUGUGGGAAAGGUCCAGGCUCUCUAUCAUUUUUAGAUUGGAGAAACUCUUAGGUAUAGAACCUAAUAGUAAAUUAUUGGACAGAUUCAAUGCAUGAAUAUUUUGAAGUUGACCAAGUUCCCAUGGAAUUUCUCCGCUCAACUCAUUGCUUGACAGAUCCAGUCCAGUCAUGUAGUUAAGAUUGCUACCAAUGAAAAAUUCAUAUCUAUUUUUUGUCGCAAAUUCUGCUUCUAGUUGUCGAUCUAUUGCGGAAUGUUUUUCAACAGGCGGUUGCAGAUCAAGAGUGGAAUUGUAGUAAGUAACAAUGGUAGGGUUUAAAGACAGAUACACUUUAUAACCCUCAAGUAGUUCAUAUUCAUAAGAGAAAUCAUCAAUUCUUUCUCUCCAGAUUGACACAUUACCCAAGCAUGAAGGUAUUGACCCAUUAAGUCUGUUCUGCGAAAGAUCAAUGAUACCUAAUUUUUUUAUUUGGCAUAAUUGAUUAGGAAUACGUCCUUGCAGAUAAUUUCCUCUCAAAAGAAGAACAUGCAAAUUCGAAAGCUCAUUGAUCUGAUGAGGAAUCCUACCAAAAAAUUUAUUAUCCCUUAAAUCUAGAGUCAUUAAUGCAGAGCUUCUAAACAGUGCAUUUGGAAUUAACCCACGAAGGGCAUUCUUUCGCAGAUAAAGGUGCUUCACUGAUGAAAGAUUCAAGGAAGCUAUCAUGGACCCAGGUAAACUAUUUUCAGAGAUGUCUACAAGCUCAAGACUUUCAAGAUUGUUAAGCUGGACUGGAAAAUUACCUUCCAAACGGUUUUUUGACAUUAAAAGAACCCAAAGGGUUGAGAUGUUACCAAUCCAAUGAGGAAUAUUGCCGGAUAACAUGUUGUUAGAUAUAUCUAAUCCCUCUAAUGAAGUGGAGCUCAACAAACCAUCUUUCAUCUUCCCACUGAAAUGAUUGUUGUUCAAAUAUAACGAACCCAAAUAAGUCAAGUUCAAGUAAUUGGGAAAAAUUUUGCCAUAGAAAUUGUUACUUGAUAGGUCCAACAUAUCUAGAGGGAGGCAACCAGAGACUAUAGGUCGGGGUAAUUCUCCUGAAAAGUUAUUUCUAGACAAAUCCAGUAUAUGUAGCUCUUGCAUCUCGCCCAUUGAAUGAGGAAUAUCACCUUCAAAAGUAUUUUCUGACAUAUCCAAAGACUCCAAUUUCUGAAGGAAAAUACCCAUAUUCUGCGGUAGCUUACCAGUGAAAUUGUUACUGGAAAUAUCUAGAAGACGAAGCAUAUCGUGUUUGGCAUUUGGAAGUAGUGGAAGAAUUCCUGAGAAUGAGUUAUUCGCCAAAGACAGUUUGUAAUCUUGAGUUGUUUUGCAAUAACCAAGUUGGGAAAUUUCCAACCAACUUAUUGUGAGAGAGGUCAAGGAAUCUUAAGUGGUAUUGGUGUAAAAGAAAAGUAGGACUGACAUUUAAAUUGCAGUUGGAUAAUUGGAGAACCUUCAAACAAUAUGUGGGGAGCCAGUUUUCAGUUUUCACUUGCAACAUAUUGUUUCUUGAUGAGAGCAGCAAGACCUCAAGCCUUGAAUGAUUAGCUAAUGAACUAAGGGGGAAUGUGCCUUGGAAAUUGAUGGAAGAGAGAGCCAAUUAUUCAAGUGAUGUGAGGUUGGUGAUUAUAGAAGGCAAGUUUCCACUUAACUGAUUGUAAGAAAUAUCAAGAACUUUGAGAUGGAUCAAGUUGUUGAAACAUUGAGGCAGCUGACCCUCAAAAUUAUUUGCUCCAAGAUUCAACUCUAAAAGAUUCUUCAAGUCACAUAUUCCUAAAAAUGAAAGUAAAAAUAGAAGGCUUACUAUUUCAUAGAAUGAAACUCCUAUAAAAUGUAGUGUUUUGUAGUUUUUAAUUAUGGCAAAUUCAAUCGUAAACCCAAUCUAAGACUUAUAAAAAAGUCAUAAAAUCAAAUUGUCUAAUUAUUUUGGUCAACGUAAAUAACAUUAUCUAUUUAAUUCUUAUAUAAUGUGAUGUUGAUUGCAAAAGUGUUUCAAUUAACCUUAAAAAAAAAAAAAGAACGAUCAACACUUCUUUUCAUCAUAAUCAGCUGCUGCUUUAUUGUUUAAAUUAAAAUUAUGAUUUUCUCUGGAAUAAUUUGAUACUUCGUCUUGUUUAUUGGAUAUUGGUAUUCUAAUCUCUAAAUUAAAAUUAUGAUUUUUCAGUUGUUUUCUUAAAUAAUAGUUUGUCUUAAAAUACACUUAAAUUUGUCUUAAAUUUUUACUCCUCUCUAGCAUAAACAAAACAUGUUUGAAAAGAAUUUACCGGAGGAAAAACAAAAAAAGAAGGAAAAAAGAACUUUUCUUCAUAAUCUAGGAAGUAGCUACCCACAAACGGUUUGUCAUUAUUUCAAAUAUUCAAUUAUCAUGUUUCAACAUAAAAACGCCGAGUAGAUUGUUUACUUCGGUUUCUAGAAAUCUGUUUAUAUUAUUAUUACUCAAUCUAACGCUUCCAAGUUUUUGAAUUUGGCUAAUUCUGCGUCAAGAACUAAUAAUGAGGAUAAAUAAAAAAUUUUAAUUAGAUUUGGGAGUUUUGUCUUAAUUCUUCUAUAUAGUUUUGAUAUAUACUUAUCCAUAAUACUUCAAAAGCAUUGAAAUGAAAAAGCUAUUGAAGACUUCGUUUUUCAUUCAGAACUUUUCUAUUAAAAGAAUCAGAAGAAACGGAGAGAGUGAAAGAAAUGAGGGGAGUCAGGACUCAGCAGACAGUGGUAGGGUUUGUCAAGUACUAAACUUCAUUAAAGAAAGCAGUGGCUCUAAUUCAAAUUUGAGCAUGAGCUAGUAGUUGAUGGAAUAUGCCGGCUGUCUCGAAUCAAAAUAAUGAAGAAAGGGAAUUCAAAAUUAUAUUAAAAUUAAUUAAGUUAAUAUCCCGAAAAGGAUUCAGAAAAAGAAAAAAGAAAAAGGCCAUAACAGUACAAAAAAGAAAUUAAAAGAAAAGAAAAAAACUAGGAAAUUAAAUAGAAGUUAUGAUUGUUGCUGUAUACCUUGAAUUGUAGUUAUUCCACAAUCUCUAAGAUCCAAUGUUUUCAAGUUUGUCAGAUUUGCCAAUCCUACAUGGCCGAUAAAAAUGAAAAUAUUGUUUCAAAAUUAUUGUAGAGCGAUGAGAUAUCUGUGUUCGAUAAACAUCUUGGUAAAUUUGCUUCUUAACUGUGUCUUAGUACAUAGCUUACCUAGCCUUGUUAAGAGCCCUAUAUUGGGUUAUCACGUAGAUCCAAUAGUUGCAGGUUUCUCAAAUUUGAUAAUCCUGAGGACAUAAAUUAAUGUUGAAUAAGACAUAUAUAUAGAGAAAUUCUCAGAUCAAGAUGCUAAAUGUAAAUUUCGUGCAGAUUCAUUAUUACACUAUAUGGUGUUAGUGUAUUUCUAUUCUAUUAAGUAUAAUACUACAUAAUGUAAUAGCAAAUCCACACGAAAUCUGCAUUUAUGCAUAUAUAAGUUUUUCUCCCUCGAUGUGUGUGUGUGAGCAAUUAAGUUGCGCCUUACAUAUCUUGUGGCCUGGAAUGUAUAUACCUUCUAUGGUUCUGGAACCUUCAAUGUUAUUUUCCCGCAGAAUCAAAGUGGUAAGUGAUAUCAGUGUAUUCAAAUAUGGUAAUAUGCUGUCAUUGAAGUGAUUAGCUUCAAGAUUUAAGAUCUUCAGCUGCUUCAAGCUCCCAUUGCUGUCGUAAGCUGCUAAUGCAUGCACUAUUAGUAGCUCACUGACAUUAAUUUUUCUUUUAAAACGAAUAUGCAAAUUGUAUAUCAAAAACCAAAAUAACAAUAAUAAUAAUGGACGAGAAAGAUAUAUACGAUAUACACACCUCUAUUCUCAUAGAAACCUUCAAACGCAUUGAGAGAUAAGUCGAGGCUUUGCAAUUCUUCAAAAGGAUGAAACAGUGAGAAAUUCAUAAGUGAAACUCCAAAAAGAGAGUUAUAAGAGAAGUUGAAUUUGGCUGUAUCAUUAAGCAAGAGAUGCAUCACCCGUCUUGUGGUGGCGUUGCACUUAACUCCAUCCCAAUCAUUAGAACAAUCAGACGACAUUCCAUCAUCAUCAACCCAUGAAGUAAGAAUUUCUUCUGCAUAUUCCGUAUCACUGAUCGAUAUAAAGAAGCUCUUAAGUGCCAACAGACCAAUCCUCUCUUUUUGCAAGCAACAUUUGUAUCCAUGCAUUUGCAUCAAAACAAUAAUCAAAAUCAGUGACAUUGAAAACUUAAUCAAGGUAGUUUCCAUUGCGAAGCAACUUUUCAUUUGGUUAAUUUACUCGCUCUUAAAAUAAUACUUGCAAUAAUGAAGAAAUUCAAUAAUUAUACUAAACAUUUAUAGACCUUGCAAAUUUUUUUUUGAUACAAUGGGGCCUAAUAAAGAUUAGGACAAAACAGAGCGGGGAAUAGUAUUCCCAUACAUAUCAUUACAUAACCAAUAUCCAAUACCCUCUGGUGGGUUAUCAAAAUCAUGAAAACCGAGAGGUAAAGAUCCUACCAACUUGGCCAUGAAAUCAGCAGCAAAAUUAGCUUCCCGAUAUAUAUGCUUUAUUGUAAUUUGCCAAUCUCUAUUCAUCAACUCCUUGAUGGCAUUGAUAAGUGAAAGAUGUGCAUUAGGCUCUGUUCUUGUGGAAGAGAUAAGUUGAAAGAUACAUUGGCUGUCCACCUCUGCCACCAAGUACUGGAUACCCCGAUUCCAUGCAAGAUGAAGACCUUGAAACAAACCCCAUAAUUCAGCAGAAGUCACCGAACAGAGACCAAUGUUCAUGCCAAAUCCAAACUGCCAUUUGCCAUAACAGUCCCUCACCAAUCCUCUAGCACUUGCCAACCCAUUUUUUAAUCGAGAACCAUCUGUAUUCAAUUUGAAAAAGGAUUCCGAGGGAGCUUGCCAGCCAAUUUCUUUGAUGGUUUUACUGGUACGAACAACAUUGAGACCUGCUCUUGCAAUAUGGAUAUCAUGAACCCACGAUCUAAUUUCCGUGACCAUCUGAGUGCAGCAAGGGGCAUUGUGAGUGAAGAUAAAUUGGUUGCGCCAGAACCAAAUUUUCCAAACAGCAACGCCAAAUAAGCAGGCCCAAUCAUCCACAACCUUAUUGAUACCAGCCUUGCCCAAAUUGAAGCAUAACCAGUCACGGAGGUCAAGAGAGAAAAAGGAUUGCUUGAACAUACCUGGAACCAAAUGAUUCCAAAUUCUUUUUGCCACAACACAAUCACGAAGAACAUGGAUUACAUCUUCUUUUUCCUGUCCACAAUAUUCACAGUCCAUAGAAAUUUUGAUGUGUCUCUUAAAUAGCUCCUCUUUUGUUUUAAUUCUUCCGUGCAUUACCAACCAUAAGAAAAUGCGAAUCCUCUGGGGUCCUUUCCAAUGCCAAAUCAAUUUCCAUAUAUGGGCAUCAUUAUUGGAGAUUGGAUUAUUAAGGGAGAUAUAAGCUGACUUAGAUGUGAACUUGCCUGAUUUUGAGUGAGCCCAAAAAGGUUGAUCCUCGUUGUUGUCAUCCGAAGGUAGUUUGAUUGCUGCAAUCUGGAGAAGAAUCUGAUUGGGAAGAAAAUGACCAAACAUGCUCCAAUUCCAAUUUCCCUCAAUAUCCACAAAAUCCGCCACACAUUUAUUCUUCAAUUCAUCCGGUAGUUGAGUUAUAGUAUGAUUAGCAAUGAGAAGCUCUUCUGAAACCCAACUUUGAUGCCAAAAAUUUACCUUAUUCCCUUUUCCAAUCGACCAUCUCGUGCCCUGCAACACAUACUCCCAUAUUCUGUUUAUGCCUUUCCAGAGAUAAGAGUUGCGUUUAUUCUCAAGCUUGGAGGGAAUAAAAUCUGAAUCAAGCCCAUAUUUUGAUCUCAAAACCCGAAUCCAGUGACUGUGAGUAGAGGUUAGCAUAUUCCAUUCAAUUUUCAUGAGGAGAGCAUUGUUCAUGUUUGUAAGAUUUUUAAAACCUAGACCACCUUCAACUUUUGGAGAACAUAUCAUUUCCCAAUUAAUCAAACUGAGUUUACGGCUUCCAUUCUUGCUCCCCCAAAUAAAUCUUCGAGAAAUCCGAUCAAUUUUAUCCAAAAUUCCAUGAGGGAUCCUUGUUGUUUGCAUGGCAAAAAUGGGGAUCGCCUGAAUUACCGAUUGAGCUAGAGUAAUUCUCCCAGCAAGGGAGAGAUGCAUUGCAUUCCAUCCAGACAAUUUUUUAUCAACAUUAUCCACAAUUUCUUGAUAAGUGGCUCUUGUCACUCUGUUGUGAAGUAAAGGCAUUCCAAGAUAUUUGCCAAGAUUAUCUGUAGCGGCAAAUCCCAAUGAAUCACUGAUUUUCCUUGCCUUUUCUGCAGUAACAUUCUUUGAGAAAUAAACUCGAGUCUUCUGUUUGCUAAUCAACUCUCCCGAACAACUACAAAAAAUAUUCAGCACAUUAUUGAUCACAUGGGCUUGGUUGCAAGAAGCCUCAGCGAGAAGAAGUAGGUCGUCCGCAAAAAAGAGGUGAGUAAGAGGAACACCAUUUCUCGAGAGCCGUAUAGGACACCAACUUCCAUUUCUUACUGCCAAAUUAAUUGCAUGACUAAGGCGCUCGAUACAUAGAACAAAAAUAUAAGGAGAAAGAGGGUCACCCUGUCAGAUUCCCCUAGACGGAGUGAAUUCUUCAGUGAUCUCCCCUUCCCAUAAAAUUUGCAUUCUAGCCGUAGUAAUGCACUCCAUUGUAAUCCGAAUAAACUCUUUAGGCAGUCCAACAUCCUUAAGAGUAUCAUGAAUGAAGUCCCACCUAAGCCGAUCAUAAGCUUUCUCAAGGUCCACUUUGAUAGCCAUCUGCCCGAUUUUUCCUCUUUUGUUUCUCAUGGUGUGGAUAAUUUCUUGCGCCAUCACAAUAUUAUCUGUAAUUUGCCUUCCAGGAACAAAGCUUGUCUGGGUUGGUCCGAUCAACUCCGGUAGAAUUCCCUUUAACCUAUUUGCCAAAAUUUUUGUAACAGUUUUAUACAUCACUGGACAUAGGCUAAUGGGACGGAACAUCCUCAAGUUGGUGGGGUUGUUUGUUUUUGGGAUAAGGACAAUAAGGGUCUUAUUAAGCUCUGGAGGGAGGGGAUUGCCUUUAAAAAUAUUGCUCACAAGUUCACAAACUGAUGAGCCCACCACAUCCCAUUGUGACCGGUAGAAGAGAGCAUGAAGGCCAUCAAUUCCAGGAGCUUUUAGAGGGUUCAUUCCGAAAACUGUAGCUUUGAUUUCCUCGUUAAGAACAGUUCUGCUAAGAUCAGCUAAACUGUACUCAUCAAUUCUUGGAAAAGCAUUAGUAAUCGGGAAAUUAAAACUCACUUCAUCAUUACAAGAAAAAAGUUUAGAGAAAAAAUCAAUGGCAUGGGACUUGAUCUCUUCUUUAUUAUAAAUCCACGUACCCUCGCUGCUCUGGAUUGCAUCCACUCGGUUUCUCCUUCUUCUCGUUAUUGUUUUUCUGUGAAAAAAAGCAGUGUUUCUAUCCCCACAUGAAAUCCAUUCUCUCCUUGACUUUUGGUACCACAAUAACUCCUCCUGGGAUAGUAUGGUUUCAAGUUCCAUCUUCAAAUUGGACUCAAGCUCAAGAAGCCGGUUUGAAUCAAAUUUCUCCAGAGCAUGUUGAAUACCAUUUAAUCUUGCCAAUAAACGCCUUUUCCUUUUAAAAAUAUUCCCAAAAUUCUCUUUAUUCCACACACUAACUUUAUCCACAAAGUCAUGAGCAGCCCGAAUAUAUCCCUUAGAGUUGCACCAUUCCUUAGCCACUAGAGAUUGGAAAGACUGGUCCGUCAACCAAGCUGCCAAGAAACGAAAUGGCCUAACAACAUUCAUUUUCUUCAAACUACGGCCAAAUCUGACAAGAAUCGGACGGUGGUCAGAAUGAAUUUUUGGAAGAUGUAAAACUGAAGCUUCCAUAAAAGACACAUUCCACUGGUCAUUGCAUAUGGCUCGGUCUAAUCUUUUAAAGAGAGAUCCCCUCGACCAAGUGAAACAAGGCCCUUUAAAAUGUAGAUCCAUAAGCUGAUUAUCAUGAAACCAUUUGUUAAACAGUCUACAAACACCAUUGCCUUUUUUUGAACCUCCUUUUUUCUCUGAAACAUGUAGGAUUGAGUUGAAGUCUCCCCCUAGUAGCCAUGGUCCUGUAACUGAAUUAGCUACCAGGUCAAGAUUGCUCCAUAGCUCCCUCCUCAAAUUUGGGUUGGGGCUAGCAUAAACGGCAGUGACCCACGACCAAUUACCAGAAAAAUCUGUGACUUUAAAAUGAAUGUACUGCUUGUGAUUAAAAACAAACUCCAUCCUGAAUUCUUCUUUCCAUAAAAUCCAAAUACCCCCUGCAAAACCUUCAGCUUCCACUCGAUGCGAUGACUCAAAACCACUACGUUUAAUAAAGUUAUCAGCUUUAACUCCACUGAUUUUAGGUUCCAAAAUCGCAACAAUAUCAGGGUUAUAAAUUUUAUUCAUUAUGAUAAAAGCUCUUCUAAAGCCCGGUGAAGCCACCCCUUGGCAAUUCCAAAAAAGGAUAGAUAAAUUCAUUAAAAUAAAGAGAAUAAUAGGAGGAAACCGUUCAAACCGAACUUCAUUCUGACUCCAUGUUGUCCUCAUCUUCCAAAGAGGUUCCACUAUCAUCAGAUUCUGAGUCACUUCCCUCACCUUCACCCUUAAAGCUCUCAUCAUCCGGGUCAUCUUCAUCAUUGGCAUUUAUUACCAAAUCCUCAUCAGGGGGUUUGUCUCGAUUUUCAAUAAGUAUAUUAGGAUCAGCAAGCUCUAAAUUUGGUAAAGAUGGAACUAAACUGACCCCCUUAGAAUUCGAAUGAAAAUCUUGUCGAGAAACAAAUUUUAUUGCCGUGUGUUUUACUGGGUCCAAGCUAGUGGGAACAAUGGUGGGGAUAGGUAGGUUGGUUGAAGUUACAGGGAUUUUUGACUGUGAACAUGACACUGUUUCUACAUGCAUGUGAGUUGGUGAGGUAACAAGGUUUUCUUUCAAGCAUGGGUGUUUGGCUUUUUUUUCACUUAAACUUUGCAUAGCUGGAGAGUUGACGUUUGUAUGGCUAUUUGUGGUAGUAGGUUUCUUGGGAUUCUUUUUGGUUUGUAUUUUAAAAUGGAAAGCUGGCUGAUCCUUCUCGGUUAUGGGCCCAUUGUAGCCUCUAGGGUGGGAAAACAUUCUAUCCUCAUCAUUAUCCUUUUCGAGCACUUCAAACCGUGAUCCCCCUUCAAAUUUGGCAUCUCGAUGACGAGUGGAAAAAUUAUUAUAGCCACCUCCAUUGUUGACUCUUCCCCUUCCUUUUCGGCUGACAAUCAUCCAAGGCCCAAAUGAAGGGUUUGCCGGAGUAAUUGUAGAGGACGACGGUUGAUCACCACCACCACUACUGUGACUGUUCCCAUCCUCAUUAUUUUCUGAGCUCUCUGUUUGUCUUGUCCUUGUGUUGGGCUGAUGACAGUUUUCAGUCCUAUGACCAUAAAUCCCACAAUUAAAACAAAUAACAGGUAAAUUCUCAUAUUCCACUUUUUGCAUUUUGCCAUCGAGAAAAAACUGUGAACAAAGAGGUUUCUUAAGGGAAACCUCAACCGCAAUACGUGCAAACUUCCCUCUUGUUAUUGAUUCGGUAUUGUAAUCAAUUCGAAUCACUUUUCCAACGACAUUCCCGAGCAUGCGAAGAACCUUUUUAUGAUAAUAGUGUAGAGACAUUCCCGGUAAUCGGAUCCAAGCAACAAUGUUUUCAAUAUCUUCACUGGAACCAUCGAAGUGAGGGUUCCAUUGUUGCACAGUGAGAUAAUGACCGAGAAUGGUCCAAGGACCUUGUGUUAGAGCAUAAUGGGCGUCCCCUUCUGUUUUGAACUUAACCAGGAAGAAAUCAUUCUCUAGGUCAAUAACAGAGAAACCUUGGGUCGUUUUCCAAACCUCAUUUAACUUGUUGCAGAGUGCCCGAUAGCCAAGAGUUCUCCCGAGAAGUUUGACAACAACCGUGUUUCUCCAUGGUUUCACCAGCUGUGCUUGGAUCUUUUCUGAGAAGGAAAUGGAUGGGAUGCUUCCCUUUUCACUAACAACAACGUCUUCAGGAUCAAAUUCCAAUUCUUCUUCUCUACCCAAAGGCUCCUCUUCCCCAUCAUUCUGAUCUUCCAUUAACUUAUCUUUAAAAGAUAGCGGAAGUGGAUUUUCAUCAUCAUUCCCGUGACUCCUAAAUCUUGCCUUUUUAGUUGAACGUUCCUCCGCCAGUGGUGGUGGCGGUUCCACUAAGAAGAAAUACCUUGCAAAUUUAUUGGGUAGGAUUACCGACAACUCAAAUCAACUAAGAAGAAAUAUCUUAACUGGCAAUAUAAUUUUGACCAUAGACUUGCAAAUUAUACAGAAACCCUUGAUUUUAUGUGAAAAUAAUUUUGAGACUUUUGGGAAAAAAAACAAAAAGGCAUGUUUGACUAAUUAUGAAACUAAGGAAAUCAUAUUUGAUCAUGUAAACAUAUUUUGAGGAUUUCAGUGUCUUUUCUCUUCAUUGUCUUAUCUACUUAAUCGAUGUCUCUUCAAUUUAUAUUAGAACUUAAUGAGACUUUCGGAAGAAAGCCAUGCUCUCGAUAAUGCUGGGCAAAAAGUCCAAAUUAAGGGUAUGAUCAAUUAUCUAUUCCAGUAUUGAUUCUCAAUUCCUCUUCAUUGAAAAUAAUUUGAUUGGAUAUUUGGUAAAUUUAUAUUAGGAUAAUUACCGUUCAACUUUUCACAAACUGCAAAAUAAUAGAUGACUACAAAAAAGUAUUGACUCAUCAUUUUAUAUAUCUUCACAAAACUUUCUAUUUUAUUACUAUAUAUUUACAAAAACUUAAAUUAAUAGAGAACCAAUAAUCCACUAUUUCUCCAAAUAUCAUAUACAUGUUUUGGUUAAUUACUCACAAAAGUGUGUGGUGUAUAAUGUUACAAACAUACAAGUUCAAUUAAAAUGACUCUAGUUUUCUUUACAUUGCGAGUUGCGAGCAAAAGCGCUUUACUAAUUCUACGUGGAAAAUAAAAGUUGACUGACUUUUUCAACAAACAAGCCGACGUCAAAGUCUUUUUCCUCCAGCAGUUGAUGGCAAUUUUCAUUAAUAAUAAGAUAAAGUUGAUUGACAAUUUAAAUAAUUUAAGGGUACCAUUGGGUUCACAUUGAAUUAUCAAAUAAUCUAUCUGACCAUGACUCUCAAAUAAUGAUGGGUGGGGCCAUUUAUUCGUUCCUCAUUCAAGUAUCUCAGCAGCCAUAAUUUACUUGAGGAAAGACUUGAUCAUUGAAGUUGAAAAUAAAAGCUGACUGCACGCAAAUUGACCGGCGUUUAUGCAACAACCCAAGUUGACUGCAGAGAUAAAAUUUUACACUUGUUAAUUUUACAGGAAAUUAAUAAAAUCCGAUUAUUGAAUUUUAUCUCUGGAAAUUAAUAAUCUAUCCCUCCCAAACUGCAACGUCACAGAUCCCAUUAUCAACCCAAGGAGUAAGAAUGUUGUCAGCGUAUUCAUUAUCACUCACCGAUACAAAGGAGCUCUUGAUUUCCAUUAAAGCAAUCCUCUCUUUCUCCAAGCAACAUUUGACUCCAUGCAUCUGAAUCAAAUCUAUGGCAAACCACACUGAAAACCUAAUUAAAAACCUUUCCGUUUUUAACCUAAGAUUAAACUUUAAUUUAAUUUGUUGCACUCUCAAAGCUUAUGUCUCGCAAGAUAUAACUAUAUAUAUUCGGAAUUUUUUUAUUAAAAAAUAAUUAUUUUGAUUGUAAGAAGGUAUAGUUAGUAAUUUUACAUAUUAUAAAGAUUGACAAUCCAAUAAAUAACUGUUAAUUAUAGUGAGAUAGUGAUGUAACGGAUUCUAUAAAAAAACGCUGAACAGGAAAACUAACAAAUUAUACAAAAGGGUAAAUUGAUGCAGCUAGGGUGAUUGAUAUAGAUAGGAAAUUUUUAAUAUUCUAUUGAUUUUAAGAAUACUUGGAAUAAAAAAUAAAAUAAAAAUUGUGUUGAUUCUGCAAAAUAUUUUGAAUUUAGUUUGCGUCAGAUCUCGAUAGUUCAAAGAAUGACUUAAAGACAAUAAGAAUGGAUUUCAAACAAAGAGUUUACUAUACAUAAAAUAAUGAGUAUCUAGUAUUGAGUCUUCCUCAAAGACUACGAAUGAGUAAUGACGCUUAUGUAUGUCAACUCGAUCGGACUUAAACUAGCGAACUCCAAUUUGAGCAUUUUCACGAGAAGGGUAAACUAGCGAACUCCAAUGAGUAUGACUUCAUAACUUACACAAACAUUUAAAAAUUCAAUUUAGAUAUCUAAGACAAGGGUAAACUUCAAUUUACUCCCUGCUUAAAUUGUUAAUCCUCAAUUUAUUUCCUAAAAAUGUGAAAAUAUUAAUUUACCUCAAUUUUUAGUUAAGAAAACAUUAAAAAAAAAUAUAUCAAUGUGCCCGCAAUUGCCCUCAUCUUUUUAAAAAAAAUGGGGAUAAAUUGAGAUUUUUAUACUUUUUAGAAAUAAAAUGAAGAUUGUCAUUUCAUCUAAAGGACAAGACCUGAUUGUACCAAGUUAUUUUAAUUUUCUAGUUUAAUUACAAUGUAAAAAAAAAAAGGAUUUAUUCAAAAUUUGGCCAAAGCCCAAGUCCAAUGCUUUCUUCUAUACUCCUACAGCCCAAUUAUUAAUAAAAUUAUGAUUUCUACUUUUUAAUUCAUUAAUUUAUUUUAAUUAAAAUUAAAAUUAAGAAAAAAGUUACAUUCGGAACAUUCGGGAUGGUAUUGGUAUUUUAACCGAUAGGAAUUCGUUGCCUUUUUUUAUCCCGAUUAAAAAAUGGUACCGGAUUCGUACAAUUCUUUAUUCCAAUUAAACAAUCAUUAGGAAUUAGUAUUGGACAAUCCCAAUCAGGAUGUACUGAUUACCAACAUUAACAUUUAGGUCUACAAGUUAAUGGGUUUUUAGGUGGGGGAAUGUGAAACCAUAUGGUCAUGUCAUCUAUCCUAAUGAAUUAAUAAAUAAUUGAAGUGUUUUAAGCAACAUUCAAAAAAAUGGAGAGAGCUUUUUCUUUUCCUCGGGUAUUCCAAAAAUUGUGUUUAUUUCAAACUUAAAAAGAUAACACUCAAUGAAUUAUUAGAAGAUGAAGACAAUUUUUUUCUUUUUUUGGAUAAUUUUUUUUCCUACUGCUACACCUCCAUCAAAAUCAAUAUAACAUUAAAGGAAAAUUGAUCAAAACCCUUUGCUGCUAAAAAGAUUUUAAUAAUUUUUAACUUUUCUGUCUUUUAUUAUUUUUAUAUUUGAUAUGGUAAGACCGCCAUUGAUGUAUAAGAGUUGUCAGGAAUAAAAUAAUAAAAGACCAAAAAGUUGAAAGUUAAGUUAUGAGGCUAAUGUCUUGUUAAAAUUUUUCAGAAUUUAGAUGUGCACGGUUAACAUGAGUUUUGUUGAAUGAACCACUAAAAUUGCGUUAUUAUGCCAAAAGGACAAGGAUCCUAAUCCAUGUCAAAAAGGGACUGAAUUGAGAGUCAAAUAGUAAAGAUCAAUAAAGAAGGGAAAAAGUAUCAGUCAUCCUAAUAAAAACCAAUCAAAAGAGAGAAAGAAAAGGAGAAGUCAAUGAAGCGAAAGAAAAAAAAACACGGAUCAAACAAGUUGAUCACUGUUCUAAUACCACUCGAUUUAAACACUCCAAGACCUUAAAGAACUAACAAAGACUCAAUCAAGAGCACACAAAACCCUAGAUUGAUCGCAGCAAGCUCUCUUUGAUAUACAUAAAUCUAGGUGGAUAAAUGGAGUUAGAGAGUGAGGUACAGCGAACAAGAUUUGAUGCCUACUCGCAAAAUACGGAGUGGAUGAGAUUGAGAAGAGCAGUGUCUGAUUAGCAUUUUAAAGGCUGUUAAAACAGAGACCCAGAAGCUUCCCGCUCUUCUUUUAACCAACUUAACCUACCUCUGACCCAGUGUGACUGAACCAAAUCACGUGCCUUGAACGUGUGUUUAAAUGACAGCGAUAGCCAGUUGAGGUAAUGUCGUUUAAGCUUUUUGAUUCCGAUGCGCAGGUGCUCCAAGUAAACUACAUAUUGGACCGAUAUUAAAUUCUUAACUAUAAACCGACGCCUUCGUUUAAUACUGUUUUCAGAUCAACUCUUAUCUCACAUGCACAUUUUAGGCAAAAAGGUGAAACCCACCAAAGCAUGCACCUUUCAUAUCUUGUUUCGAUCACCAAAACAUAGCAUACUAUGGUAGUAAGAGAAGUCGAUAUACAGCCGAACAUAAGCUAUUACGUGGUUCACCAAAUUAAUUCUUUGGUAAAUUAUAAAUCAUGGACUAUGCUAAGUACGUGAAUUUUGGAUUGCAAAGCCCAUAAUAAAAAUUGUAACGGGCUGUUUGCGCAAAGUAGAUGAUAUCUACUUUUAUCCUUUUUGUAAUUUCGUUUAAAGCUAUUUUUGUAAUAUAAAUAAGCUGAUUCAUCAUUAUCUCAAUAUGACAAUUUGCAGACUAGUUUUGUAUUCUUUUAGCCCCUGAAAUUUUAAUAUUAAUAAUAAAUUACGAAUAUGUGAGUCAAGCGUGUCACCCGUACAAGAAAUCUUCAGAAUCAUAUGGCAGAUGAAGUGCACAACAAGGCAUAAAAAUUAACACAUUAUAUAAAAAUUAAUACAUUAUUCAAGAACCCAGGUUGAAAGCAACCGACUAAAAUUAAUACAUAAAAGUUUAAUUACACAUAACAGAAAGAUACGGUAAACUAUGGUCUAGCACGAUCACGGACGAAAUAUACAAAUUUCACAAGCCAAUAGAAACACCAAUCAAUACAUGCAUCAAUGAAACAAAACCAUAGCCAGCGCCAAUAAGAGUUCAACCAAAGGAUCGCAAAUAACCCAAGCAUGAAUGUGACGUACGAUGCGCCAAAACUCCAAUUGAAUGACACCAUAUCAAUUGCAGAUUCAUCUUCGUCUUCUCCUUGAUAGGACGACGUUGCUGGAUUUGCCUCUGCUCUGGUGCAACUCUUAUUAACUGUUGGACCACAAAGACCGAGAUUACCUUUGUAACUCUUUUCAUCAAACGUGCCAAAUUGUCCUUUGUCUGGGAUCAGACCUGACAAGUUGUUGUACGACACAUUGAAGUUGGAUAAAAAGUUGAGCUCAGUCAGUUUAGGAGAAAUUAGGCCACUCAAUUUAUUGUGACAAAGGUCUAGGCUCUCUGUCAUCUUCAGAUUGGAAAAACUCUCUGGUAUAGAUCCUGAUAAGUAAUUAUGGGACAGAUUCAAUGCACGAACUUUUUGAAGUUCUCCAAUUUCCGCUGGAAUUUCUCCGGUCAACUCAUUACAUGACAAAUCUAGUCCAGUCAUGUAGUUAAGAUUACUACUGUUGUAAACUUCAUAUCUAUUCUUUGUCACAAAUUCUACUUGUACUCCAUUUGCUGCUGUAUAAUCAUCUCCAUAAAACUCCAAGUCAAGGUUAGAGGAAUUGAAGUAAAUACCAAUAGAAUCAACAUCUAAACUCCAAGAAAACUCACGUUCAGAUCCAUAAAGAUCAUCAUUUCCUGCUCUCCAGAGUGACACAUUAACAAAACAUGAAGGUAUUGACCCAUUAAGUCUGUUACGUGAAAGAUCCAUGAUACCUAAUUUUCCUAAUUUAGACAGUUGAUUAGGAAUAUGACCUUGCAGAUAAUUCCCUCUCAAUAUAAGAACACGCAGCUCCGAAUGCCCAUUUAUCUGAUGAGGAAUACUACCAGAAAAUUUAUUAUCCCCUAAAUCUAAUGUCAUCAACUUGGAGCUACUAAAGAAUGCCUUUGGGAUUGAUCCACACAGAGAAUGUUGAAAACAGCAGUAGUGAGGAGGCAAAGAUUGACCUUGAAGCCAAGCUGGCAUGCCACCUAAGCCUCUGUAAUCUGCAGCCAGCUGACAUGGAAGAUGAGUCAAGAUUAUUGAGGUGGCAGAACAGCUGUGCUGAAGAAUAUCAGCACAUAAGCAUGGAGCAGCUGAAUCUUCUGGAAUUCUAAAAUGAUUGGCUCAUGCCUGCCAUUCUGACAAAUUUGUUUUGUGUGUAAUAUUCUUUAUUAGCUGUCAUUAUUUUCUUGUCUCUAUAUAUACUACAUCUGCUCUGUAAUACGAUCAUCGAGUAUGCAAUAAUAAAGAAAAAGGAAACUUUGUCUUGUUCACUCUGCUAGCAACACCAAAGCAAUUCUCUAGAAUUUAAGUUGGUAUCAGAGCCAUCUUUUAGCUAUGGCAAGCAGCAGUGACAAUGAAACAAAUGUUAAUCCAACACAGGUUGAUUCAAGUGAUCAACCAGAUGAAUUGAACCAAAACACUGAGCCACAGAAUCCAGGCCUUAAUACCAGAAACACAGCACAAAUAAGUGCAUCACCAACCCAGCACAUCACUAGCAACACCUAUGUCUUCACUACUCCAAUCAAACUCACUCAAAGCAACUUUAUGCUCUGGAAAUCACAAGUGAUUUCUAGCAUUCGAGCAAAUGAGCUUGAGGGGUUUGUUGAUGGCAGCCAUGUCUGCCCUCCUAAGGUCUUCAUGAGUCCAGGACCAAAUCGAACCACCAUAACCACACCUAACCCUGAAUACCAGAUUUGGAGGAAACAGGAUCAUAUCCUACUGAGUUGGCUACUCUCUUCACUAAGUGAGGGAGUCCUAGGCACAGUGGUAGAUUGUUCCACCUCCUGUGAGGUGUGGACAACUCUAGCCAACCAAUUUGGUGCUAGAACAAGGGCAAGAAUCCUAUAUCUUAGAACUCAAAUUCAAACCACUAAAAAGGGUUCAUCAACCAUUCAUGAAUACUACUCAAAAAUGAAAACUUUAUUGAACUCACUUAGAGCUGCAGGGAAUAGCAUGAAUGAUGAUGAUUUCAUCAUGUGUGUGCUUGCUGGGUUGGGGCCUGAAUAUGACUCAGUAGUCACCAACAUCAACUCAAUGCAAGAGAGUCCCUCAAUCUCAGAAGUGUAUGGUAUGCUUUUGAGUCAAGAAAACAGAACUGAGCAAAACUUGAGCUCAGGGAAUAUUGAAGCCAACUAUGCUCAAAUGAGGAAUGGAAGAAGGAGCUGGAAUAAUAGUGAAAGAGCUGCCCAUCAACAGCUGCCUGGAAUUGUUUUUAGAAAUCCUGGAAACAACCCCACAAACAACCAAACCAAUCAGAACCCUCAAGACAAAGGGAAAGGAAAAGCAGUGGCUGAUGACAAUGGUUCUGAUCCAAAAGGGCCAUGCCAAAUCUACUGGAAAAUGGGACACACAGCAGCUGAGUGUUGGCACAGGUUUAAGAAGAACUUUGUACCUCAGCCAAACAGAAGAAGAGAGCAGAGGGGUGCUUAUGUUGCUGCAGCUGAAGGUCAAAGCAGUGGAGCCUGGUACCUUGACAGUGGUGCCACCAAUCAUGUGACUAACACUCUUGGAAAUCUCAGCAUCAACUCUGAAUACCAAGGUAAAAAUAAGCUAGCUGUUGGUAAUGGUGAAAAGCUUUUAAUUAGUCAUAUUGGAUACUCUGCCUUGCCCACAUAUGAUCCACACAUGCACAUUACCUUGACUGAUAUAUUAUAUGUGCCUGACAUAACCAAAAACCUGAUUAGCAUUUCUAAAUUGCUGCAUGACAAUGAUGUUGAUGUUGAGUUUCAAAAAUCUGUUUGUUUUAUUAAGGACAAGAGACAAGGAAAAAUUCUGGUGAAAGGAGUGGCUAGAGAUGAGCUAUAUGAGCUGCUAUCCUGAGCAGGAACAAAAAUCCUCAUGCUGUUUUAUUUUCUAUUUUGUCAAAUUCAGAGUCAAUAAAUAACAGUAGUUGUCCAGUGUCCAUGUUGUCCUUCAAUUCAAGUAAUGAGUCAGUCAAAGUUAGUGUUGAGUCAAAUAUAGCUGAUGAGUCAAGUAGCAACAAUCUGCAAGCUGCUGAAGAAAUUGAUGUAUGGCAUUCCAGACUAGGACACCCUAGUACUUCAGUCCUGAAAAAUACCUUGCUAUCUUGUAAUCAGCUCAAAAUUAAUAAAGAUAUUGUUCCUUCAUUUUGCUCUGCAUGUCAAUAUGGAAAGCAGUCAAAACAAUCAUUCAAAAGCACUGAAACCAAAACUAAGACAGCCCUUGAAUUGAUUCACACAGACCUUUGGGGACCAGCACCAAUUCUGUCCACUCAUGGACAUAGAUACUACAUCUCCUUUGUUGAUGACAAAACAAGAUACACAUGGCUCUUUCCUUUAGUAGCCAAGUCUCAAGCUCUUGAAACCUUCAUUACCUUUAAAAAUCAGAUCGAAAAGCAGUCGAACUUAACAAUCAAAGCACUACAAACAGACAUGAGAGGAGAGUUCAAAGCCUUUGAACCAUAUUUGAAAAGAGAGGGAAUAACACUAAGGCAUUCAUGUCCAUACUUACAUGAACAAAAUAGCAAGGUUGAGAGAAAACACAGACACAUUGUGGAGACUGGACUUACCUUACUUGCCCAAGCCAAAAUGCCCUUAAAAUUCUGGCAAGAAGCUUUCAGCUAUGCUACUUUCAUUAUUAACAGACUUGCUUCACCUGUGCUCAAGAACAAGACACCAUUUGAAUUAUUAUACUCUCUCAAACCAGAUUAUACACAAAUUAAAAUCUUUGGCUGUGAAUGUUUUCCAUUUCUUAGACCAUACAACAGACACAAAUUUGAUUUUCAUACCUCAAAAUGCAUCCUAUUGGGGAUCAGCAGUGCUCACAAAGGUUAUGUUUGUAUGAACAAUUUAGGAAGAAUCUAUAUCUCAGCUAGUGUCAGAUUCAAUGAAAAAUCCUUUCCUUUCGAAAAUGAUUCUAGCUUUAGGAAACAAGAGUCAGUAAAGGAGAGUGAUGAAGUUGCUUUACUUGAGAAAUUUCAGGUUGUGUCAUUCUUUGUUAAUAGUUCCCAUGAUCUUACACAAGUGGCAACAGCUCAUAGCAACUCUCCAGACACUACUGGAAACACAGAAUGCAUCCCAAGUCCAAUCCAGAAUGAAAUACAACAGGUAAAUGACACUGACACAAUAUCAGGUAGCUUUUCAACUUACAGUCCACCUCACAUUACAGAAACAAACAACCAAAACCUUCCCACACAAAAUGCCUUACCUUCACACCCCAUGGUAACAAGAUCCAAGGCUGGCAUCUUCAAACCAAAGUUAUACCAGGUUUCCAGUAAAACACAACCUUUCCUUCCCAAAAACACAUUUGAUGCCUUGAAAAAUCCCAAGUGGAAAAGGGCAAUGGAGGAAGAGUAUCAUGCAUUGAUGAAAAAUAAAACCUGGACCUUAAUACCAAACAAUCAAAAUUUCAAAUUGAUUGGAAAUAAGUGGAUCUACAAAGUAAAGGAAAACUCAGAUGGCAGCAUCAAUAAGUAUAAGGCCAGAUUAGUUGCAAAGGGAUUCUUGCAGACUCCAGGACUUGAUUUCAAUGAAACUUUCAGCCCUGUUGUUAAGGCUGCAACUAUUAGAAUCAUCCUAACCAUGGCUGUGAGCAAUGACUGGUUACUUAGGCAAGUGGACAUAAAACAAUGCCUUCUUGAAUGGUGACCUGACAGAGGCAGUAUACAUGCCACAGCCUGAAGGUUUUGAAGACAAGAACAGGCCAAGCUACAUUUGCAAACUGGAAAAGGCUUUGUAUGGAUUGAGGCAAGCUCCGAGAGCAUGGUUUGAUAAACUAAAAGGUGCCUUGAGUUGUUGGGGAUUCAAGAAUUCCAAGAGUGACACAUCUCUAUUUUUCAGAAGAAUUGAAUCAAAGAUAGUCAUCAUGCUCAUAUAUGUAGAUGAUAUCAUAAUCACUGGAAGUGACAGUCAAGGUAUUGAGGAAGUCAUUAAAGAUCUAAAUACAUCUUUUGCUCUGAAGGAUCUCGGAAAUUUAAAUUUCUUUCUUGGGAUACAAGUUCAGAGGAGUCAAAACUCUCUUCUUCUCUCUCAAGUGAAAUAUAUUCAAGACUUGUUGACCAAAACAGAGAUGACAGACUGCAAAGGAAUAGAGACACCCUUCAGCACUUCUGAGAAAUUAAAGAAGGGUGUUGGGAAUAAAUUCCAUGAUCCUACACUCUAUAGAAGCGUCAUAGGAAGCCUGCAAUAUGCGGUGCUGACCAUGCCAGAGCUUGCUUUCUCAGUUAACAAGCUCAGCCAGUUCAUGUCUGAUCCCAGACAGCCACAUUGGGUGGCAUGCAAAAGAGUGCUGAGGUAUCUCAAAAACACAAUGAAUAUGUGUUUAAGUUUCAAAAAAUCUGAGCAUUUGGAUCUCAUUGCCUACACAGAUGCAGAUUGGGCAACUGAUCCAGAUGACAGAAGAUCCAUAAGUGGAUACUGUGUGUACUUGGGAGAUAAUCUAGUUGCUUGGAGCUCGAGAAAACAAGGCAUGGUUGCAAGGUCAACAGCAGAGUCAGAAUACAGAGCAAUGGCUCUAUGCAGCACUGAAAUCACAUGGAUAAAUUCUCUACUUGGUGAGUUGAAGAUGGAAGUUGAAAAUGUACCAAUUAUCCUAUGUGACAGCACCAGUGCAGCAGCCAUAGCAGCAAACCCAGUGUAUCAUUCUAGAACAAAACAUUUUGAGAUAGACCUUCACUUCCUCAGAGACAAAGUUACAAAAGGUGAAUUGGAAAUAAACUAUAUUGGCAGCAAUGAUCAAAUUGCAGAUGUGCUGACCAAGCCAUUACCACACCACAAGUUUAGCUGUUUUAGAAGCAAACUCAAAGUCAUUGACAAGACCUUGAAUUUGAGAGAGGGUGUUGAAAACAGCAGCAGUGAGGAGGCAAAGAUUGACCUUGAAGCCAAGCUGGCAUGCCACCUAAGCCUCUGUAAUCUGCAGCCAGCUGACAUGGAAGAUGAGUCAAGAUUAUUGAGGUGGCAGAACAGCUGUGCUGAAGAAUAUCAGCACAUAAGCAUGGAGCAGCUGAAUCUUCUGGAAUUCUAAAAUGAUUGGCUCAUGCCUGCCAUUCUGACAAAUUUGUUUUGUGUGUAAUAUUCUUUAUUAGCUGUCAUUAUUUUCUUGUCUCUAUAUAUACUACACCUGCUCUGUAAUACGAUCAUCAAGUAUGCAAUAAUAAAGAAAAAGGAAACUUUGUCUUGUUCACUCUGCUAGCAACACCAAAGCAAUUCUCUAGAAUUUAAGUGAGAAUUCUUCUGCAUAUAAAGGUGCUUCACUGACGAUGAAGGAUUGAAGGGAUAUAUAAUGGACCCAGACAAAUUAUUUUCAGAGACAUCUAAAAUUUCAAGUGCUUCAAGAUUGUUGAGUUGGACUGGAAUAUCACCUUCCUAAAGAUUUUUUGACACUGAAAGAAGCAAAAGACUUGACAAGUUACCUAUCCAACUAGGAAUCUGCCCAACUAACUUGUUGUUGGAUAUAUCUAACACUUCCAAUGACCUAGCGGAGCUCAAAAACCCGUUCGAAAUUCUGCCACUGAAAUUAUUGUUGUCUAAAGAUAACCAACCCAAUUGAGUCAAGUUCAUAAACUUAGGAGAUACUUGCCCACUGAAACUGUUAUGCGACAGGUCCAACAACAGUAGUGAGAAGCAACCAGUGAGAAGUGGCGCAAACAAUUCUCCCGAAAACUGAUUUCUAGACAAAUCCAGAAUACGAAGGUCUUUCAUCUCACUUAUUGAAGAAGAAAUACUACCUUCAAAUUUAUUUUUUGACAUAUCUAGGUACACCAAUUUUUGCAAUAUGGUACUCAUAUUCUGGGGGAGCCUACCGGAGAAACUGUUGCUAGAAAUAUCUAGAUGAUGAAGGAAAUCAAGUUUGGAAUUGGACAGUUGGAGACUUCCUGUGAAUGAGUUGUUUGUCAAACGCAAAACCUCUAAUUUUGUGUUAUACUGUAGCAACCAAGCAGGAAAAUUGCCAACCAACUUAUUAUGUGAGAGGUCAAGGGAUUUUAAGCCAUGCUGUUUUUGAAGAAAACCAAGGGUUCCAUUUAGGUUGCAAUUGCGUAAAUGAAGGACCUUCAAUUGGGAUGUAGGAAGCCAAUUUUCAGUUUCCACUUCUAACGUAUUGUUUACUAAUGAGAGCAUGAAGAACUCAAGAUUUGAAUGAUUACCCAAGGAACUGAGAUAGAAUAUGCCUUGAAAGUAGUUGUCAGAGAGAUCCAAAUAUUGGAGUGAUGUGAGGCUCGCGAUAACAGAAUGUGGGCUCCCACUUAACUGAUUGGAGGAAAUACCAAAUACCUUGAGGCGGGUUAAGUUUUUGAGACACUGGGGAAGAGGACCCUCAAUAGCAUUUCCUUCAAGAUUCAACUCAAUAAGAUUUUUCAACUCACAUAUUCCUGAAAAUUUUCAAGAAAAAGGGUAUACAAUUAGUCAGAAGAGAUCGACACAAAUGUUUAAGAGUAUUUUUAUUUUCUUUUAUGGUGCUGGGAUGGAGCAUUUGUGAACUCUAUUAAAGUGUUAUUCGGUAUGGCAUUUCUACCCGUAUAUAAGGGGAGGAAAGAAAAGACAAUUCUAUAUCUUAAGUUUGUUUAUUCGGUCAUAUUAGAAAUAAGUUAUCGAAGUUUUUUUUUAAUUAUUUUACCUUGAUUUUCCAGAGAACCAUUUAUAUCAGUAUAGCUCAGAUCCAAUGCUUUUAAGUUUUUAAAUUUUGCUAAUCCUGCAUUAAGAAAAAUGAAAUGGUCUUAGAAACCGUAAUUUUUGAAGGGUAAACAACUCUCUGUAAAUGCAAUUGUUACCUAAUCCUGAUGCAGAUCCACUCAUUCUAAUUUCACGUAGUUGCAGAACUUCCAGGUUUGUCAGGUUUUCUAAUCCUGCAACAAGGAAAGAUAAUUAAACCAGUAAUUAACUAUAGAGGAGUGAAAAGAAACAGCUUCCUACCAAACAUGUAAACAAAGACUUGAAUAAUUGGAUGCUAAGGAGGUUGGAAUAAGAAGAAAAAGAUUUUGGGUGCUAGAAGAGGGAAGCAGAUGUACCAAAAGAUCACCAAAAAUUUGCAGAGCCUCUCAUAAACGGAUAAAAUCCAACCGUUGAAUUUACAUUUAACAUAAACAUUUUUUCACAACAAAACAGAUCAUGCUCAGUACACUCAGAGCCUGAAACCAACCUUCAAUUAAAUUCUCAAGAUUCUCAUUUACCAAGCAUAAAUCUAGAAAUCCUUGAGCAACAUAUGAUGAAACAGAGUACGUACUAUCAACUCAAACAGAACCAGCUUAUGUAUCAAACUACUAACCCAGCUUGCAACCUAAGAACGACCAAUGCCAACUCACCCCAUGAUCACGGGUUCAAAAUUAAGAAGAUUUAAACCCCUAAAAAAAAAAAAGAAAACAUUCCUUCAAGUUUGAAAUAAGCCUUAUCAAAUCUUAAGUGGAUAGAUGCAAUUAAUAGAUCAGAAUUCGAAGCGAUAGUCAAUAAUGACUAGAUUGUAUAUGUUCUAUCAAUUCACACCAAAAAUCAUUAAAUCUACAAAUUCUUAACAUUUUAUCUACUCUAAUAAGAAAAUUAAGUUGACAACAAAGAUGAUUUAUUUUCCAUUCCACAAAAAUAAAUGGAAACUAGGAAAUAAAACAGUCACCUUGACUCGUUGGAAAGCCGCUUAUCAGAUUACCACCUAGACCCAAUCUUUUCAACUUUCUCAAAUUUCCCAGUUCUACACCAAGAAAAAGGAAUCAGUACUUGAAAAUUAGUGUGAGAGCUGUUGUAAAAAGCUGUGAUCAGUAUGCUUAGUUAAUAACAUUGCUGCUCUGUCAUCACAGUUGCUUACCUAGCCUUGUUACAGAGCCAUUUAUUCUGUUACCCCUUAUAUCCAAAGCUUCUAAAUUUGUCAAAUUCGCUAUUCCUACACAGUAAGUCCCACAAAUAGACGGAAAAACAGAAGGUAAGAAAGUGGUGAUUAGUAGUACGCUUGAUAUCAUUGCUUGUCUGCUCCUUAAGUAGCUUACCUAGCCUUGUUACCGAACCACCGCUUAUUCUGUUACCAGUUAGAUCCAACACUUGCAGGUUCCUCAGAUUUACUAAUCCUGCACCCAAAAUAAAAGUUAUUGAAAAGGACAAUAUUGGAUUUUGAAAAUUAGAUAUAGAUUGAUUAAGAUUUGUAUAUAUAUGGAAAUGUUGUACCUUGCUUGGUUCUAGAACCGUCGAUGUUAUUGCCAACGAGAAUCAAAGUUGUAAGUGAAGUAAGUGUAUUCAAAUAUGGUAGUAUGAUGUCGUUGAAGAGAUUAUAACCGAGAUUUAACAUCUUCAAUUGCUUCAAACUCCCAAAACUAUCAUAAGCUGCUAAUCAAGGCACGCAGGUGAAAUGAAUUGGUUAAUUUAGUUGCAAAUUUUCCUUUCAGGAUGAAUGUGGAGACUACUAAAAAUCAAACAGGAAAUGAACACACCUUUACCCUUGUAGACACCUUCAAACAAAUUGAAAGACAAGUCAAGGCUUUGAAGUUCUUCAAAAGGAAGAAGCAAUGACAUAUUCAGAAGCGGAGAUCCAUCAAUGAAGUCAUUAUAUUUGUUUUGCGGUAAAAUAUCGAGAGAGAGUUGUGUCACUCGUCGCGUGGUGGCGUUGCACUUAACUCGCUCCCAAUCACAACAAUCAGACAUCGGAUCAUCAUCAACCCAUGAAUUAGGAAUAUUAUACUUGUUUUCACUAUCACUGAUUGAUAUAAGGAAGCUCUUGAGUUGCAGCAGACCAAUCCUCUCUUUCUCCAGGCACCCUUGGUAUCCAUGCAUUUGAAUCAAAGCUAGUAAAGUCAGCGACACUGAGAACUUGACAAUGGAAGUUUCCAUUGGAAGCCAACCUUUCAUAGUUUGUACUUUGUUCUCAAUCUGCAGCUUCACCACUCAUAAAUCACAUAUAUUUAAUGUGAGUAUUGCAUGUAAUGACGGAAGGAUAUUUCUAAACAAAAAAUCUAAAUUUUUUCUUCUUUUCUUUCUAAAUUUUUCAUUAGAUUAAUGUUUGAAUAAUGUUUAUAGAAGCAAUAACAUUAACAGAACUUAUUAUAUAUAUACACACACACAGAUACACACACAAAACGACAAAAUUAUGAGUUUAGUUAGGUAUAUAUAAGCAUUUAAUUACCAACACAUUAAUUACAGCACCGGUGUAUACACUUUGUAUUGGCAUUUAGUUUCUUUAUUAUUUUUGUAAAAUAUACGCUUUUAAUAUAAUUAAAAACAUAAACAUUUUUUUUAAAUGUGUAGUAUUAUCAUAAAUCAUUUUGUAUUUAAAGAACGUUAAAAUAAGAAAAAAAAUCAGUUAAUUUCAUUAACAAAGAUCCUUAGUUAGUAAGGAUUCCUUACGUUUAAAGGAUUUAGAAACAGUUAAUUUUCCCGCUUUCAACAGGGUUUCCUAAACCCCGGGCAAACUCUCUCUCUAUGUAUAUAAAAUAAAAACUCUCUUCGCAGAAUGGCAAGUAAACCUAUCAAUCAAUCAAAGAAAGGCUAAAAAAGAAAUAAAGAUCAGACAACAAUGGCGAAUUCCGUGAAGAGAUUGGUGGAAGUAUGCAGCAAAGAAGACGGGUUUCUGGGCUCAUACUUCGAGGCCAAACUAGUACAGAGAGUCAGCAAGACAAGUUCUUGGUGGAGUUCUUGACGCUGGUGUCGGAGGAAGAUGAGAAUGAGAAGCUGAGGUAGGUGGUGGACGCGACGGAAGUGAGGCCCUCCGAGUAACUGGAGUUUCCCGUCGCCGUCAGUUGAAAUCCGGUCACCGUUGGUCGGCAUGGGUAUUUUGGUAAUGUUCACAUGGAUGCAGUUGAAAUUAACUUAAUAUUUGUAAAGUAAAGUUAAAUAAAAAAGAGUGAAAGGGGUUAUAUAAAAAUUUGCCACAAAAGACAAAAGAAAGUAGCACGGUAGCACUGUGGUACCAUAGGCAGAUCCCAAUCUUUAUAGCAAUUGGCACAGAUAAAGAUAAUUAGUUUUGGUCUCUAUAAUGACUGACGAAGACUUGUCGGACUUGGACCAAUGAGGAAAAACACUUCAUUAAUACUCCAUGGAAAAUAAAAUGUUAACUGACUUUCAAAUUAAGCCAACAUACAAAUGGUCGUCAAUUCUAUUUUUUACAAAAAAAUUGAUGGAAAUAGUCAACUAAUAAAAUAAAAGUUGAUUGAGGUAAUUUAAAGAAUUUAGGCGUAAGUUUGGGUUUUAAAUUAUCAAAUAAUUUAUUCCACUAUUGAUACUUAAAAAAGUACUUUGGAAUUAAUAAUUCAAUAGGAUGUUUGAUAAAUUGGAAUUUGUGAAAAUCAAUAAUCAACUAUUUUUUAUCCAUGUUUAGAAAUUUAUCCGGUGUGUAUAAGGGCUUGUAUAUUUCACAAUAAACUGAGAUUUGUUUUUUGAAAGCCAAUAGAAACAUGAAAUAGUACAUCCAUCGAAUAAUCAAACACGCACACUACAAGGCGACCUUCGAUUGACGUAUUAUGUCAACUAACCCGUGGGACAUGGAGGAUGUGUGUUAACGUUAACCAAUAGUCAAGCUUAUGAACACAAUCAAGCAAUCGUAUCAUCAAUCAAAGCCACAUUUAGCGCAUGACUAGUAAAUAUCAUAAUUGAGUUUGAGGACCACAGCCGCACGGUGAAAGAAUUUGAAUGAAGGAAAAGUAAAAGAAAAUGAAAACGAAAAGUGGGGAAUGCUAAAGAAAAAUAAGCUGAUUCAUCAGUUAUUCAAUAUGACAAUUGCACACAACUUUUGGAUGUUUUUAGCUUCCGUGUGAAUCAAAAAAAUUAACAGACUGUCCCGCGUGUCACAUGUAACUAACUUUGGCGCCAUCUUGAGCUAAUUCUGUUAAGGCCUUCACUACAUAGUCUUAAGAUCUCAGUGAACAAUAAAUUCUUCAGAUUCAUAUGAAUUGCACAACAAGGCGUAAACCCCGCUUGAAGGCAACCGGCUAUAAUUAAUACAUUUCAAUUGCUCAUAAAAGAAAGAUACAGUAAACUAGUGGUAUUGUAGUAUAAACAAUACUCGUUUUUCUAUCUUGGUGGUUUCUUGACUGUGUUCAAAUAUCAGUACUCGAAGAAAGAUAAAGGAAAGCUAAAGAAAAAUAAGCAAAUUCAUCAUUGACAUCAUAAGAAGGAGGUUCAUCAUCAUCAAACCAUGAACUAAGAGUUUCAAUUACUGUUUCAAAAAUGCCUUUCUAAAAUUACGAUAAAUUUAAUAGCUAAUAGAAAUAUUUCAUUAUAUAAAUCAAAUUUCAAACUUGUAAGGAAAUAUGUAAAAAUAUUGGUUUUCAAAUAUUUUUCUAUAUAUUUUUUUUAAAUUUAAAAUUAGUGAUAGAGUCAGUCAACCAAUAAAUCAUCAAGAAUUAUCCAUUGCGUCCCUAAUUUGAUCAGCAUUCUUGAAAGCAUGGAAAUUUUCCAGUUUUUACAAGUCAAGCAUGGAGUGUACGUUUUUAUGUUAAAGAUGGUUGAGUGGUGAUCACGUUUUAUUUUGCAGCCUGCCUAACCAAUUUCAAAGCGUGUUUCACGGAUGACUUAUUUUUAUGAAUUGGAAGACUUUUCUCCUUAAAUAUAAAAAGUUCAAAUGAAUACUUUCAAUUAUUGUUUCAAAACUGUCUUUCUAAAAUUACGAUAAUUAUUUUCUAUUGAAUUGUAUACUUUGAUUUGCAUGGAAUUAUCGAAUAAUUAAUCUAUGCAAGCAUUGAAUUGUAAUGACUAACGAAGACUUAUAAGGCUUGGACCAAUGAGGAAAAAUGCUUCAUUAAUACUCCGUGGAAAACAAGCCAGCUUGGACCCAGUUGAUCGAGAUAGUCAACAGUUGAUUGAGAUAGUCAACUAAUAAAAUGAAAGUUAAUUGAGAUAAUUUAGCGUAAGUUUGGGUUUGAAAUAAUCAAAUAAUUUAUUCCAGUAUUCAGAAAAGUUGAAUUCCGUUAUUUUAUUGAGAAGAGAUCCGUCGCUCCCUCCCAAUCAUCACAGCAAUCAGACGACAUUCCUUCAUCAUCGUCAAAUCAUGAACUAACAGCUUCGUCAUCUCAGCUUCCAAACAAGCCUUGCAUCAGGGGUGGCUUUAGGUAUAGGCGAACAAGGCCGUCGCCUAAGGCCUUAUAUUUUAAGAAGGCUUCAUUUUUUAAGUAUUUCCUUAAUAAUUCUCUAAUUAAUGAAAUAUUUUUAAUACAUAUUUUAAGAAAUUAAAAAGUUUAUUAGAUAUCUCUCUAUUCUUAAUUAUUCUAUAAUUAAGAAUUAUUUUUUAUAAAAAAUCAAUAUUUAGCAACCUUAAUUUUAAAUAAAUAUAAUUAAUAAUAUUCUUUAACCAUUAGUUCAUUCCUUUUCAAUUAUUCAAUGUUAGCAUAUUUGACUUUUAAUAUUUCUUUUAAUUUCUAUUAAAAACCUCAUAAUCUCAAGAAUUAGUAAAUGAAAAAAAUUUAUGGUUGUCUUCCCUACAAAUAAAAUUAUUAUAUUCAUUGGUUCAUUUAAAAUAAUUAGUUUCUUAAAAUAUAAAGUCCAUUUUUAUUUUUGAACAUCAAUUCAUCAUUUUAAAAUUUUUAUAUUCUAUCAUUCUAAAUAUUCUAUUUGAAAAUAAAAUUGUUUUUAUUUAUUUGUUUGUUUGUUUUUUAACGGUUUUAAUGGAAUAAAAAAAUCUAUCUUCUUGACUAUUUUUUUGGUUUUAUUUUUUAAAUUUUUAUUUUUUUAUUAUUGUUGAAAUUUAAGAAUUAAAGAUGGAAUAAAUUUUGAUCCUUUGUAUAUGUAUUUGAGUAUUAAAAUUACAAAAUAAUAGAGGUCUUAUAAAAAAAUUUCGCCUAAGGCCCCUCAAACUCUAAAGCCGGCCCUGCCUUGCAUCCAUGGAUUUCAUCCAAAACAACAAUCCAAAGUAGUGAGGUUAAUGAGAACUUAAUGAAGGAAGUACUCUUCCAUUGCAAAACAACUUUUUAUUUGGCUAAAAUUAAAUGUGAAUUACAUAUCUUUGACUGGUGAUAUAUAUAUAUAUAUAUAUAUAUAUAUAUAUAUAUUCAGAGAUAUGAAAUACUCAAACCAAAAUAAUAAAAAUAUAAUUAUUAUAAAAAAAAUUGAUGAAUAAUAUAGUUCCAGGAAGUGCUAAAACCAUAAUGUACGCCAGUAUGAGUUUAUCCAAAGUCACCGGCUACACCAAUAUCAUUGUGACAUAGGAAGUGAUGAGGAAAUUUACGAAAGAUUUAUUAACUUGACUUGUGCACUAUAAGAUGUGCAACUGCGUGCCCUUUGAACAAAAUCAUUACUACCAAAGCGUUAGUAAUAAUAAUUAAUUAUGUAACUUUUUAAAAUAGUGUGUAUGCGUUUUUUUGCAAGCGGUGUUAUCUAAGAUGUUUCUUCUCGAGCAUAAUUGUAUCCAUUUAAUUUGAACAAAGAGUAGUGCUAUGAUUAGACAUUGUGAUACAAAGAGUGUUUAUGGCUAUGUCAUUUUUUUCCAUUGCUAUUGCUUUAAAUGCACUGACCUCAUCUUCCACGAUGGGACAGUUGAAAGCAUGUUUUCCAUUUGCUACUUCUUCGACUGCACUAGCACCAUCCUUUAGUAAAUAGUAUUUGUCAUUUUGGUAUAAUUUUCCGCUGCGUUUGAACUUAUAACAAUUAAUAAUUCAUCCUUUAGCUUAUAACAAUUAAUAAACCCAUGAUGUCUUAAAUCUUUUAACAUAUAUAUGCAUUAGCUAUUAAUUUUGUUGAAAUUCGCUGCCUUAGGCAGGCAUAAUUUGUCAUGAAAUCAAUGAUCAGAGACUUUCUGCAAUUUCAUUGACUUGAUAAGUCUAUGUGCAGUUCCAGUUUUGGUAGUUCUUAAAAAGGAUGGAACAUGGAGGAUGUGUGUUGACGUCAACCAAUAGUCAAGCUUAUGAACACAAUCAAGCAAUCGAAUCAUCAAUCAAAGCCACAUUCAAUGCAGGACUAGUAAAUAUCAUAAUUGAGUUUGAGGACCACAGCCGCACAGUGAAAGAAUUUGAAUGAAGGAACAGUAGAGGAAAAUGAAAACGAAAAGAGGGGAAUGCUAAAGAAAAAUAAGCUGAGUCAUUAGUAACUCAAUAUGACAAUUGCACACAACUUUUGGAUGUUUUUAGCCUCCUAAAUUUCAACAUUAAUGAUAAAUUACAGAUAUGUGGAGCAAAACUUAGAAACCAACUUUUGUUCACAGAGAAAAUGUUAAAAAAAUAAAUAAAAAUAAAAGAGUGCAACUAACUUUGGUGCACAUAAGUAUGAUUGUAUGAAGUGAGCCCCAAAUAUAUAUUCAUCAGUAUACCCCACCUGUAAUAAUAUCCUUGUCUAGCUUUUUUUUGGUUAUUUUUUCACAAAUAGGAAAAUUUCAUUGCUAUAGAGAAGAUAAAAUAGAGGAUGCCCUAAAAUGAACAUUAAAUAAAGCCUUCGACAUUAAGGUGAAACGUAUUUUCCGGUACACCGAUUGUAUGCACUGCACUGAAAUUCUAUAUUGAUCAAAGUGGCUUUUCAUUAUAAUGCUCUAUCAAAAGGGCUUCUAAUUCUUGUUUUCCCAUGCCAAAGACAAAAGCAAAUUAGAAGAAUUGGAAAGCAGCAAUAGAAUAUAUUUUAUCACUAAAAUAUUUUUCUUUCUUUAUUUUUUUUGUGAAAAAAUCAAACCCUUAUAGUUAGAUUUUUCUAAAGGAUUCUUCUCCUCUUGGCAUGCCAAUUUUGUUUUUAUCGUAUAAUUUGUGUUAUAAUUCUUUGGCUUGUGAAUCAAAAUAAUUAACAGAGACUGUCCCGCGUGUCACAUGCAACUAACUUUGGUGCCAUCUUGAGCUAAUUCUGUUAAGGCCUUCACUCCAUGGUCUUAAGAACACUAUGCACAAUAAAUUCCUCAGAUUCAUAUGGCAAAUGAAUUGCACAACAAGGCAUAAACCCCGCUUGAAAGCAACCAGUUAAUACAUAAAAAGUUCAAUUACUCAUAAAAGAAAGAUACAGUAAACAAUACUCCUUUUUAUAUCUUGGUGGUUUCUUGGUAGUGUUCAAAUAUCAGUACUCGAAGAAAAAUAGAGGAAAGCCAAAGAAAAGUAAUCUAAUUCAUCAUUAACAUAAUAUGACAAUUGCACGCAACUCUUGGAUGUUUUUAGCCACCGAAAUUUUUAACAUUAAUGAUAAAUUACAAACAUGUAAAUGAAAAUUUAGAAACAAAUUUUUGUUUACCGGAAAAAUGUAACUGUGAAAGAGAGUAAAAGAGAGCAGAGAAACUAAAAACAGAGGAUUCCAUUCGUCAUUUCAUAACUGAUAUUCCUAGUGCAAAUGCGCAAGCUUGAACAUUCAAAAUACAUCAUUCUAAAUCAAAUAUAUAUCACCAACAGACACAUUUACAUGAAUUAUUCAGGCCUUCACUCUGGUCUUAAGACCUCAUGUACGAGAAAUUUGUCAGAUUCAUGUAGCAAAUGAAUUGCACAACAAGGCAUAAAAAUUAGUAUAUUUUUCAAGAAUCCGGCUUGAAAGCAACGAACUAAAAACUAAUGCAUAAAAGUUCAAUUACACAUAAAAGAAGGAUAACGGUAAACUAUGGCCUAGCAAGAUCAUGGAUGAAUUAUAUAAAUUUCACAAGCCAAUAUAAACAACAACCAGUACAUGCAUCAAUGAAAGAAAACCAUGGCCAGCGCCAAUACGAGUUCAACCAAAGGAUUCGUCUUAGUUGCAGAUUCAUCUUCGUCUUCUCCUGGAUUGGAUGUUAUUGCUGGAUUUUCCUCUGUUCUGGUGCAACUCUUAUUAAUUGUUGGACCACAAAGAGUGAGAUUAUAACUCUUUUCAUCAAACCUGCCAAAUUGUCUUUUGUCUGGGAUCAGACCAGAUAAGUUCUUGUAUGACUCGUUAUAGUUGGAUAAAUAGUUGAUUAGUGAUCUGAAGAUCACUGAUCAGAAAUUUUGUCAUUUAUGUUUGGUAAAUUAUUCAUAAAAGUAUGGUCUACUCUGAAAUUACAAAAAUAAGCAUAAUAAAUUUGAAUAAUGGAAAGGAAAAUGAGAAGGAAAACAGAGGAAGGCUAAAGAAAAAUAAGCUGAUUCAUCAGUAACUCAAUAUGACGAUUGCACACAACUUUUGGAUUUUUUUAGCCUCUGAAAUUUCAACAUGAAUGAUACAUUACAAAUAUGUGAAGCAAAACUUAGAAACCAAUUUUUGCUUAUAGAGAAAAUGUUAAAAAAAAAAUAAUGAUAAGAGAGUGCAGAGAAACUAAAAACAGAGGAUUUCAUUAUAACUGAUAUUCCCAGAGCAAGGCUGAACAUAAUUCUUGGGUGUGUGAAUCAAGAUCAUUAACAAAGAGAUCACGCAUGUCACAUGUAACUAACUUUGGCGUGAUGUAGGAUGGUUGCGUAGGAUGAGUAGGGUGUCUUCCAAAGGUCAUAACUUGGGUUACAGGUAUAACUAACAACGACGGUGCUCAAAUUUGGUUAUCGUCGAUGUUUGCGGAUUAAUGUUUGUGGCUCCUCCUAUAUCAAGGAAAUGUCAUAAUUACUUUCCAAACAUAAGAAAUACAACUAAUUUUAUGUGAUAUGAUUCACAAUAAAUAUUUAUCCCGUAGCUUAUAACUCUAGAAUCCAUUAUUUUUAAAUAAAAAUUACCCUAAUACUCUCAAAACCAUCAAUUACACCUUAUGCUCAAAAUUCCAUACUCCAGCUCAAUAAUUAAAUUUCCAUAUCCUAUAAUACUAAUAAAUCAUCCACAUUAUCACCAAUCUCAUUAUUAACCAUGAACUACCCAAACAUAAUAUAUAACAAUAAGCUAUUUACAUACCGAAUGGAGGAAAUAGUGAGGGCUACACAUUUUGGCUCUAAUGCCUUGGUGCCAUUGUGCACCUAAAAUGAUCCACCAAUUACUAAAAUUAGCUUGGGACUGACUACACCCAUUUGUUGGGAACCCUAACUAUAAUCAAAGUAUACUAAUCUUUAAAUUAAUUUUAUUUUCAUGUAAAUGCAAUUUCAGGUAAAGAUAAAAUGAUAGAAAUCUUACUCCAUUUGGUGAGAAAUUCAACUUGACAGCUUGAAUCACUUCCCUCUCACUCAAAUCCUUCCUCCACACUUCCUACAUUUAAAUUCCUCUCCAAUGAAUUUCCAAAUGAACUUAGGGAUAAAAAUACCCUAGAAUGACUCUCGAAUCCAAGUUAUGAAAGACCAAACUCAAUUUUGGAAAAAUCCUAAAUCAUGAAAAUUUUCCCAUUGUCUUCCUCUCAUGCCCGUGAGCUUUUGCAAAGCAAUGGUAAGUGCUUUCUGUUUUAAUUCGCUUUAUAUAUAAAACUUAUUUUAUUUUUUUGUUUAUGGGGUUUUGAAAUAUUACUUUAGGCCCAAUUAAAGAAAAUCUAUUUACCCAAUUAAAGAAAAUUAAUUUAUAUACAUUCAUAUUCAUAAGUUAUUAUUAAAAACUUGUAUAUACAAGUCAGGGCAGUACACAAAUUUACUGAAUACAGAGUAAAGUUGUACUUUAAUUGGUGAACUCUGAAGGCACCAACUAUAACAUCCAUUUCUAGCAUAUAUAUAUAUAUAUAUGUAUAAUAGAAAUCUAACAUGCUUAUACAGAUCACAUACAGGAUUCAAAAUUUAGAAGAUUCUGAACUAUUUAAGGCCAGAGAUUGGGCCAGCUUGUUUAGUUAGUAGGCAACGAUGGAGGGUUGCUUGGUAAAGCUGCUACAUCUUUAGAAAUUCAGAGAUGACGGGCAGCAAAGAGUGAUAAUUUUUGUUUUCCCCAAUCACCUUGAACAGAGUGAGAAGAAACCAUUAUUUCGAUAUGUGCGGUUCUUCCAUCAUAUUGUUAUUUAAUGGUUGUUGUUAUUGAUUCUAGAAAAACAUUUUUCGAUUUGGCAAAUGGAGUUUUUCCAUCUUCAAAAGAAGAGUCCCAGGUUCCAAACUUUACUGCCAUGGCUUCCAAGUCGCUGUUCUACAAAGAAAUAUCUGUGGCACCACGAGAUCCCGUUGAUAUUACAAUCAACAUAGUAUUUGGGAAAAUUGCUCCUUCGGAUUGUAGCAUUUCGAGUCUCAGAUUCUUUCAAUCAACACAAGCACGUUCGAGAUACAACAUGAAGUUGUUAAAUUUAUAUUUGCAACCAACAGAAACUGCAGAAGAAACAAUAAGUCUAAUUUUAACGAAACCACUUGAAGGAACUUCGAAACUUGAGCAUAGUUUUAGAACCAAAUUAAGAAUUUUAGCAAACACAUACCUGAUACAUAGCAGUUUGCAGAAAAGCUAACGGAAUACGUAACACAGCAUGACAAGUUAUACUCAGCAGACCCGUAGGAACUUACUACAAUGGCCUAGCGUAAUCACCGAUAGAAUGCAUAUUUGAAGAGCCAAUAGUAGCAUGUGUCAAUACAUUCAUCAAUGAAAUAGAACCACCGUCUACGCCAAUAGGAGUUUAUCCAAAGGACUGCAAACAAACCCAAAAUAACUGUCACAAAGGACGCACCAAAACUCCAUUUUAAUGCCACCAUAUCAAUCAUCGAAUCGUCUUCUUCUUCUCCUGCUUCUUCUGUUGGUGUUGCUGGUGGUUUUAAUGCACUGCUGCAUUUCUUCCUUAUCAAGGAACCACAAAGCUCAUGGUUUCCUGUAUAACUGCUCUCAUCAAAUGUGGCAAACUGCUCUUUGUCUGGGGUUGGACCCGACAAGUUGUUGUAUGACACAUUGAAGUUGGAUAAAAAGUUGAGCCCAGUGAGUUGAGGAGGAAUAUGACCACUUAAUCUGUUGUGGGAAAGGUCUAGGCUCUCUGUCAUUUUUAGAUUGGAGAAGCUCUCUGGUAUAGCACCUGAUAAAAAAUUAUUAGACAGAUUCAGUGCACGAAUAUUUUGAAGUUGCCCAAUUUCGCGGGGAAUUUCUCCGCUCAACUCAUUGCUUGACAAAUCCAGUCCAGCCAUGUACUUUAAGUUUGCUGCCGAUGAAAAAUUCAUAUCUAUUCUUUGUCACAAAUUCUGCUUCUACUCUUUGAUUUAUUGAGGCAUGUGGUUCAAUGGGCGGUUGUAGAUCAAGAGUAGAAUUGUAGUAAGUAGUAACAAUAGAAUCGAUGUAGAAACCUUGAUACGCUGUGUAUUCAUCAGGCAAACCAUAGUCAUACAAAUAAUAAUUAGUUCAUUCUCUCCAGAAUGACACGUUACCCAAGCAUGAAGGUAUUGACCCACUAAAUGUGUUAUUUGAAAGAUCCAUGAUACGUAAUUUUGCUCACUGGCACAAUUCAUUAGGAAUAUGUCCUUGUAGAGAAUUCCCUCUUAAAAGAAGAACAUGCAAAUUCGAAAGCUCAUUGAUCUGAUAAGGAAUCCUACCAAAGAAUUUAUUAUCCCUCAAAUCUAGAGUGAUUAAUUUAGAGCUUCUAAACAAUGCAUUGGGAAUUUACCCAGUAAUAGCAUUCUUCUGCAAAUAAAGGUGUUUCACUGAUGAAAGAUUGAAGGAAGAUACCAAGGACCCAGACAAACUAUUUUCAAAGAUGUCUAUAAGCUCAAGACUUUUAAGUUGGCUAAGUUGGACUAGAAUAUUAGCUUCCAAAUAAUUUUUUGACAUUAAAAGAACCCUAAGAGUUGAGAUGUUACCAAUCCAAUUAGGAAUAUUACCGGAUAACAUGUUGUCAGAUAUAUCUAACCCCUCUAAUGAAGUGGAGCUCCUCAAACCAUCAUCCAUCUUCCCACUGAAAUGAUUGUUGUCCAAAUAUAACCAAUGCAAAUGGGUCAAGUUCAUAUAUUUGGGAAAAAUUUGGCCAAAGAAAUUGUUAUUUGAUAGGUCUAACAAAUCUAGAGCGACGCAACCAGAGACUAUAGGUCGGGGUAAUUCUCCUGAAAAAUUAUUUCUAGACAAAUCCUGCAUAUAUAACUCUUUCAUCUCACCUAUUGAAUAAGGAAUAUCACCUUCAAAAAUAUUUUUUGGCAUAUCCAAAUAAAUCAAUUUCUGAAGGACAAUACCCAUAUUCCGUGGUAGCUUACCAGCGAAAUUGUUAUUGGAACUAUCUAGAUGACGAAGCAUAUCGUGUUUGGCAUUGGGAAGUAGAUGAAGAAUUCCUGAGAGUGAGUUGUUCGCCAAAGACAAAUAUUUUUAUCUUUUGUUGUUUUGGAACAACCAAAUUGGGAAAUUGCCAACCACCUUAUUAUUAGAGAGGUCAAGGAAUAUUAAGUGGUAAUGUUGUAAAAGAAAACUAGGAAUGACAUGUAAGUGGCAGUCGGAUAAUUUGAGAACCUUCAAUUGAGAUGUGGGGUGCCAGGUUUCAGUUUUCACUUGUAACAUAUUGCUUCCUGAUGAGAUUAACAAGACCUCGAGCUUCGAAUGAUUAGCCAAUGAAUUUAUUGAGAUUGUUCCUUGGAAAUUAAUGGAAAAGCGAUCUAAAUAUUCAAGUGAUGUGAGAUUAGUCAAGGUAGAAGGAACUUUUCCACUUAAUUGAUUAUUAGAAAUAUCAAGAACUUUGAGAUGCGUUAAGUUGUUGAGACACUGAGGAAUGUGACCCUCAAAGUUAUUUGAGCUUAGAUCCAACUCAAAAAGAUUCUUCAAAUUACAUAUUCCUAAACUUGAAAAUAAAAGAUUAAAAUUUUAUAGAAUGAAAACUAAUUAUAGCGAAUUCGGUCAAAAUCCAAUACAAGACUUAAAAAACAGAUAAAAAUCAAAUUUCCUAAUUAUUUUGGUCAGCGGUUUUAUUCCAUUAAAAUAAAUGAAUUAAAACCAUGUUAAUUGUUUUACGAGUUAAUAAUUUUAUAUUAAUUUAUUUAUUUUACCUUCUAUUUAUUAGUCUUAUGAAUAAUUUAUAAGAUUUAACAAUUGUAUUAUAAGUAAUAUUUAAAAAAAAAUACUAUUAGCAUUUAUUAUUUAAUAAAUCUAUUUAGAUAAUUUAAAAUUUUGUUAUUGAUGUCAGAGUUUGGGUCAAUGGUCAACAAUUAAUAGUUACUACGAAUUUUUUUUUCCCUCCCUUUCUAAUUGAUAGAUUUCAUGUGUUCCGAAAACGAAGUUUAGAGAAAAAGAAAAGGAAAAGGAAAAGGAAAAGGAAAAAAAAAAUGACUGCGAGGCCACUUUCCCAGGGUCUUGGUUGCAAUGCGCGCAUGUACACAGGCUGAAGCCAGCAAGAUGGUAUCAAACAUAUAUACCUUGCUUGAUUCUGGAACCUUCAAUGUUAUUGGAACGAAGAUUCAGAGUGGUAAGUGAAGUUAGUGUAUUCAAAUAUGGUAAUAUGUUGUCGUUGAGGAAAUCACCACCAAGAUUUAAGAACUUCAGCUGUUUCAAACUCCCCAAGCUGUCGUAAGCUGCAAAUGCAUAUGAAUUAUUAUCAUUAAUUAGUCACUGACAAAAUAAUUACGAAUGAGUAAUAUAUACAUAUGCUUGUACCUUUAUUCUCAUAGAAGCCUUUAAACCAAUUAUCAGAUAAGUCAAGGCACUGCAAUUCUUCGAAAGGGUGAAACAAUGACAUAUUCAGAAGAGAAACUUCAUAAGAAUAAAAGAGUUAUAAUCAGAGCAGUUGAUUUUUGUUUUCUGAUUGAGUGAGAGUUGCGUCACCCGUCGGGUGGUGGCGUUGCACUUAAUUCUCUCCCAAUCGUUACAACAAUCAGACGACAUUCCAUCAUCAUCAAAUCAUGAAGAAAGAACUUCGUCAUCAUAUCCAACAUCACUGGCUGAUGCGAAGAAGCUCUUGAUUUCCAACAGAGCAAUCAUCUCUGUUUCCAAGCAUGCUUUGUAUCCAUGUAACUGAAUCAAAGCUAUGCCAAUCUACAAUGACAACUUCAUCAAAAGCAUUUUCAUUAUUAAUAUUAACUGCGAGAGAAACACUCACAAGAUUGACCAGUCAAUUGUUGCUCUCUUGAAUUUUUUCUGGUUCUCUAGCAAAUAUAUGACUUAUAUAUACAAUGGCAGUUUUGUGCAGAAUGAAAAUUUUGCGCAUUUUCACGUGCCUGUCAAUGAGAAAGCAUGCAUUGAUUGAAAAAAGUAAGUGAGAGAAUGUUACCUGUUGAUACAUGUUAUCUGCUUGUGACGUUAGUACCGUCCAAAGAAAUUGAAAUGUGAAAUAAUUGAAGAUGCAAAAUGGUUGAUUUCACGGGCCUGGCCUUUGGCAAAGUGAAAUGUUAGCCACACACUUUACCAGUCAGUCAAGUGUCAACAUUUGUAGCAUAAGGAAAUUGCGGCAUCUUAGCUGGAUUUUGAGGGUCGCUAUUUCGUAUAUCAGUCCCAUUUGUUAGUGGGGACUCACAUUCUGUCCUAUAGUGGGCUCACAAAUAUUUAACAUAAUUUUGAUAAUUACUUAAACCGCGUUUCCUUGAUAAUUAAAGAAAAAGAGAAGUGAAUGAAGUAAAAGAUACUGAUGACCGUAAUUAUGCAAAUAAAUACAAGACUUUACAGUAGAUUAGACCACCAAUUGUGCUUUUUCGUCCCAUAAUAAUGCAUCUGCUUUAACAAGAUACGAGUGAACUUAGGCUUAUCUUUCUUUCGCAAUGUAAAUUCUUGCCAAAAAAUACAUGUUAUCUACUGGUGAAUUAGUUUGAUAAAAUAAAGGCUUAAAGUUUAGUUGAGUAAAAUGUUGGCGUAAAGAAAUUAGCUACUGGAAAAUCACCAAGUGCUUGUUAAGGUAAUAUACAAUUUCAAUUGAACAUCAAGUGAUGGAAACAUCAAAAACCCCAUAAAAAAUUAAACAAAACCAGUUGCAAUGCAAAUAAACAAGUUUUCAGUUGAGAUGGCAGAACUAAUUCCUUCACAAUCAAGUGUGAUUUCUCAAUUUGUUCUAUUUGCCCAAAAAGACAUGGUCAAGUAUUUGAAAGCAUUUUUAUUUAGUUGACUAUUCGAGUUUGAAUUUGGAAUAAGAGGUUAAAAAAUAAUUUUUGUCUUUACUCACCUCUUCCUUUAGAAAAAGAAAAAUUUUAAUUUUUGAUCAAGCUCACUUAAAUGCAUCAUGUGCAAAUCACGUGACAUCUUGAGUUACCAUGUAAUUUGGCUUUAUAAGUGUUUUCUGUUUCUGAAAACGAAAAAUAAUAAAAUGGAAAUGCCUUUAGCUAUUGGCUAGACAUUUUCAGAAACGUUUUUCGUGAACAGAAAAAGUUUUUGUAAAGAGGCAUUGAGCGAUCAGGCUCUUGUCGUGGCCUGCGGCCUGCAGUCCUCAACAAUCCUCAUUUGGCCUCUUUAUAAUCCAUUUUUAAUAAAGUAUAGAUAAAAAUAGAUAUAUUACCGGUUUUCAAAUUACACUUAAUAUUAUUAAAUCUUUAGACGGAGCUUUAAAUCUAUAAAUUCAAACUUCCAACAUAUCAUAAAUUAUUUUUAGAGCCCGCAUGUUGGAUUGUCUCAUUUAAGUUUCACUUUGAUUUCUAGCACAUCAUUCAAAUGAGUUGCUUUAGUAUAUCUAGCUAGUUUUGAACAAAGCAAGUGAGAAUAUUACAUCUGCUUUAGCAAGAAACGAGUGAAUGAAAACAUUUGACCAGAUUCAAGAGAGAAAAGAAUGUUGAAAUAUUGACUUGAAUAUUAUGGUAAAAUGAGUUUGACUUUAGUACCGACCAAAGAAAUAAUUGAAGAUGCAAAUUGGUUAGUUUGACGUGCAUGGCUAUUGGCAAAGUGAAAUGUUAGCUUCGCACUUCACUUGUGAAUGUACAACAACAUUUGCUGCAUAAGGAAAUUGCGGCGUCUCAGCCGCAUUGUGAGAGUUGUUUUCAAAUCCCAUUUCUUUUCUUUGUAUUUGUUCAUUGCCACGACCUUUUUUUUUUCCGCAGCUCACGUGAUCACCAUAAUUUUGAUAGCUACUCAAACGCGUUUCUGCAAUAACUAACGAAAGGAAAAGUGAACGAAUAAGUAAAAGGUACUGAUGACCGUAAUCAGGUAAAUGAAUACAAGGCUUUACAAUAGAUUAGACCACCAAAUCACGACCAUAACGAAUAAACAAUUUGUGCCUUUUGAAUACAUCUGCUUUCACAAUGUAAACUUGCCAAAAUACAUGUAAUCUGCUAGUGAAAUAAGUUUAUAAAACAAAGGCUUAAAGUUAAAAGCUGACUAAAAUAUUGGCGUCAAGAACGCUACGGGGAAAAUUCAACUGUGAGCUGCAGUCUGCAGUCCUCAACAAUCCGGGAAAAGGCUGAGGAGGCGCGCGCCUGCACACUAAUUGGGCAGGUCUGAUGGGAUUUAUAAAUUAAAAUAAUGUAAUUUUAUAUUUUUUAAAUGAAAAAUUUGUUGUUGCCGUUGUGAGAUCCAUUGGAUCCUCGCGUGCCUGCCCCACAAAAGUUUCUCCCUAACAAUCUCCAUCAAACCUCUUUACAAUCCAUUUUUGAUAAAAUAUGAAUAAGGAUACAUAUAUUUAUCCAAAUAUUAGUAAAAAAUAGAUAUAAUGCUGAUUUUUAAAUUAUACUUUAUGAACAUUUAGACCGAGCUGUAAAUCUAUGAAUUCUAACUUCCACAAAUUAUUUUUUAGCCGUAUGUUGGAUUGUCUCCUUUAAGGCUGUGUUUACUAAACCGGAAUGGGAAUCGAAAUGGAGAAAUUAGAAUGAAUAACUUGUUUACUUGUUAAAUUGAUGCUAGGAAUGGGAAUAAGGUGAGUGGGCUCCAAGGUCUUGAAGAGGAAAGAUCACUAUGGCUCCAAGGUCUGGAAGAGGCAAGUCCAAUAAAGCCAAGGCUGACAAGGAGAAGAAAGAAGAGAAAGGUUUGAAUUGUUAAUCCUUUUUAUUCACUUCUUUCAUUGGAAAGUGCUUUCUGUAAAGUGCUUCCGCUUUCUAGCUUCCUUAUGUUCAUUGAUUCUUUUGUUGUGCAGUAGUACCCAGUGUUCUUGAUAUCACAAUCAUCACCCCAUAUGAAUCACAAGUUGUUCUCAAGGUAUACAUUUAUAAUUAUUAUUAAUACUGUCUUGUUUUGCCCUCACCAGCCAAGAUUAGCAUAUUGUUUUUUAAAACUUUAUAAAUAUAAAUGAAUUAUUAAUUAAUCAUCUUUUUUUUUGUUUGAUUGAAAUUUGCUCAAAGGGCAUCUCACCACCAGCCCCAUUGUCUUUGCAAUCUACCUUCACGACGCAUGACACCACUGCCCGACACACAUUUGCGACGCUCCACCAUCACUGUGAGUGGCUUUAAAAGAAGGAAAAAAAAUAAAGAAACGAGAGUGAGAGCAGAGCAUAAUAGAAUUGUCAAGCUCUUUGUUAGAAUCAUCACAAAAUUUAUAUUGGAUCGGAGCUAUUCUAUGUGAUGCAUUUGGAUUUGCUAUAUGCUAGACAGGCAACAACAUGUAAAAGCUUUUUGUCCCCAUUUUAGAUUUACUAUCUAGUAUCUUAUAGGCUUAAUCUAAAUAGAAACCAUGCAGGAUACCGGACACAAUUCUAAUGUUAGACUUUAUUUUUCAACUUUCUUUUAGCGAUAUGUCAAGACCCCAAGUUUAUGUCAUGAUAAUUGUGUGAUUGAUAAGAUAUUUUGUGUUUUGGACUUUAUCUCAUGGAUUUAGAGUUCGAUUAUGUUUGUAAUCGGAAUAAUGCAUUCAUUUACAUAUGAUGUUUGAUGAAAUUGCCAUAAGAUUAAUUCAAUUAUAUAUGUUUUUUAUGCUGAAUUAAUAUUAAUACAAUUAUGUAUGUCUAUGGUGCUGAAAAAGUAGAGCAGAAAAUUUAUCAAUGGGUUGGUUUCACUAGUUCAAGAAAGUAAAGCAAAGAAAUUGUCUUUAUACACUUAACCCUUCCUCUAUUUAAAAUAAAAAAAAUUAUUGAAGUUUUUGGAAGUGAUUUGUUCAUUUUGUUUGUGCACUUAUGUAGAUGGGAUUUACUUUUGAUUGCUUAACCCUUCCUCACUUAUGUCUUUUUAGUUCAAGUUGCAGUAUUUUGCUGCUGUGCAACAACAGAAGAGGCUGUUUUAUUGUUGUUUAUGCAGAAACACAGCACCUGGAAGCAUCCAGGUGCUGUUUAGCUGCUGUUAUGCAGCAAAAGCAGCACUUGAAAGUUUCCAGGUGCUAUUUUUACUGCUGUUCACGCAGAAACGCAGCACCUAGAAGUGUUCAGGUGCUGUUCAGCUGCUGUUAUGCAGCAAAAACAGCACCUGAAAACUUCCAAGUGCUGUUUUUACUGUUGUUUAUGAAGAAACAAAGCACCUGGAAGUAUCCAAGGUGUGCUUUACUGCUGUUUUGUAAUUAAAAUUGCACUUAGAAAUUUUGGGUGCUAUUUCGCUGAAAUUUUGCUACUAACAGUGCAGCUGAAUAAUUUCGGGUGUUGUUUAGUUGUUGUUUUGGACCUUCUUUAGUUCUUUUCUCUUAUGUCUAUACUUAAUCUCCCCACCCUCCUCCCCCCCCCCCCCCCCCCCCGCGGCGCGGGUAAUAAGCAAGUACAACUUUUGCAAGGUAAUAUCCAAGCAUGCCAUUAAUUAAUUCUUUGGUUAAUCAUAGUAUUCUAUACAUUAGGUCUCAUUUUUUUUUUUUAUUUCCAAGUGUAUAAUGGAUAUGUAGUGGAUGUCUUAUGGAUGGUGUAGUCAAUGUUUUUUUUAUUGUCUCUAUUUUGUCAAAUAUUGUUGGUUCAUUUAUUAUCUAAACACAUGGUUGAUAAACUUACUUAGGUAAGUCUAAUUAAUAGCAAUUUGGUACUUUAAAGUCUUGUUUUACAACUUAAGUCACUAAAAUGAUUUAAUAUUUACGAUUUAUAAUAUAUGAAUAUAUCUUAAUUUCUCUUUAUUCUUUGUAAGAAUGACGUAGAUUGCUGACGCUGGUGAGACUUGUUUGCAAUUGAAGACUUGACGAGAAAUUAGAUGUACUCACGCAUGCCAAUCUCUUUGGUUGCUAGUGCAGUCAUUAGUAGAUAUUAAGUAGUUGUGAGAAUUUUUGUAGAGCUAUCUCUUUGUAUAUGAAACAUUUGCAUCUUUUUUGUUUGUGGAAAAAUAAUUGUAAAGAAUUUAAUAUGAAAUUAGAAUUAAAAUGAGGCUUGAAAUAGUCUUAAAUUUGCCAUAUUUAUUUUUUAAUAAUAAAUAACAAUGAUGACGGUUAUUUGAAAAGAACCGUCAUCAAAUAUAGUGUUUAGAAACAAAGAUGACCGUUUUUUUUUUAAACCAUCAUAAAAUGUUGUUCAAUAUUUAAUAACGGUUCUUAUAUAUAUAUAUAUAUAAUGACGGUUCUUACAAUAAACCGUCAUUAAAAUGGCACAUUUAAUGAUUGUUAUAUAAAAAAACAGUCAUCAAAACAUAUAUAAUUACUAUAAAAAGUGACUAUUUUAAAAAAUAACCGUCAUUAAAAAUAUAUAUUUAAUGACAAUUAGUGAACCGUCAUAAAAAACAUACCCUCUUUAAUGUUGGUGCCUAAGAUGACCGUCAUAAAAGAUUAAUUUUGUAGUAGUGAAGCAAGGAAAACACAAGGAAUAACAAUAUUGUUAUUCCUCAGUCACUGGGGCGCCAACAACAUCAUGUACACCUAAAACCAGAAUAGAUUUAACAGCUUAAAAGGCAGAAUGUUCAACACCUUCAUAGUCAUUUCCAAUGGCAAGGGAAAGGCUUGCAACAUUAUCAAAACUUAAAUUUCUUGGAUACAUUCUUUUUAGCGAAAUAACAUAUGAAAGCAAAACUAUAUCUAAUUUUUUCUAUUCACCUAAGAAUUAAUUAUAUCUACAAAAAAGUCAUAAUAACACAUCUUUAAAAAUAUUUCACAAUAUGAUUACAGAAGUGUUUGUUAUGCCCCUGAAGGAUCCGCCUUGCGCGCAAUCGUGAUUUCACGCACCUCUUUUUUUUUUUCAUAUCCAAUCAUUAGAUUCAACGCGGGAGUUGUAAAAGGUGUUAUAGCUGCAUGAAGAUAAUCACUACUAACGUUGUAGCCCUUCCUAUUUUAUGAAAUUAUAAGGAAAUGUUAGGUUUUAAAAUUUUAACACAUAAGCCCUAUCUAUUAUUUUAUGGGUCAACACUAUUUUAUGAAAUGAACAUAUUUAAAUAUUAAUACUAUAGAUGGAUUACUUUAACUUAUUAAAAUACUCUACACACCCAUUUACUUCAAAUACGAAAUUGGAUUACAAUAUUCUUAUCUUUUGUUUACUUUAACACAGGAUUGGACAAGGUCUUACAUACGUUUUGGCAAUUUAAAGUGAAUAUAUAUUAAAUAAAUGCUUUGAUAGCAAUUUACGUGUCGCUAUACAAUCUAUGUUUAGUACAUUCAAAAUAAAUAAUUUCUAUAUGUAAAUUUGAAUUUAUUUCAAAUUACUUAUACCUAGUGUCAUUUAUGAGUCCAACAUUUUUUUUAGAAAAUUAUUAUCCCAAUUAUUCAUUUAAUGUGAAAACAAAUAAAUUGUGUAAUAUUUAUGCUAUUAUUUAAUUUUAAGCUUGUCAACAAUGAACAAUACUGUAAAAUAAUAUAUUAUGGGAGAAUGUCCUAUCAAAAAAUUAUUUUAUCAAAUAACUUACUUUUACGGCUUCUAACAUAACCAUAUCUUCUGUUGUUAACAUAAAAUUACAUUCGACCAUAUUGCUUUUACUUCUCUCUAACAUUUUCACAAGUAUCCUUACUUCACUAGUUUGAGAAAUGUUCUAAGCUUAUUUAGCGACUUGCAUGCUAGAAGUCGUCUAAGUGUCGCAUGAGUUUACUGCGCAAAACACUCAUCCCGUGACAGACUGCUAAUAAAAAUAGAUAGGAUAGGGUGUUUGGUUCAACAAGCCCAAGAUAGUUUUCUCUUUAUUUUUUUUCCUCUUUUAACUUAUCCUUCACCUCAAUUUAGAUUGUCAUUCUUGGUUGAUCAUAAUUUAUUUAUUUUAUUAUUAUUAUUAUUACUACUACUACUACUACUACUACAUGGUAUUUAAUUGUUCUUCACAUUUUUUUUAUAUGGUUUUCAUUUACUUAACUCACACUCCUAUUUUCCACAAAAAAGAAUUAUAGGGCAACUUAACUGUAAAUUCAAGCAAGGCUAGUUUCGGGAUUAAAAUUGAUAUUUCGCCCUUUUUUCCCACUAAGGGUAUGUUUGGCGGGCGGGUCUACAAGGGUCUGUCUUGUAAGAUAAAUUAAGACUCGUGUUUGGUUGCAAAAAACAAUUGCCUGGCUUGAAAAGAUUGUGCGGCAAUUGAGGUGUAAAAAAGACCCGCCUCCCCCUGCGUGUCUAAAUUGUACAUCUCUUUUUCUAUUUUAACUAUUAUUUAUAUUAGUUAUUAAAUUCAAUACAAAUCAAAUAUAAUAUUUCUUUAACAUAUUAAUUUAUGUUUAAUUGAUGAAUAAGAAAAGAUGCUGAAAUUUACUGCAGAUAAUUAUAUUUUUAUUAAUAAAUCUAAAUAAUAUAUUAACUUAAUAUUAAAAUAUUUAUUAAAUUCAUAUAAUAGUUAUUUAAAAACUAAAUAAAUAAUAGCUAUUUAUUAUUAUUUAAUAAUUUUAAAUAAUAAAAAUAUAUAUAAUAUAUUCCAUACUCUACCAAACAUGGUACUGUAUCAUUUAAUACAUUCCAAUACAAUAUAUUUUAUUACAAUUCAAUACAGUCCAAUACAGUGCGGCACACCAAACGCACCCUAAGUGCGGAAUGCAUUACCUGAUCACUUAAAUCCACUUCCAAAUAUUUUCAUCACUAUUUUCGAAAAUUUCAAAUCAAACCCCAACCCGUACUCGCACGCUUCCAGCGACUUGUUUACAACCAUUGCUUGGAUGCGUUACUUGUUAAAUAACUUCCAACCCAUUACAUGUGUUAUUUUGUCAAAAAGUUGAUUCCCUGCAGCUUACCGGCCCAUUGCCUUUUUGUCAGGUUAUUCCCUAACGUCUAUGUGUCUCUUCUGCAGCCGUGAGAUGAAAUCCAACGGUGACUGUGCUACAAAACAAACGACUGGGGUAACAAACCCAUGACGCAAUAUAGCUGCCCCCGAAUAAUGAUAUUAAAGAGUAGAUACUUUGUUUUUCCACCUUAUUUUUAUCUGUUUAUUUCUUUAUGAUAUUAAUGCAUUAUUAAUUUUUUUUUUUUUGGAUCAGGUCAGGGGGCAGAAACUGAAUGAUAGAGUAGAGGUUGUUACUCUGAAGUCAUGUUUGCUCAGAUGGUUGAAGGUAGGUGAAGCUCUCUCAUGUCCAAUUUUCUAAAUAAAAAAAAUCUCAUACAUGUGGACGUGGGUCUUAUUUUAUUUGUUAUUUUGUAAGUAACUUAUAACCGUUUCACAUAAAUAGUGAAUAGACCCACAUCACUCACUAUUCAUAUAAGAGAAUUGUAAAUUAUAUGCAUGUAACUUAACAUUAAUCUAUUUUUAAUUAUUAACAUUUAAAGCUUUUUGGUUGUGCAUUCAUUGCCAUACUAUUUCAGUAAACUAUAUUAAUUUUCUUGUAUGUUUUUUAGAUUUUUUAAUUCGAAAUUAUUUUUUUAAUAUUGUUGAAAAAGACAGGUUAAAGUAAAAAAAAUAUUGACUAAAUAAAUAAAUGACAGUAUUUUAUUUUUUACAUUCAAAAAAAAAAACUAAUUGGAUGCAGUCCACUUAGUCCUGCACACUUGGAAAGUUACCAUGCUUUUUAGAGCUGUACAUUUUAGACUCAGCUGUCCUUUGUCAUUUCAAGUAAAAGUUGAAGCUGUCGCAAAAGUACAAUAAUAACGUGGUUAAUGCUAUGUAACUUAUAAUCAUCUAGUGAAUAAUGUGGAAUUACUAUUUAUAUAUGAGGAUUGUAAAUUACAUAUACGUAACUUUAGGGGAUCCUAAUAACGUGCAUUUAAGUAACAGGCCUAAACUUUAGAAAUUUCAAAAGCUAUAGUAUACGCAGGUCACAUCUACGACCAUUAUUAGUUUAAUCAUUAAAUGACAAAAUUUUGCCAAUCUUGAGGGGGUACUUAAAAAUGCAAGCAUCUCGUCCCUUGCCUGCUUCAUAGAUGCUCUUACUCAUCCCCCCUCAUCUCACUUGUGCAAACCAAAGAAAAAAGAAAGAUUAUUAUUUUCCUUUUAUUGCGGAAAAAAACAAUAAUUCCUUUUUACUGCUCCAUGUUUAUUAUUUUAUUCUAUUUCUCCAGAAUCUCUCUUUAUCAAUUAAAUUUAUGUUAUAGAUAUUAAAGAUUUGCUUAAAUCAGAAAACUUGUUCAUAGUUUUGGUCAAUAUAAUACAUCCCUUAAAAGGUAAACAUAGGAAAAAAAAAACAAGAAUGAUGGUUUUUUUUUUUUUGACUGUUUUAGGCAAUAAAGAAAUAUUUUGAAAGGGUCGGAGAUUACAAUGAAUUUGCUUACUUGUGGAAAUUUUUUUUAAGGCAUAAAUAAGUGCAACUUGAGAGCAUUUUGUUUUUGUUCCACUAUACAUUUUAUACAACUGCCGCCUUAGAUUGGGUGCAUCACUUCAUUAUAUAAUCAGUAAAAAUUAAUUAUAUAAAUGGAAUCAUUCUCUAUUACAAUUAUUCGACUUCCUGAAGUAACAACUGAUGUUUUUUACCACAUUGUCAAAAGAGUUCAACUUUUAUUUGAGAAUACACCAUAUAAAAGAAAAAGAAAAAAAUAAAACAAGAGUACACAGAAAAAAAUAAAACAAGUUUUAGAAUUAGUAGAUUAGAAUUGUUAUAAGAAAGAGUUGUCCCUAUAACUUCAAUAACCUAGCCAUGUUUCUGAAGUUUGUUUUACUAGCCUUACCAAACUUUUUCUAGUUGAUAUUCAAUUUUUUUUUUUUUUCUAGUCAAGCAUACUUAAUUGAACAGUCAAUUCAACAUGAAAACGAUUUGUCGCUUUAUGAUCCUAAUUUUCAACCAGCCGUAAAUUUUAAUCUAUUAAAAAAAAUUAGUUGGUGGAAAUGUAAACAGAAGCAAGAAGGUUAGAAUUAAUAACUUUAUCAUGAAUAAUUAAUAUGAUUAGAAUUUAAUAAAAUUAUAUGUAAAAGCUUAUUUCAAGAGCAAAAACUUUAUUUUUUUAUCAUUUUUUAGUGCUUAUAAUUAUAACUAGAAAAUAGAACCGCACUUCGUGCGGCUUUAAAAAAAAUUAGUAUUAUUUUUUUAUUACUUUGUAAUUGAUGAAACUAAUAAAAAAUAUGAAUUAUUUUUUUUAAAGAUGACGCAGUCUUAUAAAACUAAUGUUAUUUAUGAAAGUUAAUUAUUUUUUUGUUAACAUUAAAAAUAUAUAUUAAUGUGUAUAGUUAAGUGUACACAACCUUUUCAUCAAUAAAAAUUAUGUUCACACUAAUCAACUCUCCAUUUUUCUUAGUAUUAACAGACUCUCACAUCUUACAAAGUCUAACCCUUAUUAUCCAACUAUCUUUAUCAUUGUUUAACUCAUGAAGAAAAUAGUACUCCAUGAAGCAUACAUUACUAAAAAUUUAAAUAAGUCAAAAAAUAAAAACACAAAAACAUUUCUAAAGAGAAUGUUGGUUAAAUAAUAAAAAAAACUCAAACAUAACAAAUCUUAAAUGCUUAAUAUUUAUAGAGCUUGAAGAAGCCAAAAGAUACUAAAUAAAAGGUUGCAUAAUUAAAUAUAGGAUUAUGACAUUAAAAUUAGGUCAUAGGGCAUUGGUGAGGGAAGAGGAAGGAACAUUCCUUCCUAUAUUAAUUAGUUGAUGUAUUUUAAACCACUAAAGUUUAUUUGUUGGCUUAAUAAAAUAAAUGAAUGUUUCAAAAAUUAUAAUUAAUUUAUUAUUAAUGGUUAUAUAUUGUUGAAUUUAAAUAGAAAGAGGAAGAGGCAUGUAAUCUAUUAAUUAUUUUAUAUUUUUAAUAUUUUGUAAUGUAAUUAUUUUUUAAUCUCAACCAAUAUAUUAGAUAAUAGAGAAUAUAAAAAGAUGAGAAAUAAUAAUGUCACAAAUCUUAACUACUUAAUAUUUAUAGAGUUUGAAGAAGUCAAAAGGUACUAAACAAAAGGUUGCAUAAUUAAAUAUGAGAUUAUGUCAUUAAAAUUAGACUCUAAUGGCGUUAUUGAGGGAAGAUGAAGGAAAAUUCCUUCCUAUAUUAAUUAAUUGAUAUAUUUAAGCCACUAAAAUUUAAUUGUUGGCAUAAUAAAAUAAAUAAAUGUUUCAAGAUUUAUAAUUAAUUAUUAUUAAUGGUUACAUAUUAUUGAAUUUAAAUGGAAAGAGAAAGAGACAUGUAAUCUUUUAUAAUCUAAUAAUUAUUUUUAUUUUUAAUAUUUUAUAAUGUAAUUAUUUUUUUAAUAUCAACCAAUUUAUUAGAUAAUAGAGAAUACAAGAAGAUGAGAAAUAGUGAUGUCAUAUCACCUCCUCUAGUCCCAACUUUAUAUAUAUAUAUAAAAUUACUUUCUUCAGCCUUACCCAUCAAAUCCUGGAUUGAAGUGGUUGAAGAACAUGGCUCCCAAUACAAAUCUAUUUCUUCUGAUGACCAAGUAAAGCAAUGGAUGAAUUCCAUUACAAAAUCUCCUAAGCUCAUGCUCGCCCUCCAAAACCUUUCUCAAAGCCAAAUUUCUCCUAAAAAAGAAAUUGAAAUUUCAAAGCCCUCUUCCCAAAAUGUUGUUGUCUCUGCUGAAAGCUCAUCUUCCCAAAUUGUGCUUUCUCAGCCAACACCUUCAAAGAAAACCUCCGAUUGGUUUGAUAAAACCCAUUUUCAAAACAUUAUUUCUAUGGAAGAUGGAUUUUACCAUACUGAUCCUUUUCAAAGCAUUUCAAAGUUUUUCCCCAAAGGCUGGUUUUUCAAACCAUGGGAUUUAACAAAACCCCAGUCUUAUUAUCAAAGCAUUUUGGAAAUAACUGAAUCAGUUAAAUUCAAACAUUUCUUUCUUGACAAAGCCCAUCCAGAACCGGCUUAUUCCACGGCCACAAUCCUAAAAGUUUUGAGCCCAAAUCAGUGGGGUGACCUACUCCACAGUUAUAAAACCUUCCCUUUAAAUUUUGAGACCCGUUUACCACAUUGUCGGACCUUCUCCUAUUGGGACUACCAACAAGCGUGGUAUAACACCUUUUUUAUCCAGAACCCUAAAAAAUCCCAUUCUUGGUUAUUUUUCUUCAACACAAAAAUAACCGUUCAAAGUCUCCCAAAUUGGUUUCAUCACUGGUGGAAUCUUUUUGGCCCAAUUCCACAAAUCCUAACACCAAACGCCACAAAUUGCCUAAACACCUUCAAAGCCCAUUAUUUACCUUCUGACUCAGAAAAAAGAUUUCCCCCCUUUCUUUGCUUUUGUGCAAAUUUCUUCCUACCUUGGGUUUGUUCGUGGAACCUCCGUUUCCAUACCCAAGAUUCCCAAGUCAUUCUUCAAAGAACUUUUAAAGUCAAAUGGUGGUCAAAGUUUGAUGAACAGUCCAAAUUGACCGUUGACAUGAUCAAGGACUGGCUUUCCUCUAAAGGCCUCCUCCAACCUACCAUAACCACCUCUAAAGCCCAACAAACCUUCUUAACCCAGAAAUCCAAAGCCCAGUCACUGUUGGCAGGUGCCAAGACUGAAGAUGAGUAUUUGAAAGCCAUGGAACAGCUCCUCGCCUCGCGCUCAAAGUCCUCCGUUGCAGCUUCCUCUGAAGAUGAAGACGAAGAGGAUGAUGAUGUCGAAGAGCCUUUCAUUUCUCUCGGAGAUGACAAUGAAGAUGACUGUUUCGGCAUUUUCUCUCCGAUAAAGCAUUGUAAAUAAUUAUUUGAUUAUUUACUUAAAAAAAAAAAAAGAAAAAAAAAAGAGAAAAGUUAUUUAUUUUCGGGUGGUCCUCUGGACACAAGUGAGAGCGCACAUGUCUCUUCACCCGUAUCGUACUAUUCAAAGCUACGAUCCAUUUGUUACUGUGCACUUAAAACUCCGCUACAGUGAACAGUGCAGUUUGCCAGAUGUUACUGUGCACUUAAAAUCCCGCUACAGUGAACAGUUUAAAAGUCUUGUAUAUAAACCAAGAGGAAGACUAAGACUCCUCAGGUUUUUUCAUUUCUCUUCUUCUCUUCCUUCUCUCUAAAACUCUCUCUCUCUCUCUAAAGUCCGAAGAGUUCAAAGAAAUUUUCUGCUUACACAAUAGUUCUAUCACAGAGCUUUGGGUGAUCAGACUAGUUCUUUAUCUUCAAUCUUCCCGUCUUUCAAUCUUCCCUUCUGGAAAGAUUUGAAAAUUUGUAAAAGCCAACCAAAGCAAAGAUGUAUGUUUAAAUUUCAGUUCUUUAAAUUUUUUAAAGUUCAAUGUAAUUUAAAUUUUCGCAAUUUACUUUAAAGCAUUUACUUUUCUGCAAUUUAAUUUUAUGCACAUUUAAAUUCCAGCAAUUUAUUUUAAAGCACUUUUCUUUUCAAAGCAUGCUUGCAGACUGAUCUGUAUCAGAUCUGCCAUAUAAAUUCUACAUUCCUCUGAGGCAAAGAGACCGGAUCUCGAUCCUCAGUUGUAAAUCUUCUCUUCUCCCUCCAUUCCUUCAGAGCACCAUUUCCGGGAUCCGGAUCUGGUACUGUGUAUGUACCCAAACCUUUAAAAGAACCUAAUCUAAAUAUGAUAAUAGCCCAAUAAAAAGAAUCAACCACGUUUAAAGCAACUUAACUUUAUUUGGUAAAAUAAAGCUGAUUUGGUAUAUCGGCUGGAAACCCGAACGUGCGGACUAUUGAUCUGUUCUAAGUCAGAUCUGGGUCCAAAGGCUUUACUUUGUGUAGCAUCGGUCUGGUUUAACAACGCCACGUACCAAUUAGUUAUAAAAAUUUGACCAACCGCGUUCAAAUUUGUUUGAACACUGUAUGAUCUAAAGCAAUUCUACUAAGCAAUUCUACUUAUAUUCAAAGCUGGUAAUUUAUUUUAAAAUUUGGAAAAGCCGAUCCAUUAAUUGUUUAAUUUGAGUUUUUAAUAUUGAAAUCCAACGAAAACACAUCCAUCCUUCGAUCCUAUUUCCUUCUGGUAUAUAUAUAUAUAGAUUUUUAAUAUUUUGUAAUGUAAUUAUUUUUUUAAUCUCAACCAAUAUAUUAGAUAAUAGAGAAUAAAAAAAAAGAGAAAUAAUGAUGCCACAAAUCUUAAAUAUUUAAUGUUUAUAGAGUUUGAAGAAGCCAAAAGGCACUAAACAAAAGAUUGAAUAAUUAAAUAUGAGAUUAUGACAUUAAAAUUAGGCUCUAAUGGCAUUGUUGAGGGAAGAUGAAGGAACAUUCCUUCAUAUAUUAAUUAAUUAAUGUAUUUUAAGCCACUAAAAUUUAAUUGUUGGCAUAAUAAAAUAAAUGAAUAUUUCAAGACUUAUAAUUAAUUAUUAUUAAUGGUUACAUAUUGUUGAAUUUAAAUAGAAAGAGGAAAAGACAUGUAAUCAUUUAUAAUAUAAUAAUUAUUUUCUAUUUUAAUAUUUUGUAAUGUAAUUAUUUUUUUAUUUUUUAAUUUCAACCAAUUUAUUAGAUAAUAGAGAAUAUGAAAUGAUGAGAAAUGUUGAUGCCACAUCACCUCUUGUAGUCCCAACUUUAUAUAUAUAUAUAUAUAUAUAGAUUAAUUCAUAUAUUUUAUGCCACUAAAGUUUAAUUGCUAGCAUAAUAAAAUAAAUAAAUGUUUCAAAAGACUUAUAAUUAAUAUUAUUAAUGAUUACAUAUUGUUGAAUUUAAAUAGAAAGAGAAAAAAAUUACAAAGAGCAUCCACCAAUAUUUUAGAUAUUUUAGAUAAUAGAAAAUGUAAAAAGAUGAGGAAUGAUAUAUAUUAAUAAAGUUACUAUUUAUUAAAUGAGUUAAAUACAAUCAAAUUAAUUAUGAGAAGAUGAAAAGUCAAAUCUAAAAAAAAUCUCUAUUUAUUAGAUAAUAGAGAAUGUACAAAGAAGCAAAAUGGUGAUGCCACAUCACCUCCUCAAGUCCUAACUUUAUAUAUAUAUAUAUAUAGAUAGAUUAUUAUUAAUGAUUGCAUAUUGUUUAAUUUAAAUAGAAAGAGAAAAAAAGUACAAAGAGUAUCCACCAAUAUUUUAGAUAUUUUAGAUAAUAGAAAAUAUAAAAAGAUGAGGAAUGAUAUAUUUUAAUAAAGUUACUAUUUAUUAAAUGAGUUAAAUACAAUCAAAUUAGUUAUGAGAAGAUGAAAAGUCAAAUCUAAAAAAAAAAUUCUCUAUUUAUUAGAUAAUAGAGAAUUUACAAAGAAGCAAAAUAGUGAUGCCACAUCACCUCCUCAAUUCCUAACUUUAUAUAUAUAUAUAAAUAGAUAUAGAUAUAUAGAUUUAAUCUAGAAGUAUUUUAAUUAUAAAAAAUAUUUUUAAAAAUAAGUUUGACGAAUAGUUUAGUGCUUAUAAUUAUUUUCUACUUAUAAUUAAGUUAAUAUUUAAUAGAAAGAACUAAAAUAAUAAAAGAAAAAACCUUUGCCCGGCAAUUCCUUGUUAUUUACAUUUUUGGCACUGUCCUUGACAGAGGACUACACCGAGGAAUCUCAGGCCGUGGCACACGUGCGGCGGCUUCUCGACAUCGUCGCGUGCACCACACGGUUCUCCAAGUCCAGAAACUCCCGAUUGCCGCCAUCGUCAGAGUCAUGUGCCAGAAAGAACGGCAGUAGGCCCCACCCGCCUUCACCAAACUCUGCCGCUCUGUCUGAUGGAGCAGCAACAGCAGCAGCAGAUAACCGAAGCGGGACCCGCGCCACGUCAUCGCCAGUUUCAUCGGCGGUUUCUCCGAGUCUGGACAUGGCGGCCAUUCACCCGACGCCAAAACUCUCCGAGUUUUAUGACUUCUUCUCUUUCUCUCACCUCACUCCCCCCAUCUUAAGUAAGCCUAAUGUUCAUUUAUUUAUUUGUCUUCGUUUUUUACAUGGUUGAUAAAAAAAAAAGGAAAAUGAUAUAAAUAUAUGUGAUUUUUUUGAAUAUGAAAUUUGUUUAUUGAUUUUAAUUUUUAAUAAUUUUGAUUUUGAAGAUUUGAGAAAAUGUGAACGCAAAGAAGGAGACAAGCGCGACAGUGAUUAUUUUGAAAUUCAGGUGCCAUUUAAUAUAAAGUUCUGAUUAUUGUGGUUUGUUGUUGAAGGACUAAUUAAUGUUAUUUUUGCUGAUGAAUUGGCCAAUGAGUGUUAAAGAUUUAAUAAUCAUUGUCUGCUAAUUAAUAAGAAUGCAUGGAUUAUUUUCAUGUCUUUGUAAGUAAUGUGAGUAUUUGAAAGUGCGGGAAACUGUAUUUUGUGCUUACAGAUAAAAAUCUGCAAUGGAAAGCUUAUACAAGUAGUUGCAUCAGUAAAAGGGUUCUAUACUUUGGGAAAGCAGUUUUUCCAAAGCAACUCCCUGGUGGAUCUUCUGCAAAAUCUCAGUCGAGCUUUUGCCAAUGUGGGUACUCAAUAGUUGAAUCUACAGAUUAUUUUUUUCUUUUUUAUCUGAAUGCAUCUUUUUUUCCUCUGUAAAUUCAAUUAGCUUAUCCUUCAAUUGUUUUGUUAAUAAUUAUGGUCAUUAUGCGUGAUGCAGGCAUAUGAAUCCCUAAUGAAAGCUUUUGUUGAACAUAAUAAGGUAACAAUUUCUGUGCUGACAUAGUUUAUUACCAAUUCAAAUGUGAUUUUAACUUGAUUUUACUGAUAUAGUAUAUUCAUUAUCCUUCUUCAGUUUGGUAAUCUUCCCUAUGGAUUUCGAGCUAAUUCAUGGCUUGUACCUCCAUCUGUUGCUGAGUCUCCAUCAAAUUUCCCAUGCCUACCGGCAGAAGAUGAGAAUUGGGGUGGCAAUGGCGGAGGCCAGGGAAGAGAUGGAGAACAUGAUUUACGACCAUGGGCGACGGAAUUUGCUAUACUGGCUAGGCUUCCUUGCAAAACUGAAGAGGAGAGGGUGGUUAGAGAUCAGAAGGCCUUUUUGCUUCAUAACCAAUUUGUUGAUGUCUCAAUUUUUAAAGCUGUUGGAGCAAUACGCCGUCUCAUUGAUUCAAAUUUACACACUCAAGAUACAAUCAAUGUCCAAAGGGGGGCAAUCUUGCAUGAAGAUCGUGUGGGAGACUUGUCCAUUACAGUAAAACGUGAUACAGUAGAUGCAAGCUUGAAGUCUGAGGUUACUAUUAAAGGAAAUCAGUCAUCCGGUAUGUCUGCUGCAGAUGUUGCUCAAAGGAAUUUACUAAAAGGUGUUACUGCAGAUGAGAGUGUAGUUGUUCACGUAAGUCGAUUUCUCCUUUACUUCUUAUGCUUACGUUCACAGAACACACACAUAAAAGACAUUCAUCAAAGCUGAAAUUACUUACGUGGGCGGAAUAAUAUAGCUCUACCUUUGUCAGGGAGUGUUUUUUCAGUCGGAUUAAGAUGUUUCACUCUGUAUCGGAUAUCUAGCAUUUGAUGAUGGCCUAAAAUACCCAUCCUCUUCAUUCUCUCUUUCUACACAUUUAUGAAUGCACAAGAAAGUCAAUUUUAGGUUCUUUCCUAAGAAUCACUACUCGUUACAAACCUUAUAUAUCUGGUUUAGCUUCAUGAAUCUUAUGUGCCAUUCUGUUUGGUGACUCCCUAUUCUGUUGAAAUCACUUGAUAGCAGGUCUUUCUACUCAUUUUAUCCAUAUCCCUCUGAUUUUCCGCUUGUAGUUUGCUCCAGCUUAAUGUCAUCAACCCUUUUUGGGGAAGCCUAUUAACCUUGGUUGGGCAUGCUUGUAUUAUAUCAACUAGUGAUACAAUUGCUAAAGUUUUCAGCAUGGUAGAUCUUGAAAUAAAAUUUUCUUGAAAUAUCUAGAUUUAUCUUCCUUUUCUUUUUCUCUUUCUUUUAUUUUAGUUUGAAAGAUUUUGUGAUAAAGAGAACUGAAACAAUAUAGUUUUUGGCAGGAUACCUCCUCAUUGGGUACCGUCAUUGUAAGACACUGUGGAUACACCGCUGUAGUAAAGGUUGUUGGUGAUGUGACGGAGAAGUUUGGCACACAAGAUAUUGAAAUUGAAGAUCAACCUGAUGGAGGAGCUAAUUCUCUUAAUAUUAACAGGUCUGAAAUUGUAACACAAUUCUUCCUCUGUCGAUUCCUCUUAGCACACAAAGACUAGGAAAUCUACAGAUAGAGAAUGGCUGUAAGAUAUGAAAAAUUAUCUUUCAACCACUAACCGUUUUAAGCUAUUCUGCAAGAUAUCUUAGAAAUGCUAACUGGUAUGAGCUUCUUUGCUUAGUGUCUAUCACAGUUGAAUUCAUGAUGCAGAGCAUUGUUAUUCUCUUUAUUUUUACCAAAUAGAACAGGAUUGAAAUGCUGGUGUUGGGGAUUCUUAAGAAAGGAUAGCACCUGUUCCUUUUUCUUCCUGUUUAGAUGGGAUCUAAUCAGUAGAUGUCUGAACUCUUAAGGGGAGUUGAUGUCAGAUUUCUAAACCAGGUUUUCUUCAAGUGUUAAGUUUAUGAAUAGGCCAAAGAAAAGAAAGCUGAUAUCUAGUUAGGGAUAUGUACUCCUCUUUCAGCAUCCUAUGGACCAGAAAAUGGCUUUUCCUCCAUUAAAAUAGGUGCGAGAUUCUUCACUGUAUGGGGAUGCUUCACCUCUGCAUAGUUGUAGACCACCUAAAAAAUAACGAGUGGUUGCAGGAAACAUUAAGUCAUGGCUUUCACAAUAAUGGUUGAGUGUUUAUAGUUAUGUGCCCUGACAUUGGUUUGUAAUUGUUAUAUUAACAAAAUAACCAACAGACAUCGUUGAUGAUGUUCAAAUAAAGGAUAAAGGAAAGUAUAAUUACAGUGGAUGCUCAGUUGCUGAAAUAGGUCAUCAGCUUUUUGGAUUGUGCUAUUUCAGAAAGUAUUUAGACCUUCUUUGGUGGAUUCUGCCUUUGUUUCAUAUACUCUUAUAUCUUUCUCCAUUUAAGUUCUGACAGGGUAAACUAUUUAUUGCAGCUUAAGGCUUGUACUUCAGAAGUCUUUCAGUGCUGAAUCAGCUAGAGGAGACCGGUCACCUCUGUGCAAUUUGGAUAAUUCAGAAGCUCUUAGAAGUCUUGUACGAAGAGUUAUUAAACAGAGUUUAGCAAAGCUAGAGCUGGAGCCAACUGCAUCAGAAAGAUCUAUUAGAUGGGAACUUGGUUCUUGUUGGGUGCAACAUCUACAAAAGCAGGAAACCCUAACAGAUACCAAGUCAAUGAGGUCUGGCGAUGAUAUUGAGACUGAACAUGCUGUCAAAGGUCUUGGGAAGCAAUUUAAAUUUUUGAAGAAGAGGGAGAACAGACCUAACCUUGUUGGCAGCAAUAAUGAGGCUAACGAAGAUGACAAUGGACCGUGCAGCAUGAAUGUGGGAACUAAUGGCAGACAGCAAAGCAAUGGCGAGCUCAAUUGUGAGAUGGAAUUGAAAAAACUAAUUUCUGAAGAAUCCUUCUUGCGAUUGAAAGAAACUGGCACUGGCCUUCAUUCAAAGGUUUCAAAAUCUCAAGUUUGUUUUGCAUUUCAACUGUAAAGUUUGCUACUUUUUGUGUUUUCAUUAUGCUAAAUUUGGUUUGUUUUAUUUUCAUAUGGAACUGGUAAAAUUAAUUUCUUGUGCAGGCAGUGGAUGAGCUUAUGAAAAUGGCAUACAAAUAUUAUGAUGACAUUGCUUUACCAAAGCUGGUACUAUUUAAUUUAUUUAGGGCCUUUGUUGCAGCCAAUUUAGACGUGUGGGGAUGGUUUAUGGACUAAUUUCCAUUCUUUAUUAGGUAACAGACUUUGGAUCACUUGAACUUUCUCCGGUUGAUGGCCGCACACUGACAGACUUUAUGCAUUUAAGGGGACUACAAAUGCGCUCUUUAGGUCGCGUGGUGAGGAAUUUCUCCCUCUCUUUCUCUCUCAGACAUGCAACCUAUUCACCCGUGGAAAUCAGAAUAAACAAAUGUUGUCUUUCUUUAUGUAAACAAAGCCCCUAAGUUAUCUUUCUAUAUGUAAACAAUCUCCCCAAGUCUUCCUGGAUUGAAUUAUCAAUGUUCCUUUUUGAAAAUUGUACUACAUGAUAGAAUUUUUGACAUGGUGACCUUUUCCAAGAUAUUGAAUUAUUGUCGUCUUUAGAUAUUACUGUAUGUUGUAUGACAUACAAUAUUUUGAGAAAUUGACAUGCUAAUACUUGAAAGCCUGGUAUUCUUCUUCUGUUGGUUCUAAUCCCAUUUACAAAUUCAGGUUGAACUUGCAGAGAAGCUUCCUCACAUACAAUCACUUUGUAUUCAUGAGAUGGUUACUCGAGCGUUCAAGCAUGUACUUAAAGGAGUCAUCGCAUCUGUUGACUAUUUAUCAGACCUAUCUGCAGCUAUAGCUUCUUCCCUAAAUUUCUUAUUUGGCUGUUGUGAGAUGGAAGAUGAGCAAAGCUUGAAUGAAGAUCAUAUCCUUAGAUUGCAGUGGCUACGAACAUUUCUUGGCAGAAGAUUUGGUUGGUCCCUGAAAGACGAGUUUCUGCAUUUGAGAAAGAUUUCAAUUCUACGUGGGCUUUGCCAUAAGGUAAGGUACUGUCUUUUCGGUUCCUUUGGCAGCGGAUUAUUUUCAAAGCUUGAAUUUUGCUUGUAAACUUUACCCAGGUUGGGUUGGAGUUGGUUCCAAGAGAUUAUGAUAUGGAAUGCCCAAACCCAUUCACGAGAGAUGAUAUUGUCAGCAUGGUUCCUGUGUGCAAGGUGAGACUAUUUUCUCUCUUAAUUGUGUUUUGAUUUAGUUUUUACAUUCUCAAUGAGUCACUCAUUUGUAAAUUGAAUGUAAUUGUGCUAUUUUUAUGGCAUUCUACAGCAUGUAGGUUGCACUUCAGCUGAUGGGCGGACUUUAUUAGAGUCAUCCAAAAUUGCCCUUGAUAAAGGAAAACUAGAAGAUGCUGUAAAUUAUGGGACAAAGGUAAUAACCCACUCGAUCUAUACGUAAGAAUUACAUUAUUCUUUUCAUAAUAAGGCAUCUCUUGAUCUCAUAUGAUGUAUUACUUGCAUUGUAAGGCACUGGCAAGGAUGAUAGCUGUUUGUGGUCCCUACCAUCGGACUACUGCAAGUGCUUACAGUCUUCUAGCUGUAGUUCUCUACCAUACUGGAGACUUUAAUCAGGUACGACAAUCUUCAGUUGUAUUUCAGUGUUAACUUGGUGAUUCUAAGUCGAGUAUAAUUAUAACGUCCUUCUGUACGGAGAUUCUCAUUCAGUGGGACAUUUGAUUUGAAACUGUGUUAUGGCUAGUUUUUAUGGUCUUGUAUAAAGAUAUGCAUUAGAAAUUAUAAUUUUCUGGACUUAGGAAUUACAUGGACAGGCAUUAGCAUGAUUUUGAUAUCAGAUUAUAUAUUUUAACUAAAUCAAACACGUUCAUAGUUCUUAUGUUCUGGCAUUUGGUCUAAUGGCAUCUGCGUCUGAGUGUGAGAGUGGCGUUCGUAUGUACUCAAGAUAUCUUCUUCUUCAUUUUAGGCAACUAUAUAUCAGCAGAAGGCAUUGGAUAUUAAUGAGAGGGAACUUGGUCUUGACCAUCCAGAUACAAUGAAAAGCUAUGGGGAUCUUUCAGUUUUCUAUUAUCGCCUUCAACACAUUGAAUUGGCUCUUAAGUAAGUAGCACUGCUUGAUUUACCAGAGCAACUUUGUGAUUUUCAUUCUUUAACUGAUUAAGGUUUAUUUAUUUAUAAAUUAAAUUGGAAGUUUCAAAAAAUGUGACCUUUGUAUUGAAUCUGCUUCGAACGAAUGCAGUUUUUAUCUACCUACUUUAGCUUUCAUUUGUCUUUUAUUGGCUCUAGCUCCUGAUCAUACCGUACCAUUGGCAGAUAUGUAAAUCGUGCCUUAUUCCUUUUGCAUUUUACUUGUGGACUUUCACAUCCAAACACGGCUGCAACAUACAUAAAUGUGGCUAUGAUGGAAGAGGGCAUGGGAAAUGUUCAUCUUUCUCUUAGAUAUUUGCAUGAAGCCCUUAAAUGCAACCAAAGACUAUUAGGAGGUGACCAUAUACAGGUUUUUCUCUCUCUAUUUACGCAUGUAUACAGACUCUUUAGAAUUAUAAAUCUUUCUGUUAACUCAGAAUUUUGUUUGAUUUCUUCACGUGACAGACAGCUGCAAGUUAUCAUGCCAUAGCCAUAGCUCUUUCUUUGAUGGAGGCAUAUUCACUAAGUGUGCAACAUGAGCAAACUACACUUAAGAUUCUCCAAGCAAAGCUUGGACUAGAAGAUCUGCGUACUCAGGUGACUACAUGUAGUCAUAUUUUAAUUGGUUCUGUUGUGCAAUUUGGCUAGUUGGCUUCUUUCUUGUCAAUCUUUUACAGGUGAUAUUAUGAUAUAAAACAAAUUGUAUUGGAGGCAUAUUUUUGGUGUCAAAUAUGGAUAUGACUCAUUCAUUAAUUGUAUCGAAAUAUCAAAAUACGGAUAUGACCCGUUUAUUAAUCGUGUUGACUUGUUUAAUAUUAAAUACAAACAAAUUAAAAAUUAAUUUUAAAAUAACAAAUGUGUCAAAAAAAUGAGUUAUAAAUAAGUGAAAAUGACAUAAGUAUGACAUGAAUAAGUUUAUAACAUAAUGUGAGUAUGACAUGAGUCAUUAAUUUAGUGUUUAGUAUAUAUUUUAGUUUUUUUUUUCCAAUAAUAUUAACACAUAAUAAUUGAUAUUUGUGUUAUAAAUGUAUAAUCAUAUUGAGAUGGUCCAAAACAGAUACGACAUGGUUAUUUAUCGUGUUGUGUCAACUCAUUUAUUAAUCGUGUCAAUAUUUGUCAACACGAAUAUGGGUCAUAUGUCAUAUUAUGUUGUGUAAUCGUGUCGUAAUCCAUUUUGCCACCUCUAAUCUUAACUGUCAUAAGAGAAUUUCUCAAGUUCCAUAUUAUUGAUGGGAAGAGAUUUUUGUUAUUUUGUUGUAUUUUUUUUCGUUUUACAGGAUGCUGCUGCAUGGCUGGAGUAGUUUGAAUCAAAAGCUCUAGAGCAGCAAGAAGCGGCACGGAAUGGAACUCCAAAGCCAGAUGCGUCCAUUGCGAGUAAAGGUCACCUUAGGUAUUAACAGGGUAUUCCCACAUUACUUGUUUCUAAAUUGUUGAUUAUUUCUUGUGGCACCAAGACCUAUAAUGAUCGCUUUUUGCAGUGUGUCAGAUCUCCUGGAUUACAUUAGUCCUGGUCAAGAUUCUAAAAGAAGCGAAGCACAUAGGAAACAACGACGUGCAAAGGUAGUAUAUACUUAGUGCCUGUUUAGUAUGACUUAUCUAAUAGUCAUAAAUUUUUAUUUAAUCCCAUAAGCUGUUAUCAAUUUUUUUUUUUGUUUAAUUGUUUUUUUCGUAGAGCUCUUGAAAAUUAAAUAAGUUAUUUUGCCUCUACUACCAAAAGCUCGAAUUUUGUGCUUUUGAGAGUAGAGGUUAAAAAGUUUUUUUUAAAUCUUAAAAUAUCUAAAAUAUUUUCUACUUAUUUGAUAAUCUUAUUUUAUUCUUUCCAAAACAUAACUUUAAAAAAUUUACUUAUUAAAGUAAUUUUAUAAUUUUUAAUAAAAGCUCUUAUUGACAACCAAACAACACAAAUUUUUUGGGUAAAAACUUUACUUAUAAAAUCUUUACUAACAAAAGCUCUACUCAGAUAAGAUCUAUUUGAAAAGCUAUGUCAAAUGAAGCAUUAAGCCUGCUGCUGUUCUCUGUUCCUUUUUUCUUGUGAUGUCAUCUGAAUGGAUUCUUAAACUAAUUGUAGUUAGGAUUUGGUAUUUUAGAGUACACUCUGCUGGCUGCAUAUAGUUUUGGAUUUGCUGAUGACACGAGUAAACUUGUUGGCCAUGCAAAAUGCAACUAUAUAUCUGCAGGAUAAUAGUUCUACUUUUCUGAGUGAACUCUGAAGGCACCAAUUAUAACAUCCAUUUCCAGCAUAGAAUCCCCUGCCCAACAAAAAGAAAUCUAACAUGCUUAUACAGAUCGCAGACAUGAUUGAAACUUCAGAAGUUUCUGAUCUAUUGAUGGCCAUAGAUUGGGCCAGCUGAUAGUUAGUAGGCAAUGAUGGAGGGUUGCUUGGUCAAGCUGCUAGUUCUUUGGAAAUUCAGAGAUGAUGAGCAGAACGAGUGAUAGUUUUUGUUUUCCCCCGUAAUCAUGAACAGAGUGGGAAGAAACCAUUAAUUUGAAGUGCAAUGGAUGGAUAUGACAGAUCUAUCAUUUUGGCUAGUAGAUGGAGUUCUUCCAUUCUACUGUUAUUUAAUGGUUGUUUUUAUUGAUUCUAGAAAAACAUUUUUCGAUUUGGCAGUUGGAGUUUUGCCCUUUUUUUUUUUCUCCCCAUUUUGUAGGCCUUGGAGAACCAAAUAAUACUACAUAUUAGAUAGACAGGAUUAUUAUGUGCUAAUUUGAAGUAUUACCUGGUUGACAAUUUAAGACACUAGUAAAGUAUUUUGCUAUGAUUAUUUUUUUUUUGAGAAUUCCUUGAUUCAAAAGGCCGAAGAAUUUCAUUAGUUUAACAUAGUAUAUAUUAGCAUAAUUUCUCACUGAGUGUUUUUUUCAACAUUUCAGGCAUGUACAUAUCAAAUUCCCAUUAUGUUCCACUGAAUUCUGCCUCAUGUUAUGUCCGGAUUUGUUGUAAUAAAUUUUGCUACUGUAAAAUUACAAGAUGAUUGUAACUUAAAAUGAACUAUUUCUAUUUGCUCAAUUUUUGACAUUUUAUAUGCAUACAAGUUAAAAAGGUUUUGUUUAUUUUUAUUUUUUUUAUUUUUUCAGGUAAUGCAGAUUAGGGAAAAGAUUCAUGGAGCACAUCAUGAUAUGAUGGUGGAAGAUGCACUGCCCCAUGAUGGAUUGAAAAAGAGUAUGACUAUAGUGGAAAGCAAGACCGAGGAAGUAAUAGAAGACGGUGNNNNNNNNNNNNNNNNNNNNNNNNNNNNNNNNNNNNNNNNNNNNNNNNNNNNNNNNNAAAAAAAAGAAUAUAUAAGGCUUUUGAGGGGUGGCAAGAAGCCAAUCCAAAAGGUAGGUCAGGAAAUGCUGCUGUUCGGAAGCUCAACCGGAGGCGACCUGUUCUUACAAAGCUAAAUGUCAAUGGUUGUGAACAUUCAAAUCUUAGAGAAAAAGGCAAUAGACGGGAAAUUGUAUCUCCAGCACGGGAAAAAGCUUCAAGGACCACCACCACUGAGUUAACAGGCAAGAAGGAUUCAAGUAAAUUGCAGGCAAAAGCUUCUGUCUCCGAAGUUUAUGCAAGUCCACCAAACCUUACUGCCAUGGCUUCCAAGUCGCUGUCUUACAAAGAAGUAGCUGUGGCACCACCAGGUACGGUUCUAAAGCCAUUACCAGAGAAACCUGAUGAAGAAAUUGAAGAAAAAACUGAAACACAGAUGUGCAGUAAUGCUCCUGAGACAUCAAAGGCGGAGUUGAAUAACCAUUUCUCUCCCGUUGAAGAUGCGCCAGUUGAUGGUCAGUCUCAAGAAACUCGUGGAAGUGUAACUCAAUCUGAAACUACUGCUGCAGAUACCGGGGAAGUUCCUUCUUCUUCUAAUGAGGAAAAGCCCAUGGAAACAAAUGGGAGUAAGCUUUCUGCCACAGCUGAACCAUUCAACCCAGGAGCUGUCUCCAUGACUCAUCUGCUACACUCUGUAGCAGCCACGAGUAUUUAUGAUCCGAGAACUAGUCAAGGUAUGCUUGCAGAACCUGCUGUACCUUCGGCUGCUGCUAGAGUUCCUUGUGGGCCAAGGUCGCCUCUCUAUUAUAGAAAUAAUUAUUCUUACAUUAUGAAACAUGGAUUUCCAAAAUACCACUCUUCCAUUAUGGAAAGAAACCUGUUGGGGCCUUCAAGAAUCAUGAACCCGCAUGCACCCGAGUUUGUGCCAAUGAGAGGUUGGCAAAUAAAUCCUGGAUAUGCACAUUCAACUGUUUCAAAUGAGUCAAACUCUUCAAAUGACACAAGUGAGGCAGACGAUGAGAAACUUGACAAAAUGUCCAGUAUUCAAGGCGAGGAUAAUACCUCAAGAAAGAGCAGUACAGAGGCGGAGAAGUCAGAGCUGGCAAGACAGAUACUACUUAGCUUCAUUGUAAAGUCAGUCCAGCAUAAUAUGGAUGCUCCAAGUCAUUCUUCAGGCUACGAAAAGAAGAUUGGGUAUUCAGAAAAUUCUUCAGAUGCAAUUGCAAAUGAUAGUGCUAUCAUAAAGAUCCUUUAUGGAAAUGAAAAGGGCAAAACAAACUUGGCAUCUCAGUCCAAUGAUCAAGAACAGCAAAAACCCAAAGAGGAAAACCAAAAAAGUGGGGAUGGUGAAGGAUUUAUAGUUGUCAGAAAACGGAGAAGAAACCGACAGCAGAUCACAAAUGGGGUAACUGAGAUGUACAAUCAUCAAUCCAUCUGUGCUUCUGUUCGUUAAAAGAGAGAGCAAAGCAAUAAAAUGCAAAGGUGCCGUCCUGUUUCUCCCAAUUUUAUUCGAAAAAUUUGUUAGUGAAUGUUACCGUUGUAGAGAUGGUUAAAGUUUGGAGCAAGUUUUAAUCAAUACUUGAUUGUAUCAUUUUAGAUAUCCUCUCUGGAUGUUCUAAUAUAAUAUUUGUACAAAUCGGUUUCUUGUUUUGUUAAGAGAUUUUGUUUUGAUCAAUAAAUGAUGAUAAAUUAAUUGGGCGAUUUUCCUCAUCAAGAGAUCUGUGAUGUUGUUCUAUAAUGGAUUUUAAUGUUUUAGACUGAGAUUUGUAGUUAUGCCUCAAAUUAUUUGGUAUUUGGUUGGUGCGUGUGAACAAUACGUUCGGAAUGGAGUUGAAUUGACCCACUGAUAGAUAGCUUACAUUUGCAGCUGAAGUUGCUGCACUGAUGAUAUUACAACUGACAUGGUAGGCAAAAUUCCUUAUUCAAUUUAAAUUUGCAAUCAACAGAAACUGAAGAAGAAGCCGUAAGUUUAAUCCUAAUGGAUGCAUAGCUGUUUGGAGAAAAGCCAAUGGAGACAUAACAAAGCACGAUAAGUUAUACACGGCAGAACGGUAUGUGCUAGUAAGCACAGUCACCGAUGGAAAACAUAUUUGAAAAGCCAAUAGUAGCAUGUGUCAAUACAUCUAUCAAUGAAAUAGAACCACAGUCUGCGCCAGUACGAGUUUAUCCAAAGUGCUGCAAGUAAACCCAAAAUCACUGACACAUAGGAUGCUCCAAAACUCCAUCUUAAUGCCACCAUGUCAAUCACAGAAUCGCCUUCAUCUUCUCCUCCUCCUGUAGGUGUCGCUGGUGGUGCCAACGCGCUGCUGCAUUUCCUCUUUAUCAUUGAGCCACAAAGAGCCGAAUUACCUUUAUAACUGCUGUCAUCAAAGGUGGCAAACUGCUCUUUGUCCGGGAUUGGGCCGGACAAAUUGUUGUAUGACACGUUGAAGUUUGAUAAAAAGUUGAGCUCAGUUAGUUGAGGAAUUCGGCCACUUAAUUUGUUGCGGGAAAGGUCCAGGCUCUCUAUCAUUUUCAGAUUGGAGAAGCUCUCUGGUAUAGUGCCUGAUAGUAAAUUAUUGGACAGAUUAAGUGCACGAAUAUGUUGAAGAUGCCCAAUUUCCCAUGGAAUUUCUCCACUGAACUCAUUGCUCGACAAAUCCAGUCCAGCCAUGUCGUCGAGAUUGAGACCAAUGAAAAAUUCAUAUCUAUACUUUGUCACAAAUUCUACACCUACUGGUUGAUCUAGUCCACCAUGUAGUUCACCUGGCGGCAGCAGAUGAAGAGUGGAAUUGUAGUAAGUAGAAGCGGAAUCACGAUUAGACAUAGCAAAUUCAUAUUCAAAUGAACCAUCAUCAAUCGCUUCCCUCCCGAAUGAGAUGUUACCCAGGCAUGAAGGUAUCGGCCCAUUAAGUCUGUUAUGUGAAAGAUCCAUGAUACCUAAUUUUCUUAAUUGGCACAACUGAUUAGGAAUACGUCCUUGUAGAGAAUUCCCUCUCAAAAGAAGAAAAUGCAAAUUCGAAAGCUCAUUGAUCUGAUGAGGAAUCCUACCAAAAAAUUUAUUGUCCCUCAAAUCGAGAGUCAAUAAUGUAGAGCUUCUAAGCAAUGCAAUUGGAAUUAACCCAUUAAUUGCAUUGUUAUGCAGAUAAAUGUGCUUCACUGAUGAAAGAUUGGAGAGAGAUACCAUGGACCCAGACAAACCAUUUUCGGAGAUGUCUAUAAACUCAAGACUUUCAAGAUUGCCGAGCUGGACCGGAAUACUACCUUGCAAAUAAUUUUCUGACAUUAAAAGAAGCCAAAGGACUGAGAAGUUGCCAAUCCAGUGGGGAAUAUCGCCGGAUAACUUGUUGUUGGAUACAUCUAAUACAUCCAGCAAAGUGGAGCUCAACAAACCAUCUGCCAUUUUCCCACUGAAAUGAUUGUUGUUCAAACGUAAUGAACUCAAAUGAGUCAAGUUCAUAAAAUUGGGAAAAAGUUGGCCAUAGAAAUUGUUAUUUGAUAGGUCCAACGUUUCUAAGGAGAGGCAACUAGAGAAUAUAGAUCGAGGUAAUUCUCCUGAAAAAUUAUUUCUAGACAAAUCCAAAGUAAUUAGCUCUUUCAUCUCACUGAUUGAAUAAGGAAUAUUACCUUCAAAACUAUUUUUUGACACAUCCAAAUAUAUCAAUUUCUGAAAGACAAUACCCAAAUUCUCUGGUAGCUUACCAGAAAAAUUGUUAGUGGAAAUAUCUAGAUGACGAAGCUUGUCGUAUUUGGCAUUGGGAAGUCGCGGAAGAAUUCCCGAGAAUGAGUUAUUCCACAAAAUCAAAACUUCUAAUCCUGUGUUGUUUUGCAACAACCAAGUUGGGAAAUUGCCAACCAACUGAUUGUGAGAGAGAUCAAGGAAUUUUAAGUGGUGUUGGUGUAAAAGAAAACUACUAUUGACAUUUAAGUGGCAGUGAGAUAAUUGGAGAACCUUGAGAGGAUAUGUGGGGAGCCAGUUUUCGGUUUUCACUUGCAACAUAUCGUUUCCUGACGAGAGUACCAAGACCUCAAGCUUUGAAUGAUUAGCCAAUGAAUUUAUUAAGAAUGUUCCUUGGAAAUCGAUGAAAGAGAGAUCCAAAUAUUCAAGUGAUGUGAGGUUGGUCAAGACAGAAGGAAAGUUUCCACUUAACUGAUUGUAAGAAAUAUCAAGAACUUUAAGAUGGGUCAAGUUGUUGAGACACUGAGGAAGAUGACCCUCAAAAUUAUUUGAGCUUAAAUCCAACUCAAGAAGAUUCUUCAAAUUACAUAUUCCUAAAAGUGAAAAUAAAAAGCUCAGAUUUCAUAAAACGAAAACUAAUUAUAGCACAUUCAAUCAUAAACCCAAUAUAAGACUUAUAAAACGGACAUGAAAUCAAAUUGUCUAAGUAUUUUGGUCAACAUAAAUAAUAAUAGAAUGAUAUGAAUUUAUUUCUCAUAUAAUAUGAUGUUGAUUGCAAAAGCGUUUCAAUUAAUCUAACAAUAAAAAAGAAAAUAAUAAUAAAAAUAUAAAAGCAGUCAGCAAUUCUUGCUCAUCGUAAUCCAUUCAAUAAGCGUUUCAGCAAUUCUCGUUGUUUAAAAUAAUGAUUUUCUGCGGAAGAGUUUGUUGACUUCGUCUUUUUCGUUGGAUAUUGGUUUUCUAAUCUCUAAAUUUGUUGGAUAAUGUAAAGAGAAACUCAUAAUAUAUUGGUUGCUUUCUUAAACUUUAUUUAAUUUCGUCGAAGUACUUCGACCAACAAGUCACUGGGAAGUAGGAAUUGUGUAAUCAGUAAUGCAAAUAUUGGGUGCGUUGGUAUUGUUUUUAUAUGCUGUUUUUUAUUUUUUGAAUUUAGAAAAUAUUAGAUACGUGUUCGGUAGAUUGUUUCUGAAUUUUUUUAAAAAAUAUAAAAUUCAUUCUACACAUUUUAACAAAAGAAAUGAGAAACAACUUUUUCUUAUUUUCCUUAUUUCCCAAUACAAUAUUAAGUUCCAAAAUGAAGAAUUCUCUUUACCUCCUCCUGAAAUAAUAAUAAUAUCAACAUUAUUAUUAUUAUUAUUAUUAUUCUUGUUGUUGUUGUUGUUGUUGUUGUUAUUGUUGUUCUUGUACCCAAAGAAUCAAUUUCCCUCACAAUAAUCUUUUCUUUUUAUAUACAUUAUAAUAUUUAUGUUUUUAUAUUAACUAAAUCAAAUAUGUAGGGUUUAUCAUUUUUCUUUGAACAAAAAAAAUAGAAAGAUCACCUAAUUUAUUCUUAAAAUUAAAAUAAUCAAUAUACAUUGCUUAAUCUUAAGUUUAUGGAAAUUAUUCCAAUAAUAAUUCUUUGAGACAUUCUUACCAAACAUAUUUGUUUUCUCAUUUUUGAGAUUAUUUUUAAAAUGAUACUGAACACAUUUUUAAAUUUUAAAAAUAAAUUUAAAAAUAGCAUUUUCAUUUUUUUUGUGAAAACAACAAUUAGAAAACAAUAUUGGGCUCUUAUUUAUCAUGUUUCAACAUAAAAACACAAUGUAAAUGGUUUAAUAUGGGUUUCUAGAGAAUUUUUUAUAUUACUAUUACUCAAAUUCAAUGCUUCCAAGCUUUUGAAUUUAGCUAAUCUUGCAUCAAGAAUUAAUGAACAUAAGGAAAAAAAAAUUUAUUCAGAACUAUAAAUAUUGAAAUAAAGAUAAAUAUCAUUGUUGAUUUUUUUGUAAAAAAAGAUUUAGAAUUAAGAGAGAGUGAAAGAAAUGAGCGGGUUAUGUCGGAAAUUGGUGAUAGAGUAUGUCAAGUACUAAACUUUGUAUAGAAAGCAGUGCUUCUAAUUUAAAUUUGAUCUAGUUUAAAGCAAUUAAAAAAUGCAAAUAUAUUAUCAUCUUGAUUAACAUCUAAAACAAUUUUUGUCAUUGGAGGAAGUGAGUUGUUAUAUACCUUGAAUUGUAGUUAUCCCACAAGAAUGAAGAUCCAAUGCUUUCAAAUUUGGCAAAUCUGCCAAUCCUACAUGCGCUAAUAAAAAAUGAAAAUAUUACAUUUAAAGGUAUUGUAUGUGAUCUGCACGUUUGAAGAAUAUUAAUUCUUAAUUUGCUUCUUAUCUCAGAUUCAAUGGCUUACCUAGCGUUGUCAAAUUUUGAUUUAAGCUUAAAUCCAACACUUGCAGGUUUGUCAAAUUUGCUAAUCCUAUUAAAAAAAAACAUAAAUUUUGUCAAUAAUAGUUACAUCACUCUCGUCUAAAUUGUUUAAUUAAAAUAAUAUGAUAAAUAUUAAAUGAAAAUUAAUUGUGCAAAUUGUUUAAUUAAAAAAAUUGCCUUCUAAAGAACUGUGUAUAUAAUAAUUAUAACUCAAAUCCAACGUUUCCAAGCUUUUUAAUUUAGCUAAUCCUGCACCAAGAAAGAAGAAAACUUUUAUUAAUCAUCUUUGGAAAAAAAAAAAGAAUUAAGAUUAAGAAACAAAUUUCAAAGUUAGAUUAAAUAAUUGUAGUAAUAAAGCUUAUGAUGAUUAAGAUAUAAUUAAAUUGAUCAUAUACUCAAAAAUGAUUUUAUUUUAUUUUAUUUUUUAAUUUUACUAAGAAAUUAGAAAGUAAAUUUUUGUCGUGUACCAAUUAUAGUCAAGUUUGUCAAGUUUUCCAGUCAAAAAUUGCUUUUAAUUUGACAUUAUACAUAUGUAAAAAUUAAAGCCAUAAUAAUAUCACAAGGAAUUUGGGUAGUGACUUGUUGCCGUGUACCUUGAAGUGUAGUUAUUCCACAACUACCAAGAUCCAAUUCUUUCAGGUCUGUCAAAGAUAAUCCUAUACCAACGAAAAGCAAACUAUUACUUUUAAAAUUAUUGUAGAAGGUUGUGAUUAGUGUGCUAACUUGGUAGUUAUCUCAGUAGCCUACCUAGCCUUGUUAAAGAGCCACUAGUUAUAUUGCGGUUCCCGCUUAGAUCCAACACUUGCAAGUAUCUCAAAUUUGCUAAUCCUGCUUAGAAAACAUUAAUUUUGAUCAAGACAAUAUAAAUAUAUAUUUUAAUUAAUAAAUUAAUUAAGUUGCCUGACAUGUAUAUCUGCUGGCUUGAAACGUAUAUGUAUACCUUGCUUGGUUCUGGAACCUUCAAUCUUAUUGUAACGAAGAUUCAGAGUGGUAAGUGAAGUUAGUGUAUUCAAAUAUGGUAAUAUGCUGUCGAUGAAGAAAUUAAAACCAAGAUUUAAGAUCUUUAGCUGCUUCAAACUCCCAAAGCUAUCGUAAGCUGCAAAUGCAUAUGAAGUGUUAUUUUUAAUUAGUCACUGACAAAAUAUUUAUGGACGAGAAAUAAAUGUAUACAUAUAUACGGACCUCUAUUCUCACAGAAGCCUGUAAACCCAUUCCCAGGUAAGUCGAGCCUUUGCAAUUCUUUGAAAGGAUGAAACAAUGACAUAUUCAGAAGCGAAGCCGAAGUUCCAUCAUAAUAAUUCAAUCUCUUUGUAUAAUUGAGUGAGAGUUGCAUCACGCGUCGUGUGGUGGCGUUGCACAUAACUCCCUCCCAAUCAUCACAACAAUCAGACGGCAUUCCAUCAUCCUCACCAACCCAUGAAGGAAGAAUUUUGUCAUCAUAUCCAAUAUCACUGACUAAUGAUAUGAAGAAGCUCUUGAUUUCCAACAGAGCAGUCCUCUCUGUUUCCAAGCAUCCUUUGUAUCCAUGAAUUUCAUCCAUCGAUACAAUAAUCCAAAUUAGUGACAUUAAUGAGAACUUAAUACAGGAAGUACUUUCCAUUGUAGAGCAACUUUUCAUUUGGUUAAAAUUAAAUGUGCAAUGAGCAACUUUCCAUUGCAGAGCAAUUUAUACUAAAAGUUUAUCGUAGGUCUUGCAAUUUGAUUGGCUGAAGACUUUUUUAAGACUUUCCAAUACAUUGCCAUCUUUGAAGACUUGUAAGCACUUCAUUAAUACCCCGUGGAAAAUAUAGAUAAAGUGAUUGUAAACUAUAAAUUUUUGUAAUAGUUUGAUGGAGAUAAUCAUAACUAAUAAAAAAAAAGUUGACCGAGAGAAUUUAAAUAAUUCAACCAUAUGUUUGGAUUUCCAUUGCAUUAUCAGUCAAUCUAUUAAAUAAUGUGUUUUGAGAAGAAUUUGAUUGGAUGUUUGAUAAGUUUAAAUUAAUUUAUUAGAAAAUCAAUAAUUAAUCAACAUAAAUCUUCGUAUAUGUUUAGUUAGUGUGGCGUUGUCUGAAAUGACAAAAAACAUAAAUGUUAUUUGAAGCUCUUGUGACCCUUUGUGUUCAUGCAUUUGAAUCAAAGCUGUACUAAAAUCAAAGAUAUUGGGCAUCCUUAAUAAGGAAAGUUUCCAUUGCUCUCAGUCUGCACUCUUCAUUACUAUUGCAAUCACUUGAAAUGACUAAAACAGAAAUUUCGUAUGAACUUGGGACAGCUGCACGGGUCCAAUUUAAAUGACAACUACGUGGAAAAUAAAAAUUUUGCAUAUAUUAUUACAACUACGUGGAAAAUUAAAGUUGACUGACUUUCAAAUUAAGCCAACAAACAAGUGGCCAUCAACUCUUUUUCCACUAACAAUUAGUGGCGACGGUCAAUACUAUAAAAUAAAAGUUGACUAAGAAUUUAUGUAAUUUAAGAGUAUGAUUGGCCUUUUAUUGAAUAUUAUGAUUGGGUUUGCACUGAAUUAUCAAAAAAUCUAUUCAACGAUUUAUAUUCUAAAAUAUUUAGUGAGUUUAGAAAAUUAUUUUAUUAGAUUUUUGUUAAUUUUUUUUAUUAUUAUUAGAUGGCCAACAAUUAAUCAAGUAAUUUUCCAUAUAUAUUUGAUAAUUUACUCAUAAAAGCGUGGACUACAUUCAAAUGGCAUUUUAUAUGAUGUGUGAUAUAUGUAGAGGUGAAAUUUAAAUAGGCUUAAUUUUAUAAAUAAAUACAUAUGUAUUGCAGCAUUCAAUCAUUGUGUUAAAGCGCCAAUCACGGUGACCACCAAAACCUAUGAAUGAUUAGUCCAUCGAAACCCAAUGUAUGCUCAAUUAAUAUUUCCUAUCAAGAUCAAAUUUUUCGCUCUAUUGCUUCAACAAUCAUGAGCAUAAAAGCUCGAUUUAUACAAAAAUUACGAAUUUAUGAAAAAAAAAAGUCACAUUUAUUAUAAUAUGAAGUUUGAUUGAUUUUUAAAGAUUGAUUCAAUCAAUCUUAAUGUUACUGGACAAUCGAUCUUAAUGUUAAUUCAAAAUCAAUCUUUAUUUCGAUGGGCACAGAUAAAGAUAAUUAGUUUUGGUCUCUAUAAUGACUGACGAAGACUUGUAGGACCUGGACCAAUGAGGAAAAACACUUUCAAAUUAAGCCAACAUACAAAUGGUCGUCAAUUCUAUUUUUUACAAAAAUUGAUGGAGAUAGUCAACUAAUAAAAUAAAAGUUGAUUGAGAUAAUUUAAAGAAUGUAGGCAUAAGUUUGGCUUUUAAAUUGUCAAAUAAUUUAUUCCACUAUUGAUACUUAAAAAAGUGCUUUGGAAUUAAUAAUUCAAUAGGGUGUUUGAUAUAUUGGAAUUCGUGAAAAUCAAUAAUCAACUAUUUUUUAUACAUGUUUAGAAAUUUAUCCGGUGUGUAUAGGGGCUUGUAUAUUUCACAAUAAACAUGAAUUAGUACAUCCAUUGAUUGACGUAUAAUUAUAAUCAUAUAAUCAAACACGCACACUACAAGGCGACCUUCGAUUGACGUAUUCUGUGAACUAACCCGUGGGAGAUGGAGGAUGUCUUAACGUUAUAAAAAAAAAUUGAUGAAUAAUAUAGUUCCAGGCAGUGCUAAAACCAUAAUGUACGCCAGUAUGAGUUUAUCCAAAGUCACCGGCUACACCAAUAUCAUUGUGACAUAGUAACAUUCUUGUCCCAUUGAGUGAGAGUUGCAUCACCCGUCGUGUGGUGGCGUUGCACUCAACUCCCUCCCAGUCAUCACAACAAUCAGACGGCAUUCCAUCAUCAACCCAUGAAGUAAGAAUAACGUCUUCAUAUUCCCUAUCACUGAUUGAUAUAAAGAAGCUCUUGAGUUCCAACAGAGCAGUCCUCUCUGUUUGCAAGCAUGCUUUGUCUCCAUGCAUUUCAUUCAUCAAAAUAAUAAUCCAUAUUAGUGAAAUUAAUGAGAACUUGACAAAGGAAGUACUUUCCAUUGCAAAGCAACUUUUCAAUUGGUUAAUAUAAAAUUUGCAACGAGGAAACUUCGAUAUUUAUACUAAACAUUUAUCAUCAUGGACCUUGCAAUUUGAUUGGCUGAAGAUUUCCAACCACCCAACCUAACGAAAAUGAAACAUCUUAGAGAUAUCAAGUAAUAAAAAUACUUGAUUAUCUUAUUUUUGUUUUAGAGGGUUAUUAAAGACAAAACAUUGUCAAUACAUUAUAACAUCGCUAUCUUGAAGUCUUUGUCUUUUAGUGAAGACUUGUAAGCUUGAAAUUACAUAUAUAUUGCAACAUCGACCCAGGAGAAAAAGAACUUCACUAAUACUCCGUGAAAAAUAAAAUUAAAGUUCACUGACUCUCGAAUUACGCCAACAAACAAGCGAGUGCAAACUAUAUUUUCUCCAACAGUUUGAUGGAGAUAGUCGUAACUAAUAAAAUAAAAGUUGUGUGAAAGAGUUUAAAUAAUUUAUCCGUAUAUUUGGGAUUACAUUGGAUUAUCAGUUAAUCUAUUAAAUAAUAUGUUUUGUAAAGAAUUUGAUUGGAUGUUUGAUAAGUUUAAUUUAGUAGUUUAAUUACUCAUAAAAGUGUGAUGUACUCUAAAAUGACAAACACAUAAAUGUUAUUUGAAGCUUUUGUGACCCUUCAUGUUCAUGCAUUUGAAUCAAAGCUAUUAAAAUCAAAUAUAUUGAUAAACCUUAAUAAGGAAAUUAAGUUUCGAUUGCUCUCAAUCUGCAACUCGACUACUAUUACAAUCACUUGAAAUGACAAAAACAGAAAUUUCAUAUGAACUUGGGACAGAUGUACACGGGUUCAAUUUAGCUAAUUUCCCAUAUAUUUACAACUACGUACGGGGAAAAUUAAAGCUGAUUGACUUUCAAAUUAAGCAACAAACAAGUGGCUGUCUACUAUUUUUCCUCUACCAAUUGAUGGAGACCGCCGAUGCUAUAAAACAAAAAUUGAUUAAGAAUUUAGAUAAGGAAAAUUAUCAACUGUCCGUCUUAAGUUUAUCAUUUAUUCAUUUUUCGCCUUAAGUUUACAAUUCGUAUUAGUCAUCUACUAAAAAGAUAGAAUUACACUUAUGAAAUGACAAUACAUAAAUAAAUACAAAUGGCAAUAGUGGUAAUUUUGUAUGAAUUUUUCUAUUCUUUUGGCGGUUGGUUGAUACAAAUUAAAAACAUAAGAAGAAAAAUAAAUAAAUUCAAUCUUUUUAGUAUUUCUGAUAGUAGGUUAAACCAAAGGAGGAGGGCUUUAUAAUUUCCCUUUAAAUAAUUUAAGGGUGUGAUUGCGUUUCUAUUGAAUUGUACGCUUGGAUUUGCAUUGAAUUAUCAAAAAAUCUAUGCAAGCAUCGAAUUGUAAUGACUGACGAAGACUUAUAAGGCUUGGACCAAUGAAGAAAAAUGCUUCAUUAAUGCUCCGUGGAAAACAAGCCAGCUUGGAAGCAGUUGAUCGGAUGGUCAACAGUUGAUUGAGAUAGUCAACUAAUAAAAUAAAAGUUAGUUGAGAUAAUUUUAAUAAUUUAAGCGUCGUUUGGGUUUCAAAUAUCAAAUAAUUUAUUCCAGUAUUGAGAAGAGUUGAAUUCCGUUAUUUUAUUGAGAAGAGAUCCAUCGCUCCCUCCCAAUUAUCACAGCAAUCAGACGACAUUCCUUCAUCACCGUCAAACCAUGAACUAAGAGCUUCGUCAUCGUAUCCAAUAUCACUGCUGCUGAUAUGAAGAAGCUUUUGAUUUCUAACAGAGCAGUCCUCUCAGUUUCCAAGCAAGCUUUGCAUCCAUGCAUUUCAUCCAAAACGACAAUCCAAAGUAGUGAGGUUAAUGAGAACUUAAUGAAGGAAGUACUUCCAUUGCAAAACAGCUUUUUAUUUGGCUAAAGUUAAAUGUGAAUUAAAUAUCUUUGACUGGUGAUAUACAUAUAUUCAGAGAUUUGAAGUGCUCAAACCAAAAACAAAUAAAAAUAUAAAAAUAUUAUUAUAAAAAAAUUGAUGAAUAAUAUAGUUCCAGGAAGUGCUAAUAUGGCUCUUUGAACUCUCUUUACAGUAUUGGUAGAAAUUUAUCCGAUGUGUACAAGGGCUUGUAUAUUUUGCAAUAAAAUAUACGAGCCAAUAUGAAUUUCUUUCUUUCUUUCUCUCUCUUUUUUUUUUUAAGUUUCUCUCUCUUUUUUUUUUUAAGAAACAUGAAUUGGUUCGUCCAUCAAUUAAUAAUAAAACCAUAAUGUACACCGGUAUGAGUUUAUCUAAAAUCACCGGCCACACCAAUAUCAUUGUGACAUAGGAAGCGAUGAGGAAAUUUACGAAAUAUUUAUUAAACCAUAGUCUACGCCAGUAAGAUGGAAUUAGCAUUCAAUGAUCAUAGACUUUCUGCAAUUUCAUUGACUUGUGAUCAGGGAGUCCUUAUUCUACAAUAAUUAUAAUCAAACACGCACACUGCAAGGCAACCUUCAAUUGACGUAUUCUGUCAACUAACUGGGGACAGGGGUCAUAAAAGGGUACGUGAGAGAAAGCACGAGUCUAUGCACAGUUCCGGUUUUGCUAGUUGAUGGAACAUGGAGGAUGUGUGUUAACGUUAACCAAUAGUCAAGUUUAUGAACACAACCAAGUAAUCGUAUCAUCAAUCAGAACCACAUUCGACGCACGACUAGUAAAUAUCAUAAUUGAGUUUGAGGACCACAACCGCACAGUGAAAGAAUUUGAAUGAAGGAAAAGUAAAAGAAAAGGAAAAGGAAAAGAGGGGAAUGCUAAAGAAAAAUAAGUUGAUUCAUCAGUUAUUCAAUAUGACAAUUGCACACAAAUUUUGGAUGUUUUUAGCCUCCAUGUGAAUCAAAAUAAUUAAUAGAGACUAUCCCGCGUGUCACAUGUAACUAACUUUGGCGCCAUCUUGAGCUACUUCUGUUAAGGUCUUCACUCCAUAGUCUUAAGAACACAAUGCACAAUCAAUUCUUCAGAUUCAUAUGGCAAAUGAAUUACUCAUAAAAGAAAGAUAAAGUAAACUAUGGCCUGGUACUGUCGUUUUAUGCGUUCUAGUGGUGUUGUAGUAUAAACAGUACUCGUUUUUCUAUCUUGGUGGUUUCUUGAUUGUGUUCAAAUAUCAAUACUCGGAGACAGAUAGAGGAAAGCUAAAGAAAAAUAAGCUAAUUCAUCACUAACAUAAUAUGACAAUUGCACGCAACUUUUGGAUGUUUUUAGUCACUGAAAUUUUUAACAUUAAUGAUUAAUUACAAGUAUGUGAAUGAAAACUUAUAAACAAAUUUUGUUUACAGGAAAAAUGUAACUGUGAAAGAAAGUAAAAGAGAGCAGAGAGACUAAAACCAGAGGAUUUCAUUCGUCAUUUCAUAACUAUAUUCCUAGUGCAACUGCGCAAGGUUGAGCAUUCAAAGUCCAUAAUUCUAAAUCAAAAUCACCAACAGACACCUGUACAUGAAAUACUCAGGCCUUUACUCUGGACUUAAGACCGCAUGUCUGAGAAAUUCGUCAGAUUCAUGUAGCAAAUGAAUUGCACAAGGAGGCAUAAAAAUUAGUAUAUUUUUCAAGGACCCAGCUUGAAAGCAAUGAACUAAAAAUUAAUACAUAAAAGUUCAAUUACACGUAAAGAAGGAUAAUAGUAAACUAUGGCCUAGCAAGAUGACGGAUGAAAGAAAACCAUGGCCAGCGCCAAUACGAAUUCAACCAAAGGAUUCAUCUUAAUUGCAGAUUCAUCUUCGUCUUCUCCUCGAUUGGAUGUUAUUGCUGGAUUUUCCUAUGUUCUGGUGCAAGUCUUAUUAAUUGUUGGACCACAAAGACCGAGAUUAUAACUCUUUUCAUCAAACCUGCCAAAUUGUUUUUUGUCUGGGAUCAGACCGGACAAGUUCUUAUAUGACUCGUUAAAGUUGGAUAAAUAGUUGAUUAUUGAUCAGAAGAUCACUAAUCAGAAAAUUUUUCAUUUAUGUUUGUGUAAAUUAUUCAUAAAAGUAUGGUCUACUCUGAAAUUACAAAAAUAAACAUAAUAAAUUUGAAUAAAGGAAAGGAAAAUGAGAAGCAAAACAGAGGAAUGCUAAGGAUAAAUAAGCUGAUUCAUCAGUAACUCAAUAUGGCGAUUGCACACAACUUUUGGAUGUUUUUAGCCUCUGAAAUUUCAAUAUGAAUGAUACAUUACAAAUAUGUGAAGCAAAACUUAGAAACCAAUUUUUGCUUACAGAGAAAAUGUUAAAAAACAAAUAAUGAUAAAAGAGUGCAGAGAAACUAAAAACAGAGGAUUUCACGGAUCAUAAUUUAUAAGUGAUAUUCCUAGUGCAAGGCUGAACAUAAAUCUUAGGUGUGCGAAUCAAGAUCAUUAACGAAGAGAUCACGCGUGUCCCAUGUAACUAACUUUGGCGUGAUGUAGGAUGGUUGCAUAGAAUGAGUAGGGUAUCUUUCAAAUGUCAUAACUUGGGCUACAAGUGUAACUAACAACGACGAUGCUCAAGUUUGGUUAUCGUCGAUGACUGCGGAUUGAUGUUCGUAGCUCCUCCUAUAUCAAGGAAAUGUCAUAAUUACUUUCCAAACAUAAGAAAUACAACUAUUUUAUGUGAUAUGAUUCACAAUAAAUAUUUAUCCCAUAGCUUAUAACUCUCGAAUCCAUUAUUUGUAAAUAAAAAUUACCCUAAUACUCUCAAAACCAUCAAUUGCACCUUAUGCUCAAAAUUUCAUAUUCCAGCUCAAUAAUUAAAUUUCCAUAUCCUAUAAUACUAAUAAAUCAGCCACAUUAUCGCCAAUCUCAUUAUUAGCCAUGAACUACCCAAACAUAAUAUAUAACAAUAAGCUAUUUACAUACCGAAUUGAGGAAAUAGUGAGCGCUACACAUUUUGGCUCUAAUGCCUUGGUGCCCUUGUGCACCUAAAAUGAUCCACCAAUUACUAAAAUUAGCUUGGGACUGACUACACCCAUUUGUUGGGAACCCUAACUAUAAAUAAAGUACACUAAUCUUUGAAUUAUUUUCAUUUUCAUGUAAAUGCAAUUUCAGGUAAAGAUAAAAUGAUAGAAAUCUUACUUCAUUUGGUAAGAAAUUCAACUUGAAAGCUUGAAUCCCUUCCCUCUCACUGAAAUCCUUUCUCUACACUUCCUACAUUUAAAUUCCUCUCCAAUGAAUUUCCAAAUGAACUUAGGGAUAAAAAUACUCUAGAAUGACUCUCGAAUCCAAGUUGUGCAAGACCAAACUCAAUUUUGGAAAAAUCCUAAAUCAUGAAAAUUUUCCCAUUGUCUUCCUCUCAUGCCCGUGAGCUUUUGCAAAGCAAUGGUAAGUGCUUUCUUUUUUAAUUCGCUUUAUAUAUAAAACUUAUUUUAUUUUUUUGUUUAUGGGCUUUUGAAAUAUCCAUUUAGGCCCAAUUAAAGAAAAUUAAUUUAUAUACAUUCGUAUUCAUAAGUUAUUAUUAAUAACUUGUAUAUACAAGUCAGGGCAGUACGCAAAUUUACUGAAUACAGAGUAAAGUUGUACUUUAAUUGGUGAACUCUGAAGGCACCAAUUAUAACAUCCAUUUCUAGCAUAUAUAUAUAUAUAUAUAUAUAUAUAUCAUGGAAAUCUGACAUGCUUAUACAGAUCACAUACAGGAUUCAGAGAUGAAGGGCAGCAAAGAUUGAUAAUUUUUGUUUUCCCCAAUCACCUUGAACAGAGUGAGAAGAAACCAUUAUUUCUAUAUGUGCAGUUCUUCCAUCCUAUUGUUAUUUAAUGGUUGUUAAAUAUAUAUUUGCAACCAACAGAAACUGCAGAAGAAACAGUAAGUCUAAUUUUAACGAAACCGCUCGAAGGAACUUCAAAACAUGAGCAUAGUUUUAGAACCAAAUUAAGAAUUUUAGCAAACACAUACACUGAUACAUAGCAGUUUGCAGAAAAGCUAACGGAAUACGUAACACAGCAUGACAAGUUAUACUCGCAGACCCGUAGGAACUUACUACAAUGGCCUAGCACAAUCACCGAUAGAAUGCAUAUUUGAAGAGCCAAUAGUAGCAUGUGUCAAUACAUUCAUCAAUGAAAUAGAACCACCGUCUACGCCAAUAGGAGUUUAUCCAAAGGACUGCAAACAAACCCAAAAUAACUGUCACAAAGGACGCGCCAAAACUCCAUUUUAAUGCCACCAUAUCAAUCAUCGAAUCGUCUUCUUCUUCUUCUGCUCCUUCUGUUGGUGUUGCUGGUGGUUUUAAUGCACUGCUGCAUUUCUUCCUUAUCAAGGAACCACAAAGCUCUGCUUCUACUGUUUGAUUUAUUGAGGCAUGUGGUUCAGUGGGCGGUUGAAGAUUAAGAGUAGAAUUGUAGAAAGUAGUAGCAAUAGAAUCGAUGUAGAAACCCUGAUACGCUGUGUAUUCAUCAAGCAAACCAUAGUCAUACAAAUAAUAAUUAGUUCAUUCUCUCCAGAAUGACACGUUACCCAAGCAUGAAGGUAUUGACCCACUAAAUAUGUUAUUUGAAAGAUCCAUGAUACGUAAUUUUGCUAACUGGCACAAUUCAUUAGGAAUAUGUCCUUGUAGAGAAUUCCCUCUUAAAAGAAGAACAUGCAAAUUCGAAAGCUCAUUGAUCUGAUAAGGAAUCCUACCAAAGAAUUUAUUAUCCCUCAAAUCUAGAGUGAUUAAUUUAGAGCUUCUAAACAAUGCAUUAGGAAUUUACCCAGUAAUAGCAUUCUUCUGCAAAUAAAGGUGUUUCACUGAUGAAAGAUUAAAGGAAGAUACCAUGGUCCCAGACAAACUAUUUUCAAAGAUGUCUAUAAGCUCAAGACUUUUAAGGUGGUUGAGUUGGACUGGAAUAUUAGCUUCCAAAUAAUUUUUUGACAUUAAAAGAACCCUAAGAGUUGAGAUGUUACCAAUCCAAUUAGGAAUAUUACCGGAUAUAUCUAACCCCUCUAAUGAAGUGGAGCUCCUCAAACCAUCAUCCAUCUUCCCACUGAAAUGAUUGUUGUCAAAAAUAAAUAAUUCAAAUGGGUCAAGUUCAUAUAUUUGGGAAAAAUUCGGCCAUAGAAAUUGUUAUUUGAUAGGUCUAACAAAUCUAGAGCGACGCAACCAGAGACUAUCGGUCAGGGUAAUUCUCCCAAAAAAUUAUUUCUAGAAAAAUCCAGCAUAUAUAACUCUUUCAUCUCACCUGUUGAAUAAGGAAUAUCACCUUCAAAAAUAUUUUUUGACAUAUCCAAAUAAAUCAAUUUCUGAAGGACAAUACCCAUAUUCCGUGGUAGCUUACCAGCGAAAUUGUUAUUGGAAAUAUCUAGAUGACGAAGCAUAUCGUGUUUGGCAUUGGGAUGUAGAUGAAGAAUUCCUGAGAGUGAGUUGUUCGCCAAAGACAAAUAGUUUUAUCUUGUGUUGUUUUGGAACAACCAAAUUGGGAAAUUGCCAACCAACUUAUUAUGAGAGAGGUCAAGGAAUUUUAAGUGGUCCUGUUGUAAAAGAAAACUUGGAAUGACAUGUAACUGGCAGUCGGAUAAUUUGAGAACCUUCAAUUGAGAUGUCGGGUGCCAGCUUUCGGUUUUCACUUGUAACAUAUUGCUUCCUGAUGAGAGUAACAAGACCUCGAGCUUUGAAUGAUUAGCCAAUGAAUUUAUUGAGAAUGUUCCUCGGAAAUUAAUGGAAGAGAGAUCCAAAUAUUCAAGUGAUGUGAAGUUGGUCAAGGUAGAAGGAAAGUUUCCACUUAAUUGAUUAUUAGAAAUAUCAAGAACUUUGAGAUGGGUCAAGUUAUUGAGACACUGAGGAAGGUGACCCUCAAAGUUAUUUGAGCUCAGAUCCUACUCAAAAAGAUUCCUCAAAUUACAUAUUUCUGAACCUGAAAAUAAAAGAUCAAAAUUUUAUAGAAUGGAAACUAAUCAUAGCGAAUUCGGUCAUAAUCCAAUACAAGACUUAAAAAACAGACAAAAAUCAAAUUGCCUAAUUAUUUUGGUCAGCACAAAUAAUAAUAGAGUAAUGUGAACUUAUUUCUCAUAUAAUAUGAUGUUGAUUGCAAAUGCGUUUCAAUAAUCUGAAAAAAGGGAAAAAAAAUGCCCUCAGCACUUUUUGCUUAUCAUAACCCUAAGUCCUUGUUUAUAAUUAUAAUUUUCUGAGGAAGAAUUUGUUCACGUGAUGUUGUUCAUUGGACAAUGGUUCUGUAACCUCUAUAAUGUAAAGAGAAACUCAUAAUAUUUUAGUUGUCUUCUUAAAUAAUAAAUUGUCUUAAAAUACAAUUAAUUUGUCUUAAAUUUAAUUUAUUCCUCAGCAUUCAAGGAAAAACAAAAACAAAAAAAAAAGAAAAAGAAAAAAGAAAUGGUCUUCAUAUAUAAUUCUGUCCAAGUACUUUGAUACACAAAUCAAUCGGAAGGUGGUGUAUCAGUAAUGCAAAUAUUUAAUUAUCAUGUUUCAACAUAACAAUUCUGUGUAAAUUGUUCGCUUUAGGUUUCUAGAGAACUGUUUAUAUUAUUAUUACUACUCAAAUUCAAUGCUUCCAAGUAUUUGAAUUUAAUUAGCUAAUCCUGUAUCAAGAAUUAAUGAACAUAAGAUAAAUGUCAUAUUAAUUAGAUUUAGAUUUUUUUUUUCCAGUUUUGACGUAUAGAUAUAAAUAAUACUUCAAAAGCAUUGAAAUGUAAGAGCUAUUAAAAAAUCGUUUUUCAUUCAAAGCUAUAAUUAAUGAAAUGAAGAUAGAUAUCAUUGUUCAUUUAAAAAAAAUUAAAUUCAGAAAAAAGAAAGAGCGAAAGAAAUGAGCAGGUUAUGUUAAUAAAUAGUGAGAGAGUAUGUCAAGGACUAAAAUUUAUUAAAGAAAGCAGUGGUUCUAAUUCAAAUUUGAUCAAGUUAGAAGUAGUCAAUUAUGCAUCGAGAAUCAAAAGAAUGAAGAAUGGGAAUUCAAAAUUAGCUUAAAAAUUAUAAUAAAGUGAUUAGUUAAGAUUCAAUUAAGCUGAUUUACUAAAAAAUAUUGAAAAAUAAAAGACCACAACAUUGCCAAAAAGACUAGGAAAUUAAGUAGGAAGGGGUGAUUGUUGCGGAAUACCUUGUAGUUAUUCCACAACCACGAAGACCAAUUGCUUUCAAGUAUUGCAAAUAUGCCAAUCCUACAUCAAUAAAAAGCAAAAUGUUACUUUAAAAUUAUUGUAGAAGACUGUGAUCAUUGUGAUAGAUCGGUAAUUUCAGUAGCUUACCUAGGCUUCUUAAAGAGCCGCUUGUUAGAUUGAGGUUCCAGGUUAGAUCCAACACUUGCAAGUUUCUCAAAUCUGCUAAUCCUGCUCAGUAAACAUUAAUUUUGAUAAAAACAAUAUGCAUAAAUAUUUUAAGAGAUUAACUUGCCUGGCAUGCAUUUCUGCCUCAAACAUAUUUACCGUGCUUGAUUCUGGAACCUUCAAUGUUAUUGGAACGAAGAUUCAGAGUGGUAAGUGAAGUUAGUGUAUUCAAAUAUGGUAAUAUGUUGUCGUUGAAGAAAUUACCACCAAGAUUUAAGAUCUUCAGCUGUUUCAAACUCCCAAAGCUGUCGUAAGCUGCAAAUGCAUAUGAAUUAUUAUCAUUAAUUAGUCACUGACAAAAUAAUUAUGAAUGAGUAAGAGAUACAUAUGCUUGUACCUUUAUUCUUAUAGAAGCCUUUAAACCAAUUUAUCAGAUAAGUCAAGGCGCUGCAGUUCUUCAAAAGGGUGAAAUAAUAAUGACAUAUUCAGAAAAGAAACUCCAUAAGAAUAAGAGUUAUAAUCAGAGUAGUUGAUUUUUGUUUUCUGAUUGAGUGAGAGUUGCGUCACCCGUAGGGUGGUGGCGUUGCACUUAACUCCCUCCCAGUCGUUGCAACAAUCAGACGACAUUCCAUCAUCAUCAAACCAUGAAGAAAGAAUUUCGUCAUCAAAUCCAACAUCACUGGCUGAUAUGAAGAAGCUCUUGAUUUCCAACAGAGCAAUCCUCUUCGUUUCCACGCAUGCUUUGUAUCCAUGUAACUGAAUCAAAGCCAUGCCAAUCCACAAUGACAACUUCAUCAAAAGCAUUUUCAUUUUUAAUAUUAACUGCUAGAGAAACACUCACAAGAUUGACCUGUCAAUUGUUGCUCUCUUGAAUUUUUUCUGGUUCCAUAGCAAAUAUAUGACUUAUAUAUAUACAAUGGAAAUUUUGCGCAGAAUGAAAAUUUUGCACAUUUUCACGUGCCAUGUCAAUGAGAAAACAUGCAUGGAUAGAAAAAAGUAGGUGAGAGAAUGUUACCUGUUGAUACAUGUUAUCUGCUUGUGACUUUAGUACCGUCCAAAGAAAUUGAAAUGUGAAAUAAUUGAAGAUGCAAAUUGGUUGAUUUCACGGGCCUGGCCUCUGGCAAAGUGAAAUGUUGGCCACGCACUAUACCAGUAAAGUGUCAACAUUGUAGCAUAAGGAAAUUGCGGCAUCUCAGCUGGAUUUUGAGAGUCACUAUUUCGUAUAAUCAGUCCCAUUUGUUCGUGGGGACUCACAUUCUGUCCUAUUGUGGACUCACAAAUAUUUAACAUGAUUUUGAUAUUUUGAUAACUACUUAAACCGCAUUUCCUUGAUAAUUAAAGAAAAAGAGAAGUGAAUGAAGCAAAAGAUACUGAUGACCAUAAUUAUGUAAAUAAAUACAAGACUUUACAAUAGAUUAGACCACCAAUUUGUGCUUUUUCGUCCAAAAAUAAUGCAUCUGCUUUAACAAGAUACGAGUGAAUUGGGGCAUAUCUUUCUUUCAUAAUGUAAACUUGCCAAAAUACAUGUAAUCUGCUGGUGAAAUAAUUUUAUAAAACAAAGGCUUAAAGUUAAAGCUGACUAAAAAUAUUGGUGUACGUCAAGAACGCUACGGGGAAAAUUUAACCGCGAGCUGCAGUCUGCAGUCCCCAGCAAUCCGGGAAAAGGCUGAGGUGGUGCGGGCCUGCCCACUAAUUUGGCAGGUCUGAUGGGAUUUAUAAAUAAAAAUAAUGUAAUUUUAUAUAUUUUUUAAAUAAAAAAUUUGUUGAUGCCGUUGUGAGAUCCAUUGGAUCCAAGGUCUUGAAGAGGAAAGAUCACUAUGGCUGCAAGGUCUGGAAGAGGCAAGUCCAAUAAAGCCAAGGCUGACAAGAAGAAGAAAGAAGAGAAAGGUUUCAAUUGUUAAGCCUUAUUAUUCACUUCUUUCAUUGGAAAGUGCUUUUUGUAAAGUGCUUUUGCAGUCUAGCUUCCGUAUGUUCAUUGAUUUCUUUUGUUGUGCAGUAGUACCCAGUGUUCUUGAUAUCACAAUCAUCACCCCAUAUGAAUCACAAGUUGUUCUCAAGGUAUACAUAUAUACUUAUCAUUAAUACUUUCUCGUUUUGCCCUCACCAGCUAUUAUUAGGAUAUUAUUUUGUAAAACUUUAUAAAUAUAAAUGAAUUAUUAAUUAAUCAUCUUUUUCUUGUUUGAUUGAAAUUUGCUCGAAGGGCAUCUCCACUGACAAGAUACUUGAUGUGAAAAAAUUGUUGGCUUCCAAUGUAGAAACUUGCCACCUCACAAAUUAUUCUCUCUCUCACGAGGUAUAUAUAUAUAUAUUUUAUUAUCUCUCUUUUUUUUAAUUAUAUAAGAUUAUGAAUAAUGAUAUUAAGCACUAGAUACUAUUUUUUUCCACCUUAUUUUUAUUUGUUUAUUUCUUUAUGAUAUUAAUGCAUUAUUAGUUGUUUUUUUUUAUCAGGUCAAGGGGUAGAAAUUGAAUGAUAGAGUAGAGGUUGUUACUCUGAAGCCCUGUUUGCUCAGAAUGGUUGAAGGUAGGUGAAGCUCUCUCGUGUCAAAAUUUCUGAAUUAAAAAGUCUCAUGCAUGUGGAUGUGGGUCUCAUCUUAUUUGUUAUUUUUAAGAGUUCUGCUAUUUACCUCGGGUUAAACCCCGAAAGCUAAAACAAAACGACGUCGUUUCCUCUUCUUCAUGAAACGCUACCGUUUCACCCUAGCAAAAGCAAACGUUCCUCUCCUCUUCAUUUUCGUCUUCCUCUCCUGACUCCUCUUCGUUUCACCAGGGAACGACAUUCGUUUUGUUCGUUUUGUUUAAGAUCCAAAUCAAAGAAAUUUCCUUUUAAACAAAUCUGCCAUUUGUUUUCUCCUUUGAAAUUUCCUCUUAAAAAAUCUGCCAUUCGCGCAGGCAUGGUCACCGUCAACGUGGCAGGCAUCACGCGCAUCUCUCAUUGAACUCAUGAAGCGUCACAGUUAUCACAGCCGCAGGUAAUGCUUUGAUCUUUAGCUUUUCUAGGUUACGGUAAAAUGGGGGCAAUUUUGAUAGCUAUCAUCAUUUCCGUUUUAUUUAAUUUUCAGUUGAAAUAGAAUGUUAAGGAAAUAAGUGUGUUAAAUUGCAAUUGGUUUGUAAUUUAUGCUAAAUUGGUCUGCAAUUUGUGCUUGAGUUGGUCUGCAAUUUGUGCUUGAAUUGGUUUGCAUUUGUGCUGAAUUGGUCAGGAAUUUGUGCUGAAUUGGUCUGCAAUUUGUGCUGAAUUGGUCUGUAAUUUGUGCAGAAUUGGUCUGUAAUUUGUGCUUGAAUUGGUCUGCAAUUUGUGCUUAAAUUGGUCUGGAAUCACCAAAUAGUCCAGAAUUGUUGAUGUAACUUUUACAACUCUUAUAAAUAAUAGAAAGCAAGUUAAUUAGAAGCACCAAAAUAGUUCAGAAUCACCAAAAUAGAAGCACUAAAAUAGUCCAAAAUUGUUGAUUUUGUGGACACACACAGACACACACACAGGGAGAGAGAGACACGCACAGAGAGAGAGAGAGAGAGAGAGAGAGAGACACACACACACACACACACACACUGACACACACACACAGACACACACACAAAGAGACACACAAACACAGACACAGACACACACAUACACACAGCUUUGUUCAGCCCACUUUAGUAGCAAAUUCAAAUACCAAGAAACUGAGUUGGCCUUAUAAAACAUUGUUCUGGUUUUCUUUUCAUUAUUAACUGUAAUUGUAUCCCUUUUUGAGCUGUUUCUUUCCAACGGUCUAUGGCUUUACAAAUAAUGUCAUCCAACACAACCGAGAAUUGAAUCUCAUUGCAAAUGUGUAAUGGAUGUGGUGAUCAGAUGGAGCUGUUAACGUCACGCACAACAAAAAAUCCAAAUUGCAAAUUUUGGAUUUGUAGAGGAUGUAACAACUUUCAAUGGGCAGAAGAUCGUAAAUCUAGCGAAGAGAAAAUAGACUUGUUAGCGGAUGAGGUUAGGAAGUUGGCCUUGGAGAUUGAGUGUUUGUCCGUUAAAUUUCAACUAUUGCAUAAAGAACUUGAGCAUAUGUGAGAUCGUGAAGUGCAGAGGCGAUUGUUGGACGAUGAACUUCGAAAGAGAGAGGCACUACGAUAUGAUUUUAUUAAAUUAAUCAUGAUUGUUGUAUUAUGUUUUCUAUUCAAGUAUUGUUUUUAAGUUGUUUCAAUUUGUACUAUGUUACUGGAAAAGACUUGUAUUGUAGAAUUUGACCACUAUAUGUAAUAGCAUUUUCAUGUUAAAUAUAAGUUUUCGAUUGUUUGAAUUAAUUCAAAGUAUUCUGAAUUUAGAAUUUGACCCCCAGAAUACUUCUCAAAAUUAUACUAUGUCCCAACUCAUUCCAAUAUGUUCCAAAUAGAUCCAUUUUCAGAAUUUACAAAGUCUAAAAUUUAAAAAAUAUCGAAAUACACAUACACCAAGUUACAUUAGCUUUACAAUAAUACAUAAAACAUAAGCUAACUUUGUUGAUUCGUCAAGCCAAUUCCAAUGAACUUCGAUCAUGUGCUUGGUUCAUUAGUUGAAAACUCCCCUCGAUUGGCCUCCUCGAAAUUUUGUUGCGGAAAAUAUUGCAAGUUUGCGUGAUGGACUCCGCUGUAAUUCAUCCAAGACUGAUAAUAAGGGAGGAAAAAUGCAUGUUCUAGGGGUGCUUGCUGUGCUAGCUGUUAUACAAAAAAAAAAAAUUAUAUACAAAUUAUCAAACAUAUGACAAUGAAUGUAAAUAGCAAAAAAAAAAAAAUAUUACCAUAGCCAUAUGGCUCUCUUGUGUUGGGAUUGUAGUAGCCACUUGAGAAGAAAAAUCAUGUAUCUCCGAGUCCUAGAAAUAUGGUUAACACACAUUUAAAGUAUAUAUUAAAUUUAUUUAAAAUGAAUGUAUUAAAUAUAAAUGCAAUCAACAUACAUUUAAAGUAUACAUUAAAUUAAUUUAAAAUGAAUGUAUUAAAGUAAUUACCUCUACAGUUGUGCUUGUCGAAGCAUUAUUCGACUUCUGUUUUGGCCUCUUAAAUUGCUUUUGCUUUCUUUGACUAGGUGGACGAUCUUUACGCCGAGUUACUACUGGAUCAUAUAUAAUUUUGAUACAGCUUCCUGAUCCACUAUAAAUGGUUGUAUCGUGACCGUCACUUCGAACAUUCAGAGAUACAUCCUCCAUUGCUUUCUCGAUCCAACCCAUAAUAUUUUUAUGGCUUUCUUCAUUUUUUGAAGUUACCUCAGCAACAUCAUAAAAAUCAGUGCACUCCUCUUUAUAUCGCUGAUGUUCAAUGCUCGAACUUCGUGCAUCAUAAUUGACUUUGACUUUACUAUAGAAUCUCCGCACAUCUUUCCUCUAUCUUCGUAGAAUAUACUUUUCAGGCAGUAAUUGUAUACGGUUACGUGACAACACUGCGAUGGCGUGUCUGCAAAGAAUGCCCUUAUAUUCAAACAUUGAACACACACAAUGAACUUCACCCUCAUCUUUUGCAAAAAUGACUUGAAAAGUAUUUUCUCUACUAUUUUCAUCGUUUUCAAUAACUUCAUAUUCUAAUCCACCACAACUGAAAACCUCACAAUAUAUCUUAUUCACCAGCUCUUGCUGAAAUUCUUGAAACUUGGAAAUAGUGUACACUUCUUCAACUUGCUUCUCCAUUGCAAAACUGGUACGACAUGGCAUCCGUUGGCUAAAACACCUAACAUCCGCUUGCCAUUCUUUCUCAAUUUUACUUUCCAUUGCUUUCUCAUAUUUCUCCACAAAUUGCUUCAAAGUUGUUUUCGAGUUAACAUACCCAUCAAAGAAAGCAUUCAUACUUUCACUACGCUGAGUGGUUGGCAUUCCAGCCCAAAAAGAAGUUUUUACGAAACAUGGAACCCAACGAUUUCUUUCCUCAUAUAAACCAUUUAACCACUGAUUACUAAGAUCAUAUUUAUCUAACAUGUCAUGCCAAGCUUUCUCGAAUUCAACAGGAGUAUAUGAAUCAUAAACAAUAGAAUGUAAUGAAACUCUAAUGGCAUGAUAUUCAACAUACCUUCCUAACUUCUCAGGCACCUUUUUCAGUAUAUGCCAUAAACACCAUCGGUGCCUAGUGUUUGGAAAAACAAUCUCAAUCGCAUUUUUCAUCUCUUUGUCUUGAUCUGUAAUGAUUCCAAGGGGAGGAGAGCCAGACAUGCAUGAUAGCCAUGUGUCAAAUAUCCACGAAAAUGUCUCCGUGUCCUCAUGCGAAAUCAACCCACAUCCUAACAAAAUUGAUUGACCAUGAUGAUUAAUUCCUACAAAAGGAGCAAAUGACAUGUCAUACUUGUUUGUAAGGUAUGUGGUAUCAAAUGUGACCAUAUCUCCAAAGUUUUUAUAGGCUGCCUUACUCCUUGGAUCGGCCCAAUAUACAUUUUUUAACCGGCCCUCCUUAUUUAGGUCAAGACUGAAGAAAAACCCAUCAUUUUCUGUUUGCAUUUUCUUAAAAUGUCUCUGAAUUGCAACAACAUCCCCUUCUCCGAGCCUUAAUCGCCUCACCUUGUCAAUAUGAUUUCUAGCAUCUUUUUCUAAGAAUGAGACAUUUUCAAAGCCACCAGCCUCAACAACAAUCGACUUAAAACUUUGAGCCAUUUUAAUUCCAGCUUCAUCAUUUAUUUCAAGCUGCUUUUUAACAAAAGGACUAAUGGUACGGUUGCAUCGAUAAUACCUACUCUUGCUCGGACUCACGGCACGGUUGUGUUCAAGGAUCAUAUUUCCAAUUACCCAUUUUCUACUAACAAAAUCCAAACGUCCUCCAAGUUUAGCAUUGCAUUCAAUUUUUUGGUUUGGUUGAAGCCGCAAAACAUUAGUGCUUUUGGCUUUUGAAUUGCCAUUUCGCCCACAAGUAAAUGUCACAUAUCUCAAACUCCCAUCAUCCCCUUUUCUACAAGAUCUCCACAUCACUGGAAACCCCUCUUAUAGGCCAUAAGCCUUAUAAUAUUCAAACAUUUCAUCAGAACUAUUAAAAGACAUCCCAACUGCUGGCUCAACAACUUUUUCCACCACCAAUUCCUCAUUAUUUUCUUCCAAAUCAGCCCCCUGCAAAUCCUGCAAUUCUUUAACUUCAUCAACCUCCUCCACUUACUUCAAAUUAUCCAUUAACUGCUGCAAAUUAAAACAAUUCAAUAUAUUAUUAUUUAUUUUUCGUGAAUUCAUUAAAUUUAGAAUAAAAAAAUUAAAAACAAAAUGAAACAACUACUGAAGAUUCAAAUUUAAACAAUUCAAGCUUGUUGUAAAAGCAUCGCAAUUGGAAACUGAAAAUGUCAAAUAACGGCAAGCCGCAAAACAUUAACUAAUAGAAGUCCGUAGGCAUAAUUAAUACUCAAAUAACUUCAAAGUGUGGUUGAGCCAGACUAAGUUUAACUUAUAGCUAGCUCAAGCGAAAAUAUUGUAGGUCUUACAUGCGCAUGAGCGAAUUCCAACAAAAACAAGUUCAUGACUUACCACAAACUCAAACGUUAAUUCAUGUUGAUGCUAUCUCCAACUUAUCUAUUUAGGUUACGAACUAUAUUCUCAGCAGGGGUUAAAUUAUCUUCUCGAUUGAAUAUAAAGAAGAGAACAUUUGUAUACUCAAAUAUCUUCGUAAUCGAAAAUGAGAUAGAAAUUCGAAAACAAAGUUUAAUACAAACAUGACAACAAAAAUGAGUCAAAAAUUCGUAGUCGAAACUGAAACUUCGAAAAUUUGAAGAUUCGAAAACAAAAUGCUGCCAAAAGAAAACAGUACCUUAGCUUGUGCAAAGCCACGUAUAAUCGAAACUGGAAUCUGUAAAUGCCGAAACUUAGUCUUAUGUCAGAAAAAUUUAACAGCUGCUGUUAAUGCCGAUGAGGUUAGGAAUCAUGGACAAUGUCGAGACUCUAUCUUGUUCAAGCUUCUGCUUUUGCCUUGUUUGAGCCAAAUCUUAUCACCUUCGAGGAAUAUAAGAGCUUAAAGAUUUUGCAUUUCACUCGGGUGUGGUGAAUCGAAGAGGAAGAGCUUAAAGAUUUUGCGUUUUUCUCAGUUCAUAAAGUAGCUGUUUCUUUGCGUUUUUUCUGCUUUAGUUGGUUUUGUUUUUACUAGGCUGAAACGACUACGUUUCAUGGAAGCAAAAAGGAAAAAAAAAAGAAAGAAACCAAAACGGCAUCGUUUUGGUUUAAUUCGGGGUUUGACGCGGGGAAAGUAGCAUUUUCCUAUUUUUAAUUGUUAACAUUUAGAUCUUUUUAGUUCUACAUCCAUAGCCAAACUAUUUUAAGUAAACUAUAUUCAUUUUAUUGUAUGUUUUUUAAGAAUUUUUUAAUUCGAAAUAAUUUUUUUAAUAUUGUUGAAAAAGACAGGUUAAAGUAAAAAAAUUAUUGACUAAAUAAAUAAAUAAAUGACAUUAUUUUAUUUUUUAACAUUAAAAAAAACCAAUUUGAUGCAGUCCACUUAGUCCUGCACACUUGGAACGUUACCAUGCUUUUUAGUGCUGUACAUUUUGGACUCAAUUGUCCUUGUCAUUUCAAGUAAAAGUUGAAGCCGUCUCAAAAGUAAAAUAAUAGGGUCCGCCUAAGUUACAUUUAACGUAACUUACGGCUGACCCGCAAAAUAUCAUUAAUCCCCCUAUACUCUAUGUUAUUUACAAUAUAUUUAUAAGUAUUAUAAAAUUUUCUGUAUUGUAAAAUUUCGUUGAACCUCUUGUACUCUGUUUUAUUUUAAUGAAACUCUUGGAGUACGAAUUUGCCCCCUAUAAUUUUAAAUUCCCAAAAUACCCUACAGUUAAUUAAAAAUAUAAUAAUAAUUAAAUAAAUUAUAAUUAUAAUAAUUAUUUUAUUAUAAUUAUAAUAAUUAUUUUAUUAUAAUUAUAAUAAUUAUUUUAUUAUAAUUAUAAUAAUUAUUUUAUUAUUUUAUUAUAAUUAUAAUAAUUAUUUUAUUAUAAUUAUAAUAAUUAUUUUAUUAUAAUUAUAAUUUUUUAAUGGAUUAUUAUUAUUAUUAUUAACAAGAAUAAAAAGUAUUAUAACUAAUUAAUUUUUAGUUAAAAUGUUAAUAAUAACAUUAACAAUAACUAUUAUUGAUAAUUAAUUUUUGAAUAAUAAUAACAGUAACAAUAACAAUAAUUAAAAUACAAAAGAAUAAUUAUGAUAAAAAUUAAUGAAGGAUUUUAUAAUAAUUUGUUACAAUUUAAUUUAUUCUGAUUUUGAUUUUAAGACAAAGUAAACAAAUAAAUGGUAAUACAGCUCAUUCUAAUUAUGAUUCAUGCCGUUCAAAUAAAUAAAUUAUUAUGAUUCCAAUUCUUUAUUUGGAUUCUAGAUAUGUCGAUUCUAACUUAUUAUGUUUUCAGUAAAUUUUGAUUUAUGUUUAGUGAAUGCACUAUAAAAUUCAUAAUACUUAUAAAAAAUUGUAAAUAAUAUAGAGUGGUCUAAUUGAAUAUAAAGUGAUUUACAAUUUUAUAGUGCAUUCACUAAAAAUGAAUCGAAAUUAGUUGGAAACAUAAUGAGUUAAAAUUGGAUUAGCUAGAAUUAAAAUGAAAAAUUGAAAUCAGAAUAAUUUAUUUACUUGAACUGCAUGAAUCCUAAUUAGAAUAAACUGUAUUACCAUUUAUGUGUUUACUUUGUCUUAGAAUCAAUAUCGAAAUGAGUUAAAUUGUAACAAAUUACUAUAAAAUUCUUAAUUAAUUUAUUAUAAUUAUUACUUUGUAUUUUAAUUAUUGUUAUUGUUAUUAUUCGUCAAAAAUUAAUUAUUAAUAGUAAUUAUUGUUAAUUAUUAUUAUUGAUAUUUUAACUAAAAAUUAUUGUUAAUUAUUGUUAAUAGAUUAAUUAAUUAUAAUACUUUUUAUUGUUGUUGUUAAUAAUAAUAAUAAUCCAUUUAAAAAUUAUAAUUUUAUUUAUAAUUAUAAUAAAAUAAUUAUUAUAAUUAUAAUUUAUUUAAUAAGUAUUAUAUUUUUAAUUAAAUGUAGGGUAUUUUGAGAACUUAAAAUUAUAGGGGGCAAAUUCAUACUCCAAGAGUUUCAUUAAAAUAAAACAGAGUACAAGAGGUUCAACGAAAUUUUACAAUACAGAAAAUUUUAUAAUAUUUAUAAAUAAAUUGUAAAUAAUAUAGAGUAUAGAGGGAUUAAUGAUAUUUUGCGAGUGUUGGGUUAAAUGUAACUGAUCCAAAAUAAUAAUGUGCAAUUAAGUAACUGGCCUAAACUUUAGAAAUUUCAGAAGUUACAGUAUACGCAGGUCACAUCUAGGACCAUUAUUAGUUUAAUCAUUAAAUGACAAAAUUUUGCCAAUCUUGAGGGGGCUACUUAAAAAUGCAAGCAUCUCGUCCCUUGCCUGCUUCAUAGAUGCUCUUACUCACCCCCCCCGUCAUCUCACUUGUGCAAACCAAAGAAAAAAGAAAGAUUAUUAUUUUCCAUUUAUUACACAAAAAACAAUAAUUCCUUUUUAUUGCUCCAUGUUUAUUAUUUUAUUCUAUUUCUCCAGAAUCUCUCUUUAUCAAUUAAAUUUAUGAUAUAGAUAUUGAAGAUUUGCUUAAAUCAGAAAACUUGUUCAUAUUUCUGGUCAAUAUAAUACAUCCCUUAAAAGGUAAAAAUAGGGAAAAAAAAAAACAAGAAUGAUGAUUUUUUUUUUUUUUUUGGUUUUGACUGUUCUAGACAAUAAAGAAAUAUUUUGAAAGGGUCGGAGAUUACAAUGAAUCUAUACACUUGUGGAAAUAUUUUUAAGGCAUAAAUAAGUGCAACUUGAGAGCAUUUUGUUUUUUGUUCCACUAUAUAUUUUUAUACAACUGCCGCCUUAGAUUGGGUGCAUCACUUCAUUAUAUAAUCAGUAAAAAUUAAUUAUAUAAAUGGAAUCAUUCUCUAUUACAAUUAUUCGACUUCAUGAAGUAACAACUGAUGUUUUUUACCACAUUGUCAAAAGAGUUCAACUUUUAUUUGAGAAUACACCAUAUAAAAGAAAAAGAAAAAAAUAAAAACAAGAGUACACCAUAGAAAAGAAAAAAAUAAAACAAGUUUUAGAAUUAGUAGAUUAGAAUUGUUAUAAGAAAGAGUUGUCCCUAUAACUUCAAUAAGCUAGCCAUGUUUCUGAAGUUUGUUUUACUACCCUUACCAAACUUUUUCUAGUUGAUAUUAAUAACUUUAGUUUAGUAAACAGAAGCAAGAAGGUUAGAAUUAAUAACUUUAUCGUGAAUAAUUAAUAUGAUUACAGUUUAAUAAAAUUAUAUGUAAAGGCUUAUUUAAAGAGCGAAAAUUUUAUUUUUUUAUCAUUCUUUAGUGCUUAUAAUUAUAAUUUAAUCUAGAAGUAUUUUAAUUGUAAAAAUUAUUUAAAAAAAUAAGUUUGACGAAUAGUUUAGAGCUUAUAAUUAUUUUCUACUUAUAAUUAAGUUAAUAUUUAAUAGAAAGAACUAAAAUAAUAAAAGCAAAAACCUUUUCCGGCAAUUCCUUGUUAUUUACAUUUUUGGCACUGUCCUUGACAGAGGACUACACCGAGGAAUCUCAGGCCGUGGCACACGUGCGGCGGCUUCUCGACAUCGUCGCGUGCACCACACGGUUCUCCAAGUCCAGAAACUCCCGAUUGCCGCCAUCGUCAGAGUCAUGUGCCAAAAAGAACGACAGUAGGCCCCACCAACCUUCACCAAACUCUGCCGCUCUGUCUGAUGGAGCAGCAACAGCAGCAGCAGAUAACCGAAGCGGGCCCCGCGCCACGUCAUCGCCAAUUUCAUCGGCGGUUUCUCCGAGUCUGGACAUGGCAGCCAUUCACCCGACGCCGAAACUCUCCGAGUUUUACGACUUCUUCUCUUUCUCUCACCUCACUCCCCCCGUCUUAAGUAAGCCUAAUGUUCAUUUAUAUAUUUGUCUUCGUUUCUUACAUGGUUGAUCAAAAAAAAAAAAAAAAGAAAAGAAAGAGGAAAAUGAUAUAAAUAUAUGUGAUUUAUUUGAAUAUGAAAUUUGUUUAUUGAUUUUAAUUUUUAAUAAUUUUGAUUUUGAAGAUUUGAGAAAAUGUGAACGCAAAGAAGGAGACAAGCGCGACAGUGAUUAUUUUGAAAUUCAGGUGCCAUUUAAUAUAAAGUUCUGAUUAUUGUUGUUUGUUGUUUAUGGACUAAUUAAUUGUAGAGUUAUUCAACUCGUUAUUUUUGCUGAUGAAUUGGCCAAUGAGUGUUAAAGAUUUAAUAAUCAUUGUCCGCUAAUUAAUAAGAAUGCAUGGAUUAUUUUCAUGUCUUUGUAAGUAAUGUGAGUAUUUGAAAGUGCGGGAAACUGUAUUUUGUGCUUACAGAUAAAAAUCUGCAAUGGAAAGCUUAUACAAGUAGUUGCAUCAGUAAAAGGGUUCUAUACUUUGGGAAAGCAGUUUUUCCAAAGCAACUCCCUGGUGGAUCUUCUGCAAAAUCUCAGUCGAGCUUUUGCCAAUGUGGGUACUCAAUAGUUGAAUCUACAGAUUAUUUUUUUCUUUUUUAUCUGAAUGCAUCUUUUUUUCCUUUGUAAAUUCAAUUAGCUUACCCUUCAAUUGUUUUGUUAAUAAUUAUGGUCAUUAUGCGUGAUGCAGGCAUAUGAAUCCUUAAUGAAAGCUUUUGUUGAACAUAAUAAGGUUACAAUUUCUGUGCUGACAUAGUUUAUUACCAAUUCAAAUGUGAUUUUAACUUGAUUUUACUGAUAUAGUAUAUUCAUUAUCCUUCUUCAGUUUGGUAAUCUUCCCUAUGGAUUUCGAGCUAAUACAUGGCUUGUACCUCCAUCUGUUGCUGAGUCUCCAUCAAAUUUCCCUUGCCUACCGGCAGAAGAUGAGAAUUGGGGUGGCAAUGGCGGAGGCCAGGGAAGAGAUGGAGAACAUGAUUUACGACCAUGGGCGACGGAAUUUGCUAUACUGGCUAGGCUUCCUUGCAAAACUGAAGAGGAGAGGGUGGUUAGAGAUCGGAAGGCCUUUUUGCUUCAU
This 156523-nucleotide long non-coding RNA is filed under the name Citrus x clementina. Its description in RNAcentral is "Citrus clementina (C. clementina) long non-coding RNA (CCLE_LNC001455)". The record is from RNAcentral. Lineage: Eukaryota; Viridiplantae; Streptophyta; Magnoliopsida; Sapindales; Rutaceae.